Molecule: long non-coding RNA, 96105 nt
Filed under: Citrus x clementina
Lineage: Eukaryota; Viridiplantae; Streptophyta; Magnoliopsida; Sapindales; Rutaceae
Description: Citrus clementina (C. clementina) long non-coding RNA (CCLE_LNC004171)
Source: RNAcentral
CGAAAAGGGGUGUUAAGAGAUAUUUAUUGACCAUUUUAAUAAUUAUUAUCUUUUCAAGGAUUUAAAAAUCUAUAGGUGUAACGGACAGCUAAUGUAAUGUAAGCGUUAUCUAAUAUAUGAGUUGAUGAACCAUCACGGGUGAAAUCAAAAUAAAAAAAAUAACAGAAGUCAAUAAUGGCAUUCAAAAUAAAAAAAAUUAAAACAAAAAGCAAAUAAAGCCAUUGGAUUCUUUUUUUUUUAAUUGUUUCUGAAUAUUAAUACGUUAAAAUAAAAGAACUUGUUAAUAUUUAUCAUAAAAAUAUUAUUGAUACAAUCCUACGUCAAUUUUGUUAUAUUAUAGUACAAUUCGAAAGUUUUAUUUUAUUUUAAAAUAUAUUUAUCCUACCAUAUUUAUAAAAGAAAUUAUAAAAUAAUUAAAUUAAGAUAAAAUCUUUCCUCCAAUCAUAGUUGUUCAAGAUUCAAGCGUUCUCUAUAGUGACUAAAUUUUAUAAAAAAUGUAUCUUCUUCCUUAUUCUACUUUAUAACCUUUCUCUUGUGAUCGAAAAUAAGGUCUUAGGAAGUAUAGAUUUGGAUAGAUUAGAGAUCCUUUUUAUAAUAGACCAGAGAACCUUUUUAUAAUAAUAUUUUAUAACUUACAAGACUUUCCACUUCCUUCCAUCAAAGAAGUGAAAUUUAUAACCUUUAUCACUUCUAUUAUGAAAAUGAUUAGUAAACUAUAAGGCUAUCCCUCGAAAUAAGUAAGUAGAUUAUUAAUAUGAGUUUAUCUAUUUAUUUAUUUUUAAAAAUCACUUAUCAUGAGAACUAUAUAAUAAAAAUUUGUGGAGAUAUAUCUACGCACAUUUAAUUAUAUAAUUGAGAUAAGAAAUUAGAGGUCCAAGAAGUUGUAUUUAGAUUUGCAACCUCAAAGUUGAGGUUAUGGCAGGCAAAAGAAAAAGGAGAAGCAUGUGCUUUUGAGAAAGGAACCCAUACAAACAAUUGCAAAUUAAGCAAAAUCGGAAUUAAACAAAUUAAGCAUGUGUUUUUUUACUCUUUAUGUGAUAAAAUCGGAAUGUGUACCAUAAAUAAAUAAGCAGAAAAUAAACUAAUACAAUCUAAAAUAAUAAAUCAACCAUAAGAGACAUAUUUUUAGAUGGAAAACCUAAAUCGAGAAAAAAACCAUAGAACUAUAGUCUAAUAUAACCUUCAACUAUAUUAAUAAGGGGAUUACAACACAUAUUCUUCUCUAGAUAACAUUAGAGGCUAACAACAUUAAGAAUCUCAACAAUCUUGGCUUAUAGUAAUAAUUUAAUAUUUGUCUCUCUAACAAAUGAGUAAUCUCAAAUAACAGGCAAUGAGAGAAUUACAUAAAAAUCAAGACCAGUAAAAAUGUAGAGGGCGAUGUCAGAAAUUUACCUCCAAAUUUGGGAGAAAACAGAGUUAAGUUUGCCUUUCUAUCAUCCAAUCAAAGAUUAAGAUCCUUACCUCCAAAUUGGAAUAAUCGGCCAUUGUAUAUUUUGAAAGCCAAAUUUAAUGGUAAUUUUCAAUUAGUCAUAACCUGUUUUCUUUAAUUAUUUAAACACCCAAAAUAAUGGAAACUUUGAGUUGGGCCACCCAAAUGAAAUAGACCUAACAAAUCUUCCCCACCAGGUUAUGUGGAGGGCACCACCAAGCCCGUUCUCGGUUUACAUUCUUUCAACUUUUCCUUGGGCAACGACUUUGUCAUCAUAUCUAACCUAUUCUUCAUGAAUCUUCUCAAGCUGUAAUUAUUUCUUUUCAAGUAUGUCUUGUAUGCAAUGAUACCUAACAUUAAUAUGCUUGGAUUUCGAAUGCUAUGUUGAAUUCAUUUCCACGUGAAAGGACUUUGACUAUCACAGUACACAACAUAGCUAUCUUGUUUCACAUCUAGCUUUUGUAAAAAAUUCUUCACCACAAGGUUUCAAAGAAAACUUCAAUGAUUGCAAUAUUGAUGAAUAAAUAAAGAAAAGCAAACAAAUACUUUGCUUUCGGUGAAACUUUCAAAUAUCAGUCUUUAUGACUUUAAGCUACAUUUACCAUGUCGAAUUGAAUUGGACUAAUUAUUAGAAUAAGACUGGAUUAGAUUAUAUUGGAUUAAGCUAGUGUAUAUUAUAUUGUCUUAUGUUUGGUGUAGUACCAAAUUAAACUAUGUUAAAUUAUAUUUAAAUGAUAUUAAAUAGCAUUUAAGUUUAUAUUUGAAUAUGAACAUCACUUAUUCAUGAAAUUUUAUAACAAUAAGUAAAUAAAUUUAAAAAGCAAUUAAUUAGAAAAUUAAGUAUAUUGUAAAUAAGUUAUUAGGUAGUCAUAAUAUAAUAAACAAAUAAAAAAGAAAUUAAAAAAUUUAAAUAUUUAAUUAAUUUUUAUCAAAUAAUUAAAAAAAUUAUAUAAAAUCAAUUAAUUAUUAUUUUUUUAAUUUUUAUGAUUAUUUUUAAGAAUCCACCUACAUUACAACAAUUACACCAUACCACACCUUUUUAUCGCUAUUUAGUAGAGUCGUUGGAUGCUUUAUUGUUCAAUGUAACCGCUGCAUAUAUAUAUAUUAAAUCAAACAGGUGUGCGGUUACUUUGUACGUACAACUUGGGUUCUUGCCUUGCUGCCGUCAUGGAGAAUUAAUGCCACUGGUCAACGGUGAAUCAAUGGCCAUCGGGCACCAAAUUCAUGGCCAAUCAAUGGCCAACAAGCACCAAAUUAAUGCCAAGCACACCAACAACCUCCGAUUAAAUGGCAAGUUUAGUGUUUUAAAGUUUAGAAUAUGGAGAAGCACUUGCUACUGUAUCCAGGUAUUAAAUCAUCAAAAACCAAUUUGGUUUGGACUCUUCAAUUCCAAUUUGACUCCUACACCAAUACCACCCAACAACAACUCAACAACCGAAUCACUCGUCCUAAUAUCAUAGCAAUCCAGUCGUCGGUUGCCCGCACGUGAGAGACUAUUUUCUUAUUCGUGCUCGGAAUUGUUGAAUUAAUUUUACAAUUCUCUUGCACCAAUUUUCAUCAUAUAUGCUGCCUCAAGAAGUGAAGAUCGAUGUCGGAAUCACUUUAAUUUAGUUUCAAUUACAUGAUGUUUGGGAUCUUCUUAUACCAAUUUCGGUCUACAAUUGCCUCAAGUAUCCAUGUCCGUCAAAUCUUAUUUGUAUUAAAGCAACCACCUAAACCGUUAACUUGUUUGAUUUAAAAAACAAAUAUUUGAAGCUGUUAGAUUGAACUCGUGUGUAAAUUAGGAUUACUAAUCCAAUAAUUUUAAAAUUAAAUUCAAAUUUAGUUUCUUUUAAUUCAAUUCAAGUAAAUUUAUUAAAUAUGAAAUAAAUAUUUAAUCUUAAAAUUAAUCCAAUUGGAUACUUAAUCCUGUCAUCCAGACAAGGCCUUAUUUGCCUUAAAGGCAACUUAAAAAGAAGUGUGACCGAAAACGUUUAUGAAGCCAUUUUUUUAUCGGGUUCAUAUAUAUAUAUAUAUAUAAUCUUUAUGCCAAUGAAGCGCCCGUCAAUCAGCGAAGUUAAUUUUUUUUUUUCAUUUCUUUUUCGACUGUGAUUCCGGAGGCUGCUGUCAAGACAAGAUUCCAGAGGAUGCUGAUAAGACAAAUUCAAAUUGACCUUUUUAAUAAUUAUUAUGUUUUCUAAGGUUUAAAAUUUUAUGUGUAACGUACAGCUAAUGUGAUGUAAGUUUUACCUGAUGUAUGAGUUGAUGAACCAUCAUGGUGAAAUCAAAAUACAAAAAUAAUAGAGGUCAAUAACGGCAUUCAAAAGAAAAGAAAAAUUAAAACACAAAGAAAAUAAGGCCGUUGGAUUCGUUUUUUCAAUUUUUUUUUUCUGAAUAUUAAUACGUUACAAUGAAAGAACUUGCUAAUAUUUUCCAUAUUGAUCAGGAUAAAAAGAUUGUUGAUACAAUCAUACGUCAAUUUUGUAAUAUUAUAGUACAAUUAAAAAGUUUUAUUUUAUUUUAAAAUAUAUUUAUCCUACAUAUUUAUAAAAGAUAUUGUAAAAGAAUUAAAUUAAUUAAGAUUAAAUCUUCCUGCAAUCAUACUUGUUCAAGCUUCAAGUGUUCUCUACAUUCACUAAAUUUUAUAAAAGUAUCUUCUUACUUUUUCUACUCUAUACCCUUUCGCUUGUGGUGGAAAAUAAAUUCUUAACAAGCAUAAAUUUGGAUAGGCUAGAAACCCUUUUUAUAACAAUAUUUUAUAACAUAGAAGACUUCACACUUCCUCCAUCAAAGAAGUGAGUUUAAUAACCUUUAUCACUUCGAUUAUGAAAAUGAUUAGUAAACUAUAAUGCUAUCCCUUGAAAUAAAUAAGUAGGUUAUUAAUAUAAGUUUAUCUAUUUAUUUAAAAAAAAUCACUUAUCAUGUGGACUAUAUAAUGAAACUUUGUGGAGAUAUAUCUACCCACAUUUAACUAUAUAAUGAGAUAAGAAAUUAGAGGUCCAAGGAGUAGUACUCAAAUCUACAACCUCAAAAGUUGAGGUCGUGGCAGGCAAAAGAAAAAGGAGAACCAUGUGUUGUUGGGAAAGGAACUUACAUGAGUAACUGCAAAUUAAGCAAACACUAAAAUUUUCCCUCUUUAUAUGAUAAAAUCGGAAUGUGUAUAAAAAAAUAAACAAGUAAAAAAUACACCAACACAAUUGAAAACAAUAAAUCAACCAUAAGAGAUACAAAUUAUUUUAUGUGGAAAACUCAAAUCGAGAAAAAACCACAGGACCAUAUAGGGGCGGAUGCAUCAUAUGACCAGUGGGGACUUGAGCCUCCACUGGCCAAAAAAAAAUUCUAAAAUUGAAAGAGAAAAAUAUUUUAGUUUUCUAAUUAACCCCCAUUAAAUUUAUUAAAAUAGUCACUAUAAAUUAUAAAACCCUAUAAAAUUUAAACUUUAACUUUUAAAAAUUAUAAAAACUUAUAUUUUAAUUAAAAAUAAUGAUAGCCCACCACCCAAAAUAUUUUAUAUUCUUAAAAAUAAGAUUAAUUCUUCAAGUUUCUAUAAUAAUAGUAGAGCGAAUGUUUUCAGUAAUGAAACUCAUGAAGAAUCAUCUUUGGAAUCGGAUGGGAUAAAUGAUAGUUUUGUUGUUUAUAUAGAAAACAAUAAAUUUAAUAAUAUUGAUGAUGAGUCUACUGCAUAACAUUUUUAAAAUAUGAAAAUGCAUAGAGAAUAAUUAUAAAUGUAUUAGCAAAUAAUUUAUAUAUUCAAAAUUUUAGUUUUUCAUAUUUUACUACUAUCUAAUUUAGCCCCCAGUAAAUUAUUUUUCUAGAUCCGCCACUGGGACCAUAGUCCAAUAUAACCUUCCAUUAUAUUAAUAAUGGGAUUACUACACAAAUUCUUCUCUAAAUAAUACUAGAGGCAAACAAUAUCAAGAAUCUCAACAAUCUUGCUCAUAGUAAUAGUCUAAUAUUUUUCAUUCUAACAAGUGGGUAUCUCAGAUAACAACCAAUGAGAGAAUGAAAUAAAAAUCAAGACCAGUAAGAAUGUAGAGGGCGAUGCCAGAAAUUGCCUUCCAAAUUUGGGAGAUUAAGUUUGCCUUUCGAUCGUCCAUUCAAAGAUUAAAAUCCUUACCCCCAAAUUGAGUCUGCCACUGUCUUCUUUUUCUCUCUCAUCUUUUCUAUGUUUUUAAGGCUGCUGCUUCACUUGUCUACUUUUUCUUUUAUAGCCAGGUGAUUUUCAAAGCCAAAUUUGAUGGCAAUUUUCAAUUAGCCAUAACAUAUUUCCUUUAAUUUCUUAAACACCCAAACUAAUGGAAACUUUGGUUUGGGCCACCCAAAUGAGAUGGAUUCAACAAAUCUUCCCAUCAGAUCAUAUGGGGGGCACUACCAAGCCCGUUCUCUACUUACAGUCUUUCAACUUCUCCUUGGGCAACGACUUUGUCAUCAUAUCUGACACAUUCUUCAUGAAUAUAGUCGGGCUGCAACUAUUUCUUUUCAAGCACGUCUUGUAUUCAUUGAUACCUCACCUUAUAUGCUUGAAUUUUGAAUGGUAUGUUAAAUUCAUUACCAAGUGAGAGCACUUUGAUUAUCACAGUACACGACAUAGCUAUUUUGUUUCACAUCCAGCUCUUGUGAGAAAUUCUUCACCACAAAGGGUUUUAGUGAUUGCAAUAUACUCUGCUUCUAUGGUGGAGAAAACAACACGAAGUUUGAAAUCCUCUUAGACUACCCCCCUGCAAAGGUAAGCAAAUAUCCUGAUAGGAAUUUUCUAGGAUCAACAUCUCUUGCCAUAUAUGUUGUACACUUAUAACACAACUUGUCACCAUUAAAACAUAAACAUGUCUUGGAAGUGACUCUGAGAUAUCUGAGGGUCCAUUUCACUGCUGUUCAGUGUUCUUUGCCUGUACUAUAAAGAAACUGACUGAGUACACCAACUGCAUGUGCAAUAAUUGGUACAAGCCAUGGCGUACAUCAGUCUGCGAAGUGUUGAAGCAUAAAAUAGUCCUUUCAUCUGCUGCUUCUCUUUCUCGCUUGUAGGAAAAUGCUUGGAACUAAGCCUCAAAUGGCCCGCAAGUGGAGAACAAACAUAUUUUGCCUUGCUCAUGUUAAUUCUUUCAAGAGCACUUUCAAUAAAUGCUUCUUGAGAUAACCAUAACUUGCCAAUUUUUCAGUCAUAGGAAAUGGUCAUGCCAAGAAUGUAUAUUGUCGAUCCUUGAUCUUUUAUUAUAAAUGACUUGCUAAGCUUUUUCUUUAGAUUAUCAAUCUUACUAGCAUCAUGGUCAACAAUUAACAUAUCAUCCACAUAAAGAAAAAGAAUGAUAAAAUUAUUAUCACCAAGCUUCUUUACAAAAAGACAAUAUCUUGCUAAAACCAUGAUUCUCUGUAAAAAAAUCAAACUUUUUGUAAUAUAGUCUUGGUGCCUAUUUCAGUCAAUACAAACUUUUCUUCAACUUGCAUACACUUUCUUUGUUGCCUUUAACAUUGAAUCAUUCAGGUUGCUCCAUGAAUAUCUCCUCCUUUAAGUCACCAUGCAAGAAACUCAUUCUCAUAUCCUAGAGACUUUCUAUCCAUCAACAUCCAAGAUUUAUCCAUAUUUAGACUAUUAACUUUCCUACAAAUGCAUCACAUUUCAUUUGUUCAGUUUUAUUAAUAUUGGAGUUUGAUAUUGUUUCCAACCAUAAGAACAACUAUUAAAGUUACAAAAUCAACAAGAAAACAGCAGUUAAAAUACAAUAAAAAAUAACACUUAACAGCAAGAGAAAACCUAUAUCUUCAUCAUGACUAAUUAUAACAGUAAUAUUAUAAGCCAUAUACCAUAAAUCAUGGAAAGAGCAUGUUGAUGCUGAAAUCUGAACUAGUUGGUUAGAGACUCAAUAUCAGAUCCCUGCAUCAGCAUUAAAUUUGUUUGGUGGGAAGCUGCUGGUUGAUCUCUAAGAAUAUUCUCUGACUAUGAGCAGAACAUUCAUGAGCAUAUAAUCUUCAAGCUGACGAUCAAUAAGUACCUGAAAUUACAGAGAAUUGUCAGAGGUGCUGGAAGUUUUUCCGGCGUAAACCCUCCAACGCUCAAGUCAGUUAUGGGGGUUACAGGAAAAACCAAAUAUGCCCCUUUUCAUAUGGCUUAAUAAACAUUGCUUUAAAACCAAAAGCUUUUUGAAUAAUUUGCAGAAAAAUAAAAUAGAGUAUCCAGAAAGGAUUUCUCCAUCAGAUCCAAAGAAAAAAGAGCCCCCCCUCUGGCGUGGUUUUCUCGGGGUUUUUAUGAACACCCUACACCCACGACCUUAGAUCGUGCCAAUAACCAUUAAUUGAUCAAAUUCGUGCCCUCAUUUUUCGGAGGAGCUUUGUGGUGGUUUAUUUUAAUUGAGUCUUUAUUCCUGGUCAUCACCUGGUCGAGGUGAUCUGCUCAAGCUCAUAGCACCUGAUCGAGGUGAUCUGCUCCACCUCAUAGCACCUGGUCGAGGUGAUCUGCUCCACCUCAUAGCACCUGGUCGAGGUGAUCUGCUCAAGCUCAUAGCACCUGAUUGAGGUGAUCUGCUCCACCUCAUAGCACCUGGUCGAGGUAAUCUGCUCCACCUCAUAGCACCUGGUCGAGGUGAUCUGCUCCACCUCAUAGCACCUGGUCGAGAUGAUCUGCUCCACCUCAUAGCACCUGGUCGAGGUGAUCUGCUCAAGCUCAUACCACAUGCUCAUCUGCUCAAGCUCACACCACCUGGUCAAGGUGACCUGCUCAACCAUUUGCUCACUUUCACUCGGAGGAGAUCAUGGUCACUCUAUUUAAUUCCUCAAACACCAGUCCCCCAGUUUCUAGUGUUGAGAGUAAAACAAAUCAAUACUGGAAACUAUAAAGUUUAUAAUUUUGGCAAACCUAUGCCUUAGGAAUAUUUUUUGCGAAUUUUUCCCAAUUGUCCUCACACGACUGAGCAGGUUUGGGCAAAUCUUUACUUUGGCAAAUUUUGCAAGAUAUGGCUGCUGGUCCUUCAAACGACCGAGCAGGAGUUGGCCCAUGUUUGCCUUAGUAAAAUUUAAUAGACUUUAGCUGUUGGUCCUUUAAACGACCGAGCAGGAAUAGGCACUUGCAUGCCUUAGUAGAAUUUACGAAAUAGCCUGCUGGUCCUUUAGGCGACCGAGCAGGAGUAGGCACAUGCUUGCCUUAGUAGAAUUUACGAAAUAACAUGUUGGUCCUUUAGGCGACCGAGCAGGAAUAGGCACUUGCUUGCCUUAGUAGAUUUUUUACAGAAUUAGCUGCUGGUCUUUCGUUGACCGAGCAGAAGCAUGCACUUUCUUGCCUUCGUAGAAUUUUCGUAGAUUAGCUGCUGGUCUUUUGGUGACCGAGCAGAAGCAGGCACUUUCUUGCCUUAGUAGAUUAGCUGCUGGUCUUUCGUUUGACCGAGUAGAAGCAGGCACUUACUCGCUUUAGUAGAUUAGCUGCUGGUCUUUCGUUUGACCGAGCAGAAGCGGGCACUUUCUUGCCUUAGUAGAUUAGCUGCUGGUCUUUCGUUUGACCGAGCAGAAGCAGGCACUUACUCGCUUUAGUAGAUUAGCUGCUGGUCUUUCGUUUGACCGAGCAGAAGCAGGCACUUACUCGCUUUAGUAGAUUAGCUGCUGGUCUUUCGUUUGACCGAGCAGAAGCGGGCACUCUCUUGCCUUACUAGAUUAGCUGCUGGUCUUUCGUUUGACCGAGCAGAACCAGGCACUUACUCGCUUUAGUAGAUUAGCUGCUGGUCUUUCGUUUGACCGAGCAGAAGCGGGCACUCUCUUGCCUUACUAGAUUAGCUGCUGGUCUUUCGUUUGACCGAGCAGAAGCAGGCACUUACUCGCUUUAGUAGAUUAGCUGCUGGUCUUUCGUUUGACCGAGCAGAAGCGGGCACUCUCUUGCCUUACUAGAUUAGCUGCUGGUCUUUCGUUUGACCGAGCAGAACCAGGCACUUACUCGCUUUAGUAGAUUAGCUGCUGGUCUUUCGUUUGACCGAGCAGAAGCGGGCACUCUCUUGCCUUACUAGAUUAGCUGCUGGUCUUUCGUUUGACCGAGCAGAAGCAAGCACUUUCUUGCCUUCGUAGAAUUUUCGUAGAUUAGCUGCUGGUCUUUUGGUGACCGAGCAGAAGCAGGCACUUUCUUGCCUUAGUAAAAGUCUCAUAAAUUUAGCUGCUGGCCCUUUCAUAAAUCAUUCUCAUAUUGAGCAACUUUCCAGAUAUCAAGUUGAUUGAGUUAUAUCACUAGCUUUAAUAUGAGCUCUAUCAGUUUGACAUGUACAAACUAUCCUCAUUUGAUAAAUUACUAGUAGGUAAAUACUAUAGCUGCAAAUAAAGGCUGCAAAUGCAUGUUUUCAUGUAGACAUCAAGACAUAAAUUUGUUAAAAUUUCUGACCUGAUUAAGAUGCAACUUUUUGCAUCAAUGUCUCCUUCCAUGUGCAUAGCUUGCCUCAUUCGCAAAUGUAUCAAAAUUGACAUUUUGUAGUGAAAUUGCAUAACAGAAUUCCCUGCAUAUUCUUCAGACGAAAAUGAGCUGUCUGAUUCCUGCAAACGUGUGCAGCCAAUGUGCUCUCAUUUGAGGUUUUUGAUUCAAAUCCUUGAAUAUGGAUCUGUUCUGUAAAAGAAUUUGAAAAACUUGUCUAGCGAUCUGAGCCAAAUCUGAAUUGGCCAUAAUACUACAAACUGGCUGCUCCAUAAUCAUUAAAAAAUCAUUGCACUCAUAAAUAUGACUUUCUAAUAUUAUUCCCAUGUAAAAUUUUGGAUUGAAUACUUAAGAAAGCAUGUCCAAUUCUUAAAUUGAUAAAAUAUCUAUGUAUCUAUUUUAUACAUGAUUGGUUAUGUUAUCAUGUUGUGAAAUCAAGUACUAAUUCCUCACAUUCCCAUAUGACUGCAGAAUUUACUCCUGAUAUUCCAGGAUCGUUGUGGAAUGAAUUCCUGACAUUUUGAGAUCAUCAAUUCCAUAAUGCACUAUCAAUUUAAAGUUACAUGUCUCAACAAGAGAUUUGUGCUCAUGCAUGCAUCAUUGAUGCUAAACAUAUGCGUGAUGAUAAAAAGAAUAUUCAGCUAAGAAUAAUUUUUUAGUUAAAAAAUGGGAUGCAUUUGCAAACCAAUCUGAUUAGUUUUAAUGUGCAUAAGACAGGCAAGUUGCAACAAUAGCAGUAUUACAAUUUGCAAAAAUUGAAUGAUAUAAAAUAAUCAAGGAAGUGGUUCGAGUGCACCUGUAAUUGACCAUUUGAAAUAUGGCUUCUGACCUUUGGUAAAUUUUUUUUUUUUUUUGUGAACUUCGUUCUGCUCUAUUGUUGUGACUAUACUUCCCCUACAACUUCUGAGCUUCCUUUCAUUAUCACUGUGAAAACCUUCAUACUUGCUUGAUGAACGCUCAUGGUAAUUGAAAAAAAACUGAGAAAGAAUUUCUUUGUUCCUGAAUGGACAAUCAUUUGCCUUUUUCCCAACUUAUUUUUUAUUAUUAAUGCUUUGCCUUCCAUUUGCCUUCCUUGAUUCUGAUCUAGCUUACUCAGCAUAUCCUUUUAUAAGCUUAAUAAAACAUUUAAAUGAUCUAUAACUUAUGAAAAUUGUGAGUAGAAAAAUAACAUAAUUCGUUUAGACUUUCUAUCAAAUAAUUGGUGGGCUUAACACCAUGUCCUGAUUAUGUGAUUAUCUUCCUUCUGAUUUUACCCAAAAAUUUCACAAUAAAAAGUAGUUAAUCUAAGGUAGCUUAAGCAACAAAGGCAUGGAUAUGUUCUUAAACAUAAAAGCCAAACAGGUAAUUCUGAAAACGAUAAGUGCGCAGCACAUGCUUUCAAGCGAUUAAAGUAAGCAUGUUGUUUUGACAAUUGGAUGGCAAGCACAUGAUUAACUAAAGACAAAUGGCAAGCACAUGAUUCCUGUAAGUUCUCAUGCCAUGCACUGGACUUCAAAUCCUAACUCUGUUAAAAUGCGUCUCGAUUCCAUUUACUGAAGCUUAUUCCUCAUUCCAUUUCGAGGAUUUGGAACUUAUUUAACGAUAACUGAAGCAUGCAGUAAAUGAACAUUUGAUUCUAAAUCUUCAUGCCACAAUGCAGGUGAUGGCAACUUAAACAAAUUGAUCUUUGUGAUUUAAUCAUGUAUAGCCAUAAAUGAAAAGCUCUUAUAUUUAAAAUGAAUUUAUACUCACAAUUAUCAAAAUUAUGCAAUCAAAUAAACUGAUUUUCGUAAUUUCAUAUUUCAAACUGCAAAAUUUUUUUUUUGAUGAAGACAAGAAUCAAGUUCUCGUCAAGCUAAUGUGUGAAUUAAAGUGAAAAGUCGAUGACUUACGAAUGAGCAAAUUCCUUUAAUGCCCGAAUUUGGUCACUAGCCUCUGGGCUGUCCUUAAUCAAGAUUCGUCCCCAACAAUUUAGUUUGCUAAUCACUUCUGCUUCGGUCAAAUCCAAACUGGUAGAGACAAUGAUGACUUUUUGUACCGAUCCCCACAGACGGCGCCAAAUGUUGAUGCUGAAAUCUGAACUAGUUGGUUAGAGACUCAAUAUCAGAUCCCUGCAUCAGCAUUAAAUUUGUUUGGUGGGAAGCUGCUGGUUGAUCUCUAAGAAUAUUCUCUGACUAUGAGCAGAACAUUCAUGAGCAUAUAAUCUUCAAGCUGACGAUCAAUAAGUACCUGAAAUUACAGAGAAUUGUCAGAGGUGCCGGAAGUUUUUCCGGCGUAAACCCUCCAACGCUCAAGUCAGUUAUGGGGUUUACAGGAAAAACCAAAUAUGCCCCUUUUCAUAUGGCUUAAUAAACAUUGCUUUAAAACCAAAAGCUUUUUGAAUAAUUUGCAGAAAAAUAAAAUAGAGUAUCCAGAAAGGAUUUCUCCAUCAGAUCCAGAGAAAAAAGAGCCCCCCCUCUGGCGUGGUUUUCUCGGGGUUUUUAUGAACACCCUACACCCACGACCUUAGAUCGUGCCAAUAACCAUUAAUUGAUCAAAUUCGUGCCCUCAUUUUUCGGAGGAGCUUUGUGGUGGUUUAUUUUAAUUGAGUCUUUAUUCCUGGUCAUCACCUGGUCGAGGUGAUCUGCUCAAGCUCAUAGCACCUGAUCGAGGUGAUCUGCUCCACCUCAUAGCACCUGGUCGAGGUGAUCUGCUCCACCUCAUAGCACCUGGUCGAGGUGAUCUGCUCCACCUCAUAGCACCUGGUCGAGAUGAUCUGCUCCACCUCAUAGCACCUGGUCGAGGUGAUCUGCUCAAGCUCAUACCACAUGCUCAUCUGCUCAAGCUCACACCACCUGGUCAAGGUGACCUGCUCAACCAUUUGCUCACUUUCACUCGGAGGAGAUCAUGGUCACUCUAUUUAAUUCCUCAAACAGAGCAAAUAAUAUAAUUUUCAAAAAAUAGAGAAAUAGAAAAAAAAUAGAAGUACCUUUUGCUAUUCGUUCCAAGAAUCGCGGAGCAGGUAACAACUUAAGAGACUGAAUCACGACUAAAAAUAGAGAAGAAUAGAAGCAAGACUUGUUUUUAGAUUUCUACUGAAAAAGACAAUUAUUGAAAUAAAACUUGUCCACGACAAUAAACUGGCUAGCUAUUGAAAUGAUUUAAACAAUCCAUAUAUAAAGUAUUAAAUUAAGUAUGCAAAUGUCACAUGUAGCAAAACAACAUAUACAAUAUGAUGAAAUUUCAACAGCAAAAUUGGGUGUUAAAACCGUUAAAUAAAAUCCAUUUUUCCAUUAGAGAAAUCUAAAUUUUGAGAAUUUUGGUUUAGCUUGCUUUGGUCAACUUAGUCACNNNNNNNNNNNNNNNNNNNNNNNNNNNNNNNNNNNNNNNNNNNNNNNNNNNNNNNNNNNNNNNNNNNNNNNNNNNNNNNNNNNNNNNNNNNNNNNNNNNNUUAUUCCGUUUCUAUUGGGAAUGAUGAUACAAGCGGAAAGGUGUUAAAGCAUUGCUUAAAAUAUUUAUAGGGGCAAAGAGCAAUUGCAGCAGUUUAGCCAUGUAAAUAAGUAAGAACUUGACCAGUAUGUAAAGUUCACAAAGUAGCUAGAAGAACUCCAGAGAAGGCAUUAGUCGAAUGUAGCCACUAUAAAAAUUUCCACAAACAAAUUAAUUUAUAAAAAAGCAGUGGAUAAGGAGUUAAGCAUACAUUAAUUUGUUUUUAGAAGAUACAGCGAAAUUUCCAUAUUGGCUACUAUUCCACUAAUGGUUUCUUUCCACAAUUCCCAAUAUUAAGAUCUAUUGAAAACUAAGCAAACAUUAAAUUGCUUGUGGAAUUUACAUAAGUCAAUAUAACAGCAGUUGAACUGGAUGCAGUUUGGGUGGAGAAAAAUGGUUUCUGUUCCUAAUUCCCAUUAUUAUGUUCUAUUGAAAAUUAAACAUACAUUAAUUUGUUUCUGGAAAUUUACAUAAGUCAAUAUAAUAGUAGCUGAACUGGAUGCAGUUUGGGUGGAGAAGUAGUGAGCGCUGGUUUUGGUGGAGAUGUUGGCAUUAAAGAGGUACUAAAUAACUACAACUUUAAAUCAAAAGAAAGAGUUUGUGCUAAUAUUUGCCAUGCAUAACUUCAACUUUAAAUCAAACUAAUGCUUACAAAUGGCAUGCAUCCAUAUCCACCACGUCGCAUACUACAUCACUCUUAUAAAUCUUUCUAAUGGAGAAAGGAACACGACAUUAUUCGCAUUUUUGUCCCUUUCUUAAUCUACUAUAUUUUGCAAGGUGCUGGAUAUUUUUCUGUUGAAAGUCCUAUCAGAUCGAUUAGCGCCUUUAAAAUUAUGUUCUCACUAUUGUUGAUAUCAAUUAUCACGUUGCACACCUUAUCUUUGAUGGUGCCACGUGUUCUGAAAUCUUAUUGCACUAAUUAUCCUCUUCAAAUCUUGGUGCUAAUAAAAUCUUCUACAUAGUGUAAUUCAACAUCUCUCCUUCAUGUACCUCUAACUCUAAAGCUUCUUCAUCAUCCUCAUCCGCAACAUUAUUCAUCUCUGCUUAGCCAUAGCGUUUAUUUUCUCUCUUUCAAAUAUCAAAUAAUGGUUAAUAUUUUCUUCAGGAUUAUCUUUUCUUUCUUGCUUGUGAUGCUGCUGCUGCUGCUGCUCAUGAAUGAUAAAGUGGCGCUAGGGCAAGAUGGGGAUCCCGUGGGAUCAAUACAAGGAGGAGGAGGAAGAGAAAUGGUGCCUGCCUUGUUCAUUUUUGGAGAUUCACUUAUCGAUAAUGGCAACAAUAACAAUCUUCCUUCUUUUGCCAAAGCAAAUUAUUACCCCUAUGGUAUCGAUUUCAAUGGUGGCCCAACUGGCCGCUUUUCUAAUGGCCACACCAUGGUCGAUGAAAUUGCUAACUCUCUUUAUCUAUGCAUUUGAUUUAUAUUUUUAUAAUUUUUUUUCCUUUUCAAAAUCCUGAAGGUACAUGAAAAUUUAUAUACACCAUGAUUGCAUGCAAUGCAGGGUAUUUUAAUUGCUGAUCUGACGAAUUAUUAUGAUUACUUCUUUGCUAGCAAAAAAAAAAGAAGCAUAAAACAGAUGUCAUUUUUAGAUUUUUCUUCUUUGUAAAUUUGUGUCACACUCUUGAGCAUAGUUAGAAAUAUCUGUGAAGUGAGUUUCAUAGUCAUGGCUUCAAUGACACAUAUCCAAAUUCAUUACAAUUAAUUAAUUGAUUUCCUACUUCUAUCCCUUUUAAAAAAAAUUAACAAAAUAAAAGUACUUGUUUAGUUAUCUAUUUCGGGGGGGGGGGGGGGGGGGGGGGGGGGGAAUAUUGGCAUUUAUUGGUCUGGCCCCACCCCUAUAUGUCCCUUUGGGAGGGCUCGCACUGUCCCAUAAUAUUUAUUUCUAAACAAUCACAGUCAUUAUCUUAAAUCAAUAAAAAUAACAGAAAUUUUUUUGUUUUAUUUUUUACAUUUAUUAUAUCUACACCCACUUACACCUAACUCGUAUUAAUCCGCAAGUACGAUCUGUUUGGGGAUAAAUUCACCAUAUCUGGUAGGCGUGUCUUAUUAAUGGCUAAAAGCUUCCAUAUGCAUAACCUCUUUAAAUUGUGUCCGCUUUCAAAGAAAAUUUUCUUUUUUGUCCAUUAGCUUUUAUUUACUCUUCACAAAUAUUUUUAAUGUCAUACUAACCAAAUCUUGUAAAUUCAUCCAUUCAGCUGAACUACUGGGACUUCCUCUGAUUCCUGCAUACUCUGAAGCUUCCGGUGCACAAGUGCUUCACGGAGUCAACUAUGCUUCUGCCACUGCUGGAAUCCUCGACAUCACCGGAAGAAACUUCGUAAGGACUCAUAUAUCUAAUUCAAACGAACCAGGAUUCCCUUUUGAUCUGAAUUUUAAUGAGAGGAUUUUAUAUCUAACACGAGAUAUAUAUUUUUUGUAGGAAUGGGCAGCAAUGACGACCUAAACAAUUAUCUUAUGCCCAAUUACAAUACCAAAAAUCAAUACAAUGCUCAGCAAUAUGCUGAUCUUUUGGUUUCAGAAUACUCAAGACAACUCACAGUAAGAUUCAAUUUCACUAUAUUUACAUUUUUUACCAUAUGCAUGCAUUUUAGUUACUUUAUUUUUUUAGCUUGUAAACAUAUUUAUAUAACUUGUAUUAAGUAUUGAUUGAAAAUCUACAGACCCUUUACAAUUUGGGAGCAAGGAAAUUUGUGUUGGCCGGAUUAGGAAGAAUGGGAUGUAUUCCAAGAAUUUUGGCUCAAAAUCAGAUGGAUCGCUGUUCAGAAAAAGUGAAUCCAACUUGUUAUGCCUUUUAAUGCACAUGUGAAGACUAUGAUUAACAAUCUUAAUGCCAAUCUUCCUGGUGCAAGAUUCACCUUCAUUGACAUUGCCCGCAUGUUUGAAGAUCUCCUCACCAAUUAUAGAUCAUACGGUAUGCAAUUUUCCCACUAAACAUAUCGUAUUGUAGUUAGAUAUGAUGUGUGCUGUCUAGCCUAAAAUCUUUUAUUUUAAAAUGUGCGGACACUGACAAAAGAUAAUAAAGAUUUCGUCCUCGUAUUUUAAAAUCAAGGAACAAUUUACAGUGGCUGAACUAGGAUUUUGAUUUGACAAGCACGGCCUAGAGGUGGAAAUAACGGAGAAAUUAUCGUCUUGCUGUGCUACAAUAAAAGCAAGACAUUUUAAAAUUAAAUUUAAAUAAGUGCAUAAAAUAAGCAAAAUUUUACUUAAUAGAAUAAUGUUUAUGAUCACUUUUUUUUUUAUCCCAAAUAAUUCUACAGGAUUCAGUGUAUUAGAUCGAGGGUGCUGUGGCAUUGGACGAAACGGAGGCCAAAUUACAUGUCUUCCAUUCCAAACACCAUGUGCAAAUCGAGAACAAUACGUUUUCUAGGAUGCAUUUGACCCAACAGAAGCUGUGAACAUUAUGUUUGGAAGAAAAGCUUUCUAUGGUGACCAGAGCGUUGUUUAUCCCAUGAACAUCCAGCAGCUUGCCAGUCUUUAAACUUAGAAAUUAAAGGGACAUAUAUGUUAUUGUAAUGUUUCUUGCUUGCUUAAUUGCUUUGCAUAAUUGUUGGGAUUAUAUGCUUUUUAAAAGCAUAUUAAUUUAUUUUCUGAUUAAUAAAAUAUUUGAGAUAUUUUCAAUUGCAUAAAUAUUUUGAAUAAGGUCCGUUUAAUCAUAUUAUAUGUAUUUAUGUGAUCAUCAUAUGGAUUCACAGAAGAUAUAAAUACAAGUUAUCUUAUGAUUAAAUAAAUUAAGUUCGCAGUUGAUAAAUAGAGUUGGGCGCUCUAUUUAUGUUUAGACUGUAGUUAAUUGUUAUAAGUGAAUAUGAAAUAGUUCACUCAAAGCAAGGAUAAAUGGAUGAAAGUACUACACAUUUUUUUCACAAUGAGGUUGCCUUUUAUAGGCGUUACUUGAACAAACUUAACGAAAUAAUAGCAGCCAUUAUUCAGCAAAUACUGCAGCCACUUUCCAGUAACUAUAGCCUAAAGACUAGGUAAACACAAUCUUGCAAAUAACAUUACCAACAAACUUCCUAAAGACUAGGACCAUAAAAGCAACUUAUUGACACAAGGAAAUUCCAACAAUCCCUCCCUUAAACUAAAUGUUAUUAACAUUCAGUUUAAACAUUCUGCAGAAUCUUCCUCAAAUUGCAAUUUGCAAACUCCAAGUGACUUUCUCAGCUUCAAAAAACUAGCCAAUUUGAGGGGUUUAGUAAAGAUGUCAGCAACUUGGUCUUCACUCCUGCAAUAAACAAGAUCAAUGACUUCAUUUUUUGUCAAGUCUCACAAGAAAUGAUAUCUCACAUCUUUGUGCUUGCAUCUUUCAUGUAGAACCGGAUUCUUUGAAAGUUUAAUUGUUGACCUAUUAUCACAUAAGAUUUGUGUUGACUCUGGUUGCUUAAACUGAAGUUCAUGAAGAAUAUUUCUUAGCCAAAGUGCUUGACAUGCACAAGAAGCUGCUGCAACAAACUCAGCCUUAGUUGUUGACAAAGUAACUAUCGGUUGCUUCUUAGAUGACCAUGAAAUAGCUGCUGAACCAAACAUAAAUACAUAUCCAGAUGUGCUUCUUCUGUCAUCCAAAUCUCUAGCAUAAUCACUGUUUGUAAAGCCAUACAAAUCUGAUUUUUUUACCCUUUUUGUAGAACAACCCAAAUUCAGUAGUACCACGCAAGUAUCGAAGAAUUCUCUUUGCAGCUAAAAGAUGAUCCUCUCUUGGACGCUCCAUAUAUUUGCUGAUGGAACUAACUGCAUGCAUUAUAUCAGGUCGAGUUGCCAUUAAGUACAUCAAGCUUCCAACAAUCUGUUUGUAAAGGGUACUAUCAACUAUUCUUCCUGCAGGAUCCUUAACAAGCUUCAAUCCUUUUUCAAUUGGAGUAGUGACAGAGUUGCAGUUCCUCAUUUGAAAUCUUUCUAAGAUCUCUUCCAUAUAUUUCUUUUGACAAAUAAAUUUUCCAGCAUCAGAUUAUAUGACUUCUAAGCCAAGAAAAUAAUGCAGCAAACCAAGAUCAGUCAUAUCAAAUUCAAGCAUCAUGGAUUCCUUGAAUUUCUCAAACAUUACUCUGUCAUUUCUCGUGUAAAUCAAAUCAUCUACAUAUAAACAUACCAUAAGCAUUUUCCCAUCAUCUCCAAUUUUUGUGUACAGAGUAUGCUCAUAUGAGCAUUUUCGAAAACCUUCCUUCAAGAAAUAAGCAUCUAUAUGACUAUACCAAGCUCGGGGUGCUUGUUUUAUUCCAUAUAGAGCUUUUUUCAAUUUAUAGACUUUAUGCUCACUGCCUAAUUUCACAUAUCCAGGAGGUUGUUCGAUAAAUACCUCUUCUUGUAGCUCCCCAUGCAAGAAUGCUGAUUUCACGUCCAGUUGAAAAACAGGCCAUGAAUUUUGUGCUGCAAGAGCAAUAAUCAAUCUGACCGUUUCAAGUCUUGCAACGGGAGCAAAUACUUCUUUAUAAUCUACGCCGAACUCUUGCUUGUAGCCUUUGGGGACUAGGCGUGCCUUGUAUUUAUCAAUUUCACCAUUUUCCUUCAGUUUUGUCUUGUAAAACCACUUGACUCCUAUUGUCCUCUGCCCCAUUGGAAGUUCAGUCAACUCCCAAGUAUUAUUUUUUUCAAUGGAUACAAUUUCUUCGUCCAUGGCUUUUAGCCAUUCUUGUUCUUUGACAGCUUCUUUAAAAGUUGUAAGAUCACAUUCUAAAAACAAGGCAAAGUGUAUGAGUGGAUUCUCAAGAGUGUUAAAUCUUGUUACCUCAUAAUCUAACGUCCAUGCAGGCCUUCUUCUAUCACGUUGAGAACGUGAAUCUGUAGCUUCAACUUGUUCAUCAAGUUCAUUUGUUGUUGGUGGAGUUUUCUGCUGAGACUCUAUUUUGCGGCAGGUCAGGAGCAAAGACUGUUGAAGGCUGAAGUUACUGUGAAUUUUCUUCAAUUUCACCAUCGAAAUCUGCUAGAAUUUGCUGCCCAACAGAGCUGCAUCUCUACAUCCAUGUCUUCUCUUCAUCAAAAAUGACAUCACGACUAAUGACAAUUUUCUUGAUGAUGGGAUCAUAUAAUUUGUAGGCCUUUGAAUGAUCACUAGCACCAAGAAAAAUGCACUUUACACCUUUGUCAUCUAAUUUUCUUCCUUUCUCAUCUGGUAUGUGGACAUAUGCUAUACAUCCAAAUUCCCGAAAGUGAUCUACUGCCGGCUUACGUCCACUCCAUGCUUCUUCAGGAUUUAUAUUUUGAACAUCUAUUAUGGGGCUUCUGUUCAAAAUAUAAACACUUCAAACAACUGCUUCAGGUCAAAAAAUUUUGGGAAGACCACUCCUCUGCAAAAGGCUUCGUACCAUAUUAAGAAUUGUACGAUUUUUCCUCUCGCAUACACCAUUUUGCUGAGGUGUGUAGGCUGCUGUCAAUUGUCUUCUAAUUCCAUGAUUUUCACAGAAGCUUCCAAAUUCUUGAGAGUUGAACUCUCCACCACGAUCAGUACGCAAUAUUUUAAUUUGGCUGUAAGCUUCUCUUUCAACUAGUGCUUUAAACAUUUGAAAGGCUGUGAAAGCUUCCGAUUUUUCUUGCAAGAAAUAAACCCAGGUUUUUUGACUAAAAUCAUCAAUAAAUGAGAUAAAAUAUCGGUUACCUCCAUUUGAUGUUGGCUUGAUUGGCCCACAUAAGUUAGAAUGCACUAGCUCCAGCACUUUCUUUGCCCUCCAGGAUUUUCCUUUUGGAAAAUUAUCUCGAUGUUGCUUACUGAAAAUACACUCUUCGCAAAGCUGUGAAGGUUGCUCAAAUUGUGGAAGGCCUACCACCAUAUUUUUCUACUGCAAGGCCUUCAAUCCACCAAAACUAAGAUGCCUGUAAUGAAAGUGCCAUAACCAUGCCGUAUCUUUGAAAUUUGCAACAAAACAUGAGUGUGCAGUAUGGUGAAGAUACAAUGGAAACAUUCUAUUUGCCGUCAUUUUCACUUGAGCAAUUAAGCCUAAUUUUUCAUCGUGGAUUCGGAAAACUCCUUCCUUGAUAGAGAUCUCAUACCCCUUUUCUUGUAACUGGCCAACACUGAAAAGGUUAGUUUUCAGUUCAGGAACGAAUAGAACAUUUGAGAAAGAAUGAGAACUUUCCUUGGUUUGGAUUGCAACCUUUCCUUUCCCCAUGACAGAAACUGUGGAGUCAUCACCAAAUUUUACAGUAUUUCGAAAAGUUUCAUCCAAGUCAGAAAAAGCAGAUUUAUCCCCACACAUAUGAUUGUUGCAACCGGUAUCUAAGUACCAUAGAUUUUGGUGACCUUCCUCCUUUGUAUGACAUGCCAUAAGAAGGGAAAUUUCUUCUUCCUCAUUUUCUGCAAAGUUAGAUUUCUCGCCACGAUUCUUAUUUAAAUUAGUACGGCACUCGGAGCAGUAAUGAUCGUACUUCUGACAACAGAAGCAUUUAACAUCCGAUUUGUCUUUAGACUUUGGUUUAUGUCCUGUCGAAUUCUGACCAUCAUAAUCCUUUCCUUUUCCUUGAGAAUCACCAACCUUUUCUUCUAAUCUGUUCUGCCCAUUCUUGCCUUUCCAGCCUCCUUUACCCCCUCCAGUUGGUUUGAGAUUUGCUGCUGCCUGUAAUGCAUGUUCUUCCUUAUCCUGUCGGAUUACUUUCUGCUCAUGGACUAGUAAAGUGCUUUCCAAUUCAUCAAUCGAAAGUGUGUCAAUAUCCCUUGAUUCCUCAAUCGCACAAACAAUAUAGUUAAAUUUUGCCGUUAAAGAUCGAAGAAUCUUCUCAAUUAUGAUAACAUCCUCGAGCUGUUCGCCAUGAAUUCAUCUCUUAUUUGCGAUUGCCAUUGUCCUUGCAAAGUAUGCUGAGACCGACUCUCCCAUCUUCAUUCGUAGAGAUUCAAAUUCAACUCGAAGUGUCUGGAGGUGUACUUGCUUCGCCCUUGCUGUCCCUUGGUACUUCUUUUUCAAGGAAUCCCAAAUUUGUUUGGAGGAGUCUUUGUUAAGAAUUGUUUCCAAGAUUGAGCAAUCAAUAGCUUGGAACAAGUAAUUCUUUGCCUUGAGAUCCUUUAAUCGUUUCCCUUCAAGCACUAUUUUCUGAGCAUCCGUCAAAACUACACCGGCUGGUGGUUCAGUUAUUCUAGUUGAAACAACCUGCCAAUACUCCUUGGACCUUAAGAAACUCUCCAUCAACAUGCUCCAAUGGUCAUAGUGACCAUCAAAGCGGGGAAUUGCAGGUUGAACAAAAUUCUCAGAAGCCAUGAAUUUCUGCUGCUGCAACACGAGUGAAAAAAGAGCCAAGUAAGCUGUUGUUACUAACUCUGUCAAUCCCACUUUUCUAAUUCAAGCUCUGAUACCACUGUUAUAAGUGAAUAUGAAAUAGUUCACUCAAAGCAAGGAUACAUGGAUGAAAGUACUACACAUUUUAUUCACAAUGAGGUUGCCUUUUAUAGGCGUUACAUGAACAAACUUAACGAAAUAAUAGCAUCCAUUAUUCAACAAAAUAUUACAGCCACUUUCCAGUAACUAUAGCCUAAAGACUAGGUAAACACAAUCUUGCAAAUAACAUUACCAACAAACUUUCUAAAGACUAGGACCAUAAAAGCAACUUAUUGACACAAGGAAAUUCCAACAAUAAUUCAUUGAAUGAUUUGUCUUAAUUAUAUAUCAAUUUACUAAUGUAAUUUGACUACAUUGAGCUGGAUAACAUAUGAGAUUUAAUUAACCUUGAAAUGACUGUUAGACUUAUUAAAUCUCAUAGGCAUUGAUUUUACUGUAAUCUUAAUCUUGAGUUAGUUAUGAUUUCAUAAUUGUAAUUGUUAUUCCAUUUGAGUUACCAAUGGGCACGACACACAAUUAUGGUCAAGAUUACCCGGUAUCUUGGUGGGAGCAAUUAUGAGUAUUGGAGUUAUAGAUUAACAAUAUAGAAUUUGUAUGACGCAUCUCUUGAUGGGUUUUUGGCACUUAAUCAUAAAAUUCUCUGGCCAGAGUGUGUCAACAUAUUUAGUAUGUUGAAAAUGAUCAUUAGAGAAAACCAGUAAGUAUGAAAGAACAAGAUGUAAUUAAAUUGAUUGGACAGUUGAGAUAUCAAUUUAAUUAACGAUGUGGUACAAAGGAUUGAGUAGUAAAGAAAUCAGUGUGGCUUGGGACGAAUUAUUAUUCGAACAUACAAUUAUGGAGGUCAGUUCCAAUCUUAUAGUGGAGUAGAGUUGGAAUUAAAUAAUUAGGCUUAUUUAAUUACAGGCUUAAUUUUUGUAGCCACUAUUGUAUAUUCUCAAAUGAUCCCUGGGUUAGCUCAUUUAAUUGACUGCAUCGCUACUGGAUUAAUAAGUAAGAUAACUAACUAUUUAGGUUAAAAGCCUAAAUAUAUUAUUUAGUGGGAGACUCCAUUAAUAUGCUUGAGUGUAAGGGGCCUUAUGUUAUUUUACAAGGUGGACCCCUAUAACACAUGAACAAGUAACGUGACUUUUGUUUUAAUUAUUUUUUAAUUUAAAUAAAAUGGGAUUUAAUAGAAUUAAUAAAUAAAGAAAUAUUGAGCCUAGGGUUUCCACUAAAUAGAGAUAUAAAAAGGCUUAUUUUCUCAACAAAAAAAAAAUAGACAGAGGUCACAUUAUACAAAUAAGAGAAAAUGAUUUUCUCUCUAAUUUUGAGAGAAAAAUUUUCUCGUGCUAGUUGCUUUAGUAGUGAUAAAGGCGCCCACACGUCAAGUGUAGAUCAAACCUGAGUUAUAGCCUGAAAGAUUAUUUGGUGGCGGAUCGUGAUCUAACAGGAGUAGUGGGGACGGAUCGUGGUCUGGGAGCCUAAAUCACUUUAGUGGAAAAAGAAAAGAUUGUUCAUCUUCUCAAAUUUUCAAGGUACGAUUUCUAGAUUACAAAUUCUUAUAUAUUGUAUGAGAUCGAUCCUAAAAGUUUUUUUUAAAAAAAAACUGCUUUUUUCCACAACAAUAAUUAGCCACCGGUGUCUCGUCUGUCCAUGUGAGUUUUUACUUGUUUAAUUUGCUUGUGGGAAGCUUAUGUAAUCAAAGAACAAGUUGUGAUUGUGUUUUGUUGCGUUGCUAGUGGUUCAGUAAUUGGGACUACUUUGAUUAUGUUUUGGUAAUAGAUUUUACUAGUUUACUAGUGUUUCAGUAGGAUUUUUCUUUUUUUAAAUUAUUAACUUAUGCAUCUAUUGAAAUCUGAACUCAAAACUUAAGCCCCAAAGAAAUUGCUUGUUACCGUUGGAAUUAGACUUGACUUUCGUAGUUUAUUAAUCAACUUGCUUACUAGGUAGCCUUGCCGUAUGAUAUGGUUUGCUAUCUUAUGGGUAGUGAUGUUUCCCUUGCAAUACCCCUCGCAUCUGUGUAAGGACAUCCAUCUAAUUUUGUUGAUAUUUUUGGAAGUUAAACUUUCAUCCUUAAUUUGAAUGAUUGAAAGAUAAUAUAUAAUUUUAGCCUCGGUUGAUUCAAAAACGGUAGAUUUAAAAGAGAGAUUGAUUCAAAAAGAUUAAAUUAAACGUUCAAAAUAAUUUAUAAAAAAUGCAAGAUAUCCGCAAACUGUCUAAAAUACUAUCCUUUAAUCAAUAAUAUUUUAAAUAAGGAGAUUAUGGGUGGACCAAAAAUCCAUGUACCAAGCCCAAGCAAACGCGCAGAUUUAACAACCCGUUUGGAGCAGCGGCGUUACCAAAUUAUUUAUAGGUUUGGGUUCGGUUACAAAAACUCAACCACAAAAAUAAAUUUAUGUUCACUUAAAUUUCUAUAAAAAUCUUCUAAAACCCCUUUAUAAUUGUCUCCUUCUUUAAAAUUACCGUAUAGGACAAAAUUAUAUCUCAUUAAACCCACCGUAAACAAUUCUUUCACCGACAAUUUUUCUCCUGUACGUAUGUACUUCUGUUAUCUUAGAGUUUAUACGAAAAUUAUUGAAACCUCAAAAUACAACUACAGAAAAAUCUCAAAAGCCGGUAACAACCCUGUUAAAAAUCAAAAUAAUGAUCAUGUUAGAAGACCAUUCCCUGUCAAAUUCCAUUGAAAAUUGAGUGCAUAUAUGACUUAGGCAAAAUAGAGAAAAAAAAAUCAGUUUGAGCUUUAAAAUUGUUGUAAACUGGGUAGUCAAAGGAGUGCCAAUAGUCCAACUCAGUUCAUAUUCAUUUAAAUCUGAGAUGAAGAAAUAAACACCACAAAAUAAACUUAAAUGUUGGAAACUAAUUCUAACCCAACCUGAAUAGAUUUUUAUUGGAAUUUUUUUGGUUUAAGUUACUCAAUAGUUUUAGAGUGGAGCUUCUAACAUCCCAUUAAAACUCAUAAGAAACACUACUUAUUCAUUUUUAUAUCUCUUUUUUUAUGAAAUUACAAAAAAGUCCAUAGAAUUACAAUAGAGUUUUAAUUAAACUUCACUAUCAUUUUAGACAUACUUUUUCAUAAUAAAAUUAUUAUUAUUAAGUAAUUUAUUUCCUCAUUAUCACAAAAUUAUUUUUGACUUUAUCAAACAAAUAAGGUUAAAAAAAUAGUUAGGGGUUUAUGAUUUAUAAAGACAUUUUAGUUUAAUUAAAUUCUUAUUUUUUUCUUUUGGUAAUUUCGAAGAAUAUUAAAGGGGUGUGAAAAACAGUACUCAUAAUUGAAUUAGAUCAAAACUUUCUCAACCCAAAUACGUUUGGAUUUGAUUGGGUUAAUCCCAACAUUCACUCACCCCUAAAAUGGCUUUAUAUAUAGUCAUUAUUACGAAAAAUAUAAUCAUAGCGUCAACUCUUAAGUAAACUUUUUGGUUGAGAGAGGCGUAGAUCACUAAACAUGUAUUAGUAGUCAAAAUUAGAAGAGGAACUUUAUCUAGAUUACUACAUUUACCAAAUAAUAUUAUAAAAUGUAAAAGUUUUAAUGGGGUGUAUUAAACGGGGUGUACCCCAUCACUAUCUUAAGAAUGGUGAUUUUGAUCCCUUAUUAUAUCUCACAAGCCCCCCAUUUUUCAGUUAAUUCCAUUAAAAAUUUUAAACAAAUCUUUAUCUCUCAAUAUACCUUACCUAAUCUCUAAUUUACCUUUAUUUUAAUUUUUUUUCAUACACCCAUUGUAUAAAUUUUAUAAAAUCAUUUCUUAAAAAAAAAUCUCAUAAUCAUUGCAAUUUCUCAACUUUUUUUUUAAGGUUUUAUCCACCACUUAAGAUUUGAUAGUUCCACCAAGAAUUGGAGCAAAGAACCAUGCCGAGUCGGCCCUGAAUAACCUUAGUAUCGUGCUAAGCCUAUCAAGCCAAAGUUGAGUGAAGGAAUACAAGAAUUUGGCCGAGGGGUUUGACGUGAUAAAGAUAGAGAUUUUUUAUUAUUAUAAUUGAUUUGGAGCUAAAAAGGGGAUUCUUGAUUUCCUUUUGUGUGCAUCCCAAUCUUGUAUUCAAGUUUAUCUGUUCAUGGACCAGAAUGCAUUGCAUUUGGAAAGUGUUUGCAAUUGUACAGUGAUAUUACUUGGACAGUAAUUUGGCGUUGCAAUGCAUUUACAGAACGAAUGAAAAUUUGGAAUCGCGAUGAAAAAUGUUGUCAGGUAUCUAUCUGAGAAUGAAAGCACUCGUUGUCAGUCUCUAUGAGAUUGCAGUAUAAAAUUUUACAUUGUUCUUCAAUAUUUUGAAUAGAAUGCCUUACUUUGAAUGGAAUGGCUCAGUUUAAAAAGUUAGAAGAAAUUAGAGUUUAAGAAAUUAGAUUCGCUUAAUUAGUUAUUAAUAGAAAUUUUUAUGCCGGUGCACUUAAAAAUUAUUUAUUAUUUUAAGUUAUUUCACAUGAGGAUAAAAUAGGUAUUAACAUAAAAGUUAUUAGUGUGGGUUGAUAAGAUAUAAUGAGAGAUUUAAACAUCACCACUCUACUCAUGGAGAAGCUCCAAAAACGAUCUCAUUGGUCGAAAAAGGCCAGACCCAUUGAACGAGGACCCUUAAAAUUUGAUCCUAGCUUGACCCAUACGAUAGGUUGAAUAGGUUAGUCCUUUACACAAUCAAAAUAAACUUGUGAGUAGGGGUGGGAAAAUAACCCAAUCUGAUUCAACCAAAAAACUUGAGUUCAGAUCGGAUGUAGAUCAAUUUCUCAAUCCAAUCAGGUAGGAAUUUAUCCAAAUCGAUCCGAAAAUACACACAAUUAAAUAAUAUUAUUUGAAAUUUUUUAUCCAUUCCAAAUAUAAUUCGGAUUCAAUUAUAAGUCUGGAUUACUUUUUUCCUAACUCGAUUAACCGGAACUCGAACCCGAUCCGAAUAUGAAUUUGCCGACCCCUACUUAUUAUCGUUUACACAUUACAUUUGUGACUAUCAUUUUCAAACUAAAAUUUUCUCUUGAUGCGAAUAAGAAAAAAAAAACAUAGAGUAAAUUUCGUUUAAAAAAUGAGGCACCAUAGAUGGACCGUACAUAUGGUACAGCUAGCUGAAAUGGAAGUAGCCUUGUGAGAGCUGCCUAUUUUGGAUUCAGGAUGAAAUAUUUAAGAAGCAAGCAAGUAAAUAAAUCAAGAAAAUAAUAUUCGGCCACCCUCAUUCCAGAGGGAAGCCAAAAACGACAUACUUAUGUGCCGUUUUAAAGUUUUAGAUUUGAAAAUUAAAAAUAAAUUUUACCAUUAAAAAAUAAUAAAAGCUAAUCAAAAGAAAUUAAAAAAUCUAAAUUCUUAUCCCUCCCCUCGCUCACCCCCUCUCUUUGACUCACCCCGCUCUGUCCCUCUCACUCUCACCCACGAAGCUCGUUCCCCUCUCACUCACCCACAAGCUCGCUGUCAAUAUUUUUCUCAGAUCUCAGUUAACGCAUCAUCAAAACCGCAACCAUGACGCUAGGCUGAGGAGGAUCCAGUGUCGUGGGUCAGUUUCUUGUCUGAUCUUGCCAUUUUUUGUUCAAUCUAUUUAUGCCCUGGAUUGAUUUAUUCUCUUUGUUUUGUUGUAUUUCUUGUUCUGGCAAAAUCUAUUUGUCUAAGUCACAUACAGGUCGUAGCCGUUGCUUUUAUUAUUUUAUAAUUUUUUUGGGUGGUUUUGUGUAGUCUUAUGAACUUUCUUUUUGGCAUAAAUGCAUCUGGGUUGCUACGUGCCUACGUUUGAUUGUUAAUUAGACCUGAUCCGUAAUUCUAUGCGUUUUUUGCAUUUUUGAUUGCGAAAUUAAGUUAAUUUAGUUUAAUAUGAUUACAUUAUUGUCACCUAAAAUUAGUAUAUUUAAUCAGUUAAAGAAAUUCUUUUGACACGGACUUUAUGAAACCUUGUAUGUGAUACUUUUCUUAGCAAAGUACUUGGAUUUUGGAUUUUUUUUAUUUAUAUUUUAAAAUUACUAGAAAUAAGUUAUUUGAAGUGUGAUACUUUGUGAAAUGUUAAAGCUUACGGUUUGGUUGUAAUUCUGUUUUUGCUUAUAUAUGUUUACGUCUGUUGGCAUUCUUUUUUUUUUGGUAUUUGAAGUUUGCAUAUAUGGUGUGUAUUAAGAUUUUCAAGUGGUUCUUCAAACAUAUUCUGGGUAGUUUGAUAUAUCACAUGUUUCUGUGAAUUCUUUAGUUGAGGCAAUUGUCUUUGCUCUUAGCUGCAUUAUUAAGUUCUUUACCACAUAGAAUUCCCUAAUUUUCUUCUGCUAAUCCAGUAAUUGCAGCUUCAUUGUAAGGUUCUUCAUUUUCUAUAAAGCAUAUAUUGCUUCAUCAACCCUCCUCUAAAUAUGUUGCAAAUAUGUAUUUGAUUCAUUCCAAUCUUACAGAUCAUUGUUGGAUGCCGAAUCAGCAUACAAUGCUUACAAUUGUGAGAGAAAAAUGAACAACCAAUUGCCCGGUUCAGUUACGCUUUAAGCUAGGAAGAUUGACGUAGAAACAUUUGUUUAAGUGUAAUUACCUAGGUAGGUGAAAAAGGUCCAAAAUCGUCAAGCACACUGUCAACUAAGGCUGGUCGGCGACGUGAACGGCGUGAUAGCGAUGUCGGUGAUGGGCUGGUCGGCGAUGGGCGUGGCGUGACAACAAGUUUCGUGGGUGAGUAACAGCCUGAGAGAAAUAGCUCGCAAGUGGGUGAGUGAGAGAGGCAGAUCGGGUGAGUGAGAGAGACAGAGCUGGUGAGUGAGAGGGAAGGUGAAUGAGAGAGAGACAGAGCAAGCGAGUGAGAGGGACGGGUAAGAAUUUUGGAUUUUUCAAAUUCUUUAGAUUUAAUUUUAAUAUUUUUCAAUGGUAAAAUCUAUUUUUAAUUUUCAAAUUUAAAACUUCGAAACGGCAGAGGAAGCAUGCGUUUCUGGCUUCGUUAUGGUCUCGUGGUGGCCGAAUAUCAUUGCCCAGUAAAUCAUGAUUCUUCGAGAGACCGAGCAACCGCUUGUGAAAACCCUUAGACUAAGUCCUAACAACCCUUAGACUAAGUCCAGCACUUACCAUACUGUGUCCUAUAUAAUUGAAACGUAAAUAGAUUAUUGACAGCAAAACAAAAUAAUAACUUAAUAUAAUGACGUGUAACAAUGUACAUUUUUUAUUUUUUAUUUUUGUCAAUUAUGCGUUAGUGUUUGAUGCCCUUGUUUCAAAAAUAAAUAAAAAUUGAUGCACAUGUACCGCAAUGUCAGUUCUGAGGGAGCUGUGACGAGUAAUGAUUAAACUAUUAAUUAUUAAAUAUAGCAAGUAAAUUUUGAUGCCAUCAUUUUAAAAAAUUAAUAAAAAAAUAAACAAAUUGAUAUUCAUGUGCAUGUCUAAUGCUUUAUUUAUAUAAGAUUAAAAUUCUCUUUUCAUCUGGGUUUUUAUUUGAGCAAAUACAAUUAUUGGUAGUUAACAUAUAGAAGCACAAUUAAAAAAUAUAUCUUGACCGUGCUCACGUACACGUUGAAAGAAUUAAAGAAAAGGAGCCCUCUAAAUUCUGUUUGUUUGAUAAGAAAAUGAAUAGAAAAUUUUAUUGAUUCAAAGAGAAAAUUUGUUCGCUGGAUUUUUAUUUGUAAGUCUUACUAAUGAAUUGAGAGUACAUUGAUAAAUAUAGCUGUGUGUGGAAACUUCUACUGCAACAAACUCGUGUCCACAUUUCCAGCGCGCUAACUAUAACAACCUACUGACUAAGUUUGGAAGGAAAUAACAACUUGUUUAACUGUUUUACAACUUGGCUGCUGACUCAUCAUUACACUGAAAACCCCAGCUGACUUCAACUGCUGACUUAGCAUUUAUUCUUAACAGAAAGAUAAUGAUAAAAAGUUGCUUCAGAAUUCGUGGGCACGCACGCACGCUACUUGUAGAACUCCAUAACCCAUAAGUUGUAAAAAAAGCAUACAAAUCUGAUGCCACUAAAUCCAGCUUCAGUAGCCAAGGUCGUGAAUUCAUGCUUUGUUCGCUCCUUUCCUCCCGGAUAUUGAGUCAUCACCAGCACAUCAGCUAGGGAAUUUAUUUUUGAAUGAGUGCUAGUCUCAGGCAGUUCUGGAAGUACUGACUCCACAACAAUUACCUUCCCUCCUUCGGGAAUACUUUUGUAGCAAUUCUUCAAUAACUUCAAGCAAUGUUCAUCGCUCCAAUCGUGCAGUAUCCACUACAAAAUUUGAAAUAUUAUGAAAUUUGUUCAGGGAUCGAACACCUAAUACCUGCAAAUUAAAUUCAAAUGAAACUUACCUUGAUCAAAAUGGCGUCGCCAUUUGGAACACUUUGAAACAUGUCACCCCCUACAUGCUUAACACCUGUACUACAUACAAUUUAGUUUCCGCUGUUAGGAUCUAGCGGUAUGGGCAGAGAAUUCAUAAGAUAACUGAUAUUCGGGAAAAGAAUUUAGAUAAAAUUCUGACAAAAACAACAAUAAAUCAACCCUGAUUUUUUCACUAAAUUGCAAUAUAUGGUAAAUCGAGUCUGUUUUGAUGUUUUUUGUCAGUUUUUUCUUGUUGCAACAUUUUGUGCUUUUACCCUUUUUUUCCAAAUGAUAAUGUAUAUUUCUUCACAACAAUGACAUUAAAAAAAAAAAAAAAGAGAUUGGAAUCAAUUUUCUAAUUAACUUCCUACUUUCUCCAGGAUUUAUAUUGGGAUGAUUAAUUAAAGAAAGCUACUUAAAAGCCACUUGACCAAGUCCCUAACAUUAUUAUAAAGAUAAUUGAUAGUUCAUACCAGGAUACUCAGGGGAAUGCUGUAUAACGUGAGGCAAGUCGAAAUUGAUGCCCUUAAUGUGGGGGUACUUGGAAGUAAUUGCUUUAAGGGUAUUGCCAAGGGAACCGCCAACAUCAACCAAUUGCUUUAUGUGCUCGAAACCCUUGUAAGCCUCAAGGAUUUUCUGAAGGACCAAAGUGGUAUGGUUGAACAUCGCUGUGCUGAAAACUUCAUUGAACCUGGGGUCCAAUCCUAGGUACUCGAAAGCGUUCGUUCCGUGGACUCGGUCAAAUGGAACUCCUCCUUCAAUAAUAGUUUCUUUCAGUUGGGACCUACAUGACCAGUUAAUCAAUCAUCAUUUUGCGUUUGGCCUAACUUUUUUAGAUACAAUGGUUAGUGGUUGAUAAAAACAAAAAUAAUAAAGGGAUAUAUCUAUAUUAUAUAUAUGACGAUGUAUACGUUUCAUAAAAUCCCUUAACAGAUAAGAUGAGUAGAGGAUUCAUUGCCAUUAAAAAUUUUAUGUUAUAUCUUAACUCAUAACUGUCACAUACAUCUUUAUGAAAACGAGAAAAAAAAUGGAAAUCAGGGUAAUAUUAUCAUACGGGUGGGUUGCUAAAUUUUAGCAACGUCACAAAUUAGGAGAUAUGUAGUUUGUAGGACUUUUACAUAUAGCUAGGUCCUGCUGUUAUUUUUUUUUCCUUAAAAGAUUUUAUUUCUAAUUCUCUCCAGGCAAGUGAUCAUACCACCCCAAGUGAAUCUUUUAAUUCAGCGAAAUUCUACGGACGAAGUUAAGAAAUUUUUGUUCUUCCAGGAUUUCUGUCAGAACUGAAGAAACUACUCAAUUAAUGCUUUCAAUAGAACAAAAUACAUUGUCUUUUUCAUAUAUGUUACACUCAUGUCCUCUAUAAUUAAAAGACAAAAAUACCUCGGAAAGAAAACAUAUUUCCUCAUAUCUUCUGUAGCUGCAAGUAAUUAAAACACCACCAACAAUAGUUUACUCGUUCUUGAAUUGAUAUGACUAGAAGUAUAUUUAAUAAUGAUUUAUAAGUUUGACAGUGAACCUUCUACAUUUUAUCGCUCACUUAUAUGAACACGUUUGUUUUUCUUUUUCGAUGACCUGAGUUUAGAAAUAAGUUGAGUAUGAAGUCGAUUAUGAUUUAAGACUUGGGAGAAAUGCAUGAUUGGAUCUGAAGGCGUAGAAAGAGAAUUGUAUUAUAAACCCAUGUAUUUUUACCCUAAUUAACUUAAAAAAAGAAAAAUUCAGAGGAUUAAAAUGAUAGAGUGGACAAACCAGCUGUCGAGAAAGGCCUCGUCCUGAAUUAAGGCCAAUACAGGGCCUAAUGAGACACCAUCUUGAUUAGGCACAAAGUAUUUGGAAACAUCAUUCAAACCGUAUAGCCUGUGAGAACCAUCUACAUCAUCAAGUGAGCAUUCAACAAUACCAUAGCUAGCCAGAAGCCCGAGUAUCCGGUCCAGCAUCGUGGGUGCGUCUUUGUUCUUGGUGGCGGGCAACUGAGCGGCAAUCUCUGAAGCUGAGAGCUUUGCUCCAGGACCAGCUUUGGCUAUGAUCUCCAAAAGUCCCAGCUUAAUUACUGCUUUCAUGGUCAUGUGGAGCACUGAACCCGUCAUCACUUCACAGGCAUAUGCAAAGUUUUCGUCUCUCGCUUCAUUAGCCAUAUUUUCUUGAAUUUCCUUAUCUGUUUUCCUCAGAAACAAUGCAUUUAUAGUGGAGUGAAGAGUUACUGUGUGUCCAAGAUUUUAGGUUGUAAAAUCUGACCCGGAAGUUUUCGAUAGUUCAAGUUAGACUAAAUGACAGAAAUUAAAUUAUGAUAAAACUUUUUCAAAGAUAAAAGUAUGGAAGCUUGGCAACUCUAAAAAAAUUAUAUUAUUAGGGAUAAAAACUUUAUUUAAUUUGCAUAAAUUGAAAUGACAUAUUGCAUGAUUCUACAUGUCUCAUAUUAUUUCUUUUAUUUUGUCGACUUUAAAAAAUCUGAACGGCCAACCUCUUCGAAAAUGUAUUCAAUAGUUUUUUAUAGCGAUGUAUUGUUCAAUAGUUUUUUAUAGCGAUGUAUUGGAAGUAAUUUAAAAGAUCAAACAUUUCAAAUGAGAUCCUAUUAUCAAACAAGAGGAAUUCUAAAAUAUAUCGGAGGUAUUAUGUCAGUUACACAAUAAGUCAAUAAUAUUAUGGAAUGUGUGCAUUUAUUUGAAAAAUUACCAUGCAAGUGGUAGUUAUAUUAAAUCCAAUUACACACGUCACAUAUACAUUGAUUAGUUGUAUUACCCUGAUUUAUUCUAAACUUUAUCGUCAAACAGAGAGCUUUUAGUUGAAAUGAGGAACUAUAAUUAUUUCCUGACAUAAGUUUUUCCUUUGAUUAUAAUAUAUUAACAUUUCAUGUGAGGAAAUAUUAGUUUAACAUUUUUUUUCCUAUUAUAACAUGUUCUAAAAAAGGAUUAUAAUUCUUAAUUAGUUUUUUUUCUCAUCUAGUCUUUUUUGCCAUGCAAAAUUGGAUUGGAUUAAUUAUUAGAAUAAGACUGAAUUAGAUUACUUGGAUAAAGUCGGAUUAUAUUAUACUGUCUUAUGUUUGGUGUAGUACGAGAUUGAACUAUGUUAAAUUAUAUUUCAAUGAUAUAAAUAGCAUUUAAGUUGAUAUUUGAAUAUGAACAUCAAUUAUUCAUGAAAUUUUAUAACAAUAAGGAAACAAAUUUAAAAAGCAAUUAAUUAAAAAAUUAAGUAUAUUGUAAAUAAGUUAUUAGGUAGUCAUAAUAUAAUCAACAAAUGAAAAAGAAAUAAAAAUUUUAAAUAUUUAAUUAAUUUUUAUCAAAUAUUUAAAAAAAUUAUAUAAAAUCAAUUAAUUCUGGUAUUUUUAAUUUUCAUGAUUAUUUUUUAAAUUAUAUUAGUGAUUAUUAAAUUUUAUACAAUCACUAAUGCAAUAAGUUAUUAAAUGGUUAAUUUAUAAAUUAUUAAAUAUACAAGUAAUGAAAAUUUAAUCUCAAGAGUUAUUAGAAGUAAAAUUGUCAAUUUAAUUAGAUCAUAUAUAAUAAAUAAAAAUCUUAAGUAAAUCAAAUAAAAAUCUUAAGUAAAUCAUAAAUAAAAAUUAAUUGAUUAAUUAAUAUUAACAGAUAAUUUUUCUUUAAUUUUAUCCAACUAAACAAAUAUGUAAAUUAGGAUUACUAAUCCGAUGAUUUUAGGAUUAAAUUCAAAUUUAGUCUCCUUUAAUUCAAUUCAAAUAAAUUUAUCAAAUAUAAAAUAAAUAUUUAAUUUUAGAAUUAGUGCAAUUCAAUACUUAAUCCUACAUCCAAACAUGGUCUCAGUUGUCAUAAAGGUAACUUAGAAAGAGUCGUAACCGAAAACAUUUAUAAAGCCAUUUUUUCUUUUAAUUUUCAGGUUCAUAUAUAUAUAUAUAUAUAUAUAUAUAUAUAAUCUUUCUGCCAAUGAAGCGCCUGCCAAUCAGAGAAGUUAAUUUUUUAAUAUAUUUUUCGACGCCGGCCCCGCCCCUGAUCUUAUAGCUUUGACUCCAGAUGAAUGAGGCUUUUCAUUCAUGUUAUUCUUUGAAAGAUCGUGAUUCCAAAGGCUGCUGACAAAAGAAGAUUCUUGAGGCUGCCAAUCAUGGCCAUCGCUGCAUAAAUAUAUAUAUAUUAAAUCAAACAGGAGUGCGGUUACUUUAUACGUACAACUUGGGUUCUUGCCUUGCUGCCGUCAUGGAGAAUUAAUGCCACUGGUCAACGGUGAAUCAAUGGCCAUCGGGCACCAAAUUCAUGACCAAUCAAUGGCCAACAAGCACCAAAUUAAUGCCAAGCACACCAACAACCACCGAUUAAAUGGCAAGUUUAGUGUUUUAAAGUUUAGAAUAUGGAGAAGGACUUGCUACUGUAUCCAGGUAUUAAAUCAUCAAAAACCAAUUUGGUUUGGACUCUUCAAUUUCAAUUUGACUUCUACACCAACACCACACAACAACUCAACAACCGAAUCACUCGUCCUAAUAGCAUAGCAAUCCAGUCGUCGGUUGCCCGCACGUGAGAGACUAUUUUCUUAUUCGUGCUCGGAAUUGUUGAAUUAAUUUUACAAUUCUCUUGUACCAAUUUUCAUCAUAUAUGCUCCCUCAAGAAGUGAAGAUCGAUGUCGGAAUCACUUUAAUUUAGUUUCAAUUACAUGAUGUUUGGGAUCUUCUUAUACCAAUUUCGGUCUACAAUUGCCUCAAGUAUCUAUGUCCGUCAAAUCUUAUUUGUAUUAAAGCAACCGCUUAAACCGUUAACCUGUUUGAUUUAAAAAACAAAUAUUUGGAGCUGUUAGAUUGAACUCGUGUAAAUUAGGAUUACUAAUCCGAUAAUUUUAAAAUUAAAUUCAAAUUUAGUUUCCUUUAAUUCAAUUCAAGUAAAUUUAUUAAAUAUGAAAUAAAUAUUUAAUCUUAAAAUUAAUCCAAUUGGAUACUUAAUCCUGACAUCCAGACAAGGCCUUAUUUGCCUUAAAGGCAACUUAAAAAGAGGUGUGACCAAAAACGUUUAUAAAGCCAUUUUGUUUUUCGGGUUCAUAUAUAUAUAUAUAUAUAUAUAUAUAUAAUCUUUAUGCCAAUGAAGCGCCCAUCAAUCAGCGAAGUUAAUUUUUUUUUAAUUUCUUUUUCGACUGUGAUUCCGGAGGCUGCUGUCAAGACAAGAUUCCAGAGGAUGCUGAUAAGACAAAUUCAAAUUGACCUUUUUAAUAAUUAUUAUCUUUUCUAAGGUUUAAAAUUUUAUGUGUAACGUACAGCUAAUGUGAUGUAAGUUUUACCUGAUGUAUGAGUUGAUGAACCAUCAUGGUGAAAUCAAAAUACAAAAAUAAUAGAGGUCAAUAACGGCAUUCAAAAGAAAAGAAAAAUUAAAACACAAAGAAAAUAAGGCCGUUGGAUUCGUUUUUUCAAUUUUUUUUCUGAAUAUUAAUACGUUACAAUGAAAGAACUUGCUAAUAUUUUCCAUAUUGAUCAGGAUAAAAAGAUUGUUGAUACAAUCAUACGUCAAUUUUGUAAUAUUAUAGUACAAUUCAAAAGUUUUAUUUUAUUUUAAAAUAUAUUUAUCCUACAUAUUUAUAAAAGAUAUUGUAAAAGAAUUAAAUUAAUUAAGAUUAAAUCUUCCUGCAAUCAUACUUGUUCAAGCUUCAAGUGUUCUCUACAUUCACUAAAUUUUAUAAAAGUAUCUUCUUACUUUUUCUACUCUAUAGCCUUUCUCUUGUGAUGGAAAAUAAAUUCUUAACAAGCAUAGACUUGGAUAGGCUAGAAACCCUUUUUAUAACAAUAUUUCAUAACUUAGAAGACUUUACACUUCCUCCAUCAAAGAAGUGAAUUUAAUAACCUUUAGCACUUCGAUUAUGAAAAUGAUUAGUAAACUAUAAUGCUAUCCCUUGAAAUAAAUAAGUAGGUUAUUAAUAUAAGUUUAUCUAUUUAUUUAAAAAAAAUCACUUAUCAUGUGGACUAUAUAAUGAAACUUUGUGGAGAUAUAUCUACCCACAUUUAACUAUAUAAUGAGAUAUGAAAUUAGAGGUCCAAGGAGUAGUACUCAAAUCUACAACCUCAAAAGUUGAGGUCGUGGCAGGCAAAAGAAAAAGGAGAACCACGUGUUGCUGGAAAAGGAACUUACAUGAGUAACUGCAAAUUAAGCAAACACUAAAUUUUUCCCUCUUUAUAUGAUAAAAUCGGAAUGUGUAUAAAAAAUAAACAAGCAAAAAAUAAAACCAACACAAUUGAAAACAAUAAAUCAACCAUAAGAGAUACAAAUUAUUUUAUGUGGAAAACUCAAAUCGAGAAAAAACCACAGGACCAUACAGGGGCGGAUGCAUCAUAAGACCAGUGGGGACUUGAGCCCCCACUAGGCAAAAAAAAAAUUCUAAAAUUGAAAGAGAAAAAUAUUUUCGUUUUCUAAUUAACCCCCAUUAAUUUAUUAAAAUAGUCACUAUAAAUUAUAAAACCCUAUAAAAUUUAAACUUUAACUUUUAAAAAUUAUAAAAACUUAUAUUUUAAUUAAAAAUAAUAAUAGCCCACCACCCAAAAUAUUUUAUAUUCUUAAAAAUAGGAUUAAUUCUUCAAGUUUCUAUAAUAAUAGUAGAGCGAACGUUUUCAGUAAUGAAACUCAUGAAGAAUCAUCUUUGGAAUCGGAUGGGAUAAAUGAUAGUUUUGUUGUUUAUAUAGAAAACAAUAAAUUUAAUAAUAUUGAUAAUGAGUUUAUUGCAUAACAUUUUUAAAAUAUGAAAAUGCAUAGAGAAUAAUUAUAAAUGUAUUAGCAAAUAAUUUAUAUAUUCAAAAUUUUAGUUUUUCAUAUUUUACUACUAUCUAAUUUAGCCCCCAGUAAAUUAUUUUUCUAGAUCCGCCACUGGGACCAUAGUCCAAUAUAACCUUCCAUUAUAUUAAUAAUGGGAUUACUACACAAAUUCUUCUCUAAAUAAUACUAGAGGCAAACAAUAUCAAGAAUCUCAACAAUCUUGCUCAUAGUAAUAGUCUAAUAUUUUUCAUUCUAACAAGUGGGUAUCUUAGAUAACAACCAAUGAGAGAAUGAAAUAAAAAUCAAGACCAGUAAGAAUGUAGAGGGCGAUGCCAGAAAUUGCCUUCCAAAUUUGGGAGAUUAAGUUUGCCUUUCGAUCGUCCAUUCAAAGAUUAAAAUCCUUACCCCCAAAUUGAGUUGGCCAUUGUCUUCUUUUUCUCUCUCAUCUUUUCUAUGUUUUUAAGGCUGCUGCUUCACUUGUCUACUUUUUCUUUUAUAGCCAGGUGAUUUUCAAAGCCAAAUUUGAUGGCAAUUUUCAAUUAGCCAUAACAUAUUUCCUUUAAUUUCUUAAACACCCAAACUAAUGGAAACUUUGGUUUGGGCCACCCAAAUGAGAUGGAUUCAACAAAUCUUCCCAUCAGAUCAUAUGGGGGGCACUACCAAGCCCGUUCUCUACUUACAGUCUUUCAGCUUCUCCUUGGGCAACGACUUUGUCAUCAUAUCUGACACAUUCUUCAUGAAUAUAGUCAGGCUACAACUAUUUCUUUUCAAGCACGUCUUGUAUUCAUUGAUAUCUCACCUUAUAUGCUUGAAUUUCGAAUGGUAUGUUAAAUUCAUUGCCAAGUGAGAGCACUUUGAUUAUCACAGUACACGACAUAGCUAUUUUGUUUCACAUCCAGCUCUUGUAAGAAAUUCUUCACCACAAAGGGUUUUAGUGAUUGCAAUAUACUCUGCUUCUAUGGUGGGGACAACAACACGAAGUUUGAAAUCCUCUUAGACUACCCCCUGCAAAGGUAAGCAAAUAUCCUGAUAGGAAUUUUCUAGGAUCAACAUCUCUUGCCAUAUAUGUUGUACACUUAUAACACAACUUGUCACCAUUAAAACAUAAACAUGUCUUGGAAGUGUUCUUUGCCUGUACUAUAAAGAAACUGACUGAGUACACCGACUGCAUGGGCAAUAUUUGGUACAAGCCAUGGCGUACAUCAGUCUGCAAAGUGUUGAAGCAUAAAAUAGUCCUUUCAUCUGCUGCUUCUCUUUCUCGCUUGUAGGAAAAUGCUUGGAACUAAACCUAAAAUGGCCCGCAAGUGGAGAACAAACAUAUUUUGCCUUGCUCAUGUUAAUUCUUUCAAGAGCACUUUCAAUAAAUGCUUCUUGAGAUAACCAUAACUUGCCAAUUUUUCUGUCAUAGGAAAUCGUCAUGCCAAGAAUGUAUUUGUCGAUCCUUGGUCUUUUAUUAUAAAUGACUUGCUAAGCUUUUUCUUUAGAUUAUCAAUCUUACUAGCAUCAUGGUCAACAAUCAACAUAUCAUCCACAUAAAGCAAAAGAAUGAUAAAAUUAUUAUCACCAAGCUUCUUUACAAAAAGACAAUGGUCAGACAUAAUCUUGCUAAAACCAUGAUUCUCAAUAAAAAAAUCAAACUUUUUGUAAUAUAGUCUUGGUGCCUAUUUCAGUCAAUACAAACUUUUCUUCAACUUGCAUACACUUUCUUUGUUGCCUUUAACAUUGAAUCAUUCAGAUUGCUCCAUGAAUAUCUCCUCCUUUUAAGUCACCAUGCAAGAAACGCAUUCUCAUAUCCUAGAGACUUUCUAUCCAUCAACAUCCAAGAUUUAUCCAUAUUUAGACUAUUAACUUUCCUACAAAUGCAUCACAUUUCAUUUGUUCAGUUUUAUUAAUAUUGGAGUUUGAUAUUGUUUCCAACUAUAAGAACAACUAUUAAAGUUACAAAAUCAACAAGAAAACAGCAGUUAAAAUACAAUAAAAAAUAACACUUAACAGCAAGAGAAAACCUAUAUCUUCAUCAUGACUAAUUAUAACACUAAUAUUAUAAGCCAUAUACCAUAAAUCAUGGAAAGAGCAAAUAAUAUAAUUUUCAAAAAAUAGAGAAAUAGAAAAAAAUAGAAGUACCUUUUGCUAUUCGUUCCAAGAAUCGCGGAGCAGGUAACAACUUAAGAGACUAAAUCACGACUAAAAAUAGAGAAGAAUAGAAGCAAGACUUGUUUUUAGAUUUCUACUGAAAAAGACAAAAUUAUUGAAAUAAAACUUGUCCACGACAAUAAACUAGCUAGCUAUUGAAAUGAUUUAAACAAUCCAUAAAUAAAGUAUUAAAUUAAGUAUGCAAAUGUCACAUGUAGCAAAACAACAUAUGCAAUAUGAUGAAAUUUCAACAGCAAAAUUGGGUGUUAAAACCGUUAAAUAAAAUCCAUUUUUCCAUUAGAGAAAUCUAAAUUUUGAGAAUUUUGGUUUAGCUUGCUUUGGUCAAACUCAGUCACUCUGCACAGUGACAAAGAAAAAGAAGCAGUUGAAACAAAAUGAGAGUGACAUUGCAUAGACUUGAUAGUGAAAUGUCAUUUUCUUGAUGCUAAUUUAUUCCGUUUCUAUUUGGAAUGAUUGAUACAAGCGGAAAGGUGUUAAAGAAUUGCUUAAAAUACUUUAUAGGGGCAAAGAGCAAUUGCAGCAGUUUAGCCAUGUCAAUAAGUAAGAACUUGACCAGUAUGUAAAGUUCACAAAGUAGCUAGAAGAACUCCCGAGAAGGCAUUAGUAGAAUGUAGCCACUAUAAAAAUUUCCACAAACAAAUUAAUUUAUAAAAAAGCAGUGGAUAAGGAGUUAAGCAUACAUUAAUUUGUUUUUGGAACAUACAGCGAAAUUUCCAUAUUGGCUACUAUUCCACUAAUGGUUUCUUUCCACAAUUCCCAAUAUUAAGAUCUAUUGAAAACUAAGCAUACAUUAAAUUGCUUGUGGAAAUUUACAUAAGUCAAUAUAACAGCAGUUGAACUGGAUGCAGUUUGGGUGGAGAAAAAUAGUUUCUGUUCCUAAUUCCCAUUAUUAUGUUCUAUUGAAAAUUAAACAUACAUUAAUUUGUUUCUGGAAAUUUACAUAAGUCAAUAUAAUAGUAGCUGAACUGGAUGCAGUUUGGGUGGAGAAGUAGUGAGCGCUGGUUUUGGUGGAGAUGUUGGAAUUAAAGAGGUACUAAAUAACUACAACUUUAAAUCAAAAGAAAGGUUUGUGCUAAUAUUUGCCAUGCAUAACUUCAACUUUAAAUCAAACUAAUGCUUACAAAUGGCAUGCAUCCAUAUCCACCACGUCGCAUACUACAUCACUCUUAUAAAUCUUUCUAAUGGAGAAAGCAACACGACAUUAUUCGCAUUUUUGUCCCUUUCUUAAUCUACUAUAUUUUGUAAGGUGCUGGAUAUUUUUCUGUUGAAAGUCCUAUCACAUCGAUUAGCGCCUUUAAAAUUAUGUUCUCGCUAUUGUUGAUAUCAAUUAUCACAUUGCACACCUUAUCUUUGAUGGUGCCACGUGUUCUGAAAUCUUACUGCACUAAUUAUCCUCUUCAAAUCUUGGUGCUAAUAAAAUCUUCUACAUAGUGUAAUUCAACAUCUCUCCUUCAUGUACCUCUAACUCUAAAGCUUCUUCAUCAUCCUCAUCCUCAACAUUAUUCAUCUCUGCUUAGCCAUAGCGUUUAUUUUCUCUCUUUCAAAUAUCAAAUAAUGGUUAAUAUUUUCUUCAGGAUUAUCUUUUCUUUCUUGCUUGUGAUGCUGCUGCUGCUGCUGCUCAUGAAUGAUAAAGUGGCGCUAGGGCAAGAUGGGGAUCCCGUGGGAUCAACACAAGGAGGAGGAGGAAGAGAAAUGGUGCCUGCCUUGUUCAUUUUUGGAGAUUCACUUAUCGAUAAUGGCAACAAUAACAAUCUUCCUUCUUUUGCCAAAGCAAAUUAUUACCCCUAUGGUAUCGAUUUCAAUGGUGGCCCAACUGGCCGCUUUUCUAGCGGCUACACCAUGGUCGAUGAAAUUGGUAACUCUCUUUAUCUAUGCAUUUGAUUUAUAUUUUUAUAAUUUUUUUUCCUUUUCAAAAUCCUGAAGGUACAUGAAAAUUUAUAUACACCAUGAUUGCAUGCAAUGCAGGGUAUUUUAAUUGCUGAUCUGACAAAUUAUUAUGAUUACUUCUUUGCUAGCUAAAAAAAAGCAUAAAACAGAUGUCAUUUUUAGAUUUUUCUCCUUUGUAAAUUUGUGUCACACUCUUGAGCAUAGUUAGAAAUAUCUGUGAAGUGAGUUUCAUAGUCAUGGCUUCAAUGACACAAAUCCAAAUUCAUUACAAUUAAUUAAUUGAUUUCCUACUUCUAUCCCUUUUAAAAAAAAUAACAAAAUAAAAGUACUUGUUUAGUUAUCUAUUUGGGGAGGGGGGGGGGGGGGGGGAAGGAAAGACUAUUGCCGUUUAUUGCUCUGCCCCUACCUCUAUAUGUCUCUUUGGGAGGGCUCGCACUGUCCCAUAAUAUUUAUUUCUAAACAAUCACAGUCAUUAUCUUAAAUCAAUAAAAAUAACAGAAUUUUUUCUUUUAUUUUUUACAUUUAUUAUAUCUACACCCACUUAUACCUAACUUGUAUUAAUCCGCAAGUACGAUCUGUUUGGGGAUAAAUUCACCAUAUCUGGUAGGCAUGUCUUAUUAAUGGCUAAAAGCUUCCAUAUGCAUAACCUCUUUAAAUUGUGUCCCCUUUCAAAGAAAAUUUUCUUUUUUGUCCAUUAGCUUUUAUUUACUCUUCACAAAUAUUUUUAAUGUCAUAUUAACCAAAUCUUGUAAAUUCAUCCAUUCAGCUGAACUACUGGGACUUCCUCUGAUUCCUGCAUACUCUGAGGCUUCCGGUGCACAAGUGCUUCACGGAGUCAACUAUGCUUCUGCUGCUGCUGGAAUCCUCGACAUCACCGGAAGAAACUUCGUAAGGACUCAUAUAUCUAAUUCAAACGAACCAGGAUUCCCUUUUGAUCUGAAUUUUAAUUAGAGGAUUCUAUAUCUAACACGAGAUCCGAUCAUUAGUAGAAAAUGUUUGCUGCAUGGUCAGGUAGGUCGCAUACCGUUUGAUCAACAAAUAAGGAAUUUUCAGAACACACUUGAUCAGGUCACUGAUAAUCUCGGAGCAAGUGAUGUAUCAAAUGCAAUUGCAAGAUGUAUAUUUUUUGUAGGAAUGGGCAGCAAUGACUACCUAAACAAUUAUCUCAUGCCCAAUUACAAUACCAAAAAUCAAUACAAUGCUCAGCAAUAUGCUGAUCUUUUGGUUUCAGAAUACUCAAGACAACUCACAGUAAGAUUCAAUUUCACUAUAUUUACAUUUUUUACCAUAUGCAUGCAUUUUAGUUACUUUUUUUUUUAGCUUGUAAACAUAUUUAUAUAACUUGUAUUAAGUAUUGAUUGAAAAUCUACAGACCCUUUACAAUUUGGGAGCAAGGAAAUUUGUGUUGGCCGGAUUAGGAAGAAUCGGAUGUAUUCCAAGAAUUUUGGCUCAAAAUCAAAUGGAUCGCUGUUCAGAAGAAGUGAAUCAACUUGUUAUGCCUUUUAAUGCAAAUGUGAAGACUGUGAUUAACAAUCUUAAUGCCAAUCUUCCUGGUGCAAGAUUCACCUUCAUUGACAUUGCCCGCAUGUUUGAAGAUCUCCUCACCAAUUAUAGAUCAUACGGUAUGCAAUUUUCCCACUAAACAUAUCGUAUUGUAGUUAGAUAUGAUGUGUGCUGUCUAGCCUAAAAUCUUUUAUUUUAAAAUGUGCGGACACUGACAAAAGAUAAUAAAGAUUUCGUCCUCAUAUUUUAAAAUCAAGGAACAAUUUACAGUGGCUGAACUAGGAUUUUGAUUUGACAAGCACGGCCUAGAGGUGGAAAUAACGGAGAAAUUAUCGUCUUGCUGUGCUACAAUAAAAGCAAGACAUUUUAAAAUUAAAUUAAAAUAGGUGCAUAAAAUAAACAAAAUUUUACUUAAUAGAAUAAUGUUUAUGAUCACUUUUUUUUUUAUCCCAAAUAAUUCUACAGGAUUCAGUGUAAUAGAUCGAGGGUGCUGUGGCAUUGGACGAAACGGAGGCCAAAUUACAUGUCUUCCAUUCCAAACACCAUGUGCAAAUCGAGAACAAUACGUUUUCUGGGAUGCAUUUCACCCAACAGAAGCUGUGAACAUUAUGUUUGGAAGAAAAGCUUUCUAUGGUGACCAGAGCGUUGUUUAUCCCAUGAACAUCCAGCAGCUUGCCAGUCUUUAAACUUAGAAAUUAAAGGGACAUAUAUGUUAUUGUAAUGUUUCUUGCUUGCUUAAUUGCUUUGCAUAAUUGUUGGGAUUAUAUGCUCUUUUAAAGCAUAUUAAUUUAUUUUCUAAUUAAUAAAAUAUUUGAGAUAUUUUCAAUUGCAUAAAUAUUUUGAAUAAGGUCCGUUUAAUCAUAUUAUAUGUAUUUAUGUAAUCAUCAUAUGGAUUCACAGAAGAUAUAAAUACAAGUUAUCUUAUGAUUAAAUAAAUUAAGUUCGCAGUUGAUAAAUAGAGUUGGGCGCUCUAUUUAUGUUUAGACUGUAGUUAAUUCAUUGAAUGAUUUGCCUUAAUCAUAUAUCAAUUUACUGAUGUAGUUUGACUACAUUGAGCUGGAUGACAUAUAAGAUUUAAUUAACCUUGAAAUGACUGUUAGACUUAUUAAAUCUCAUAGGCAUUGAUUUUACUGUAAUCUUAAUCUUGAGUUAGUUAUGAUUUCAUGAUUGUAAUUGUUAUUCCAUUUGAGUUACCAAUGGGCACGACACACAAUUGUGGUCAAGAUUACCCGGUAUCUUGGUGGGAGCAAUUAUGAGUAUUGGAGUUAUAGAUUAACAAUAUAGAAUUUGUACGACGCAUCUGUUGAUGGGUUUUCAGCACUUGAUCAUAGAAUUCUCUGGUCAGAGUGUGUCAACAUAUUUAGUAUGUUGAAAAUGAUCAUUAGAGAAAACCAGUAAGUAUCAAAGAAUAAGAUGUAAUUAAAUUGAUUGAACAAUUGAGAUAUCGAUUUAAUUAACGAUGUGGUCCAAAGGAUUGAGCAGUAAAGAAAUCAGUUUGUCUUGGGACGAAUUAUUAUUCGAACAUACAAUUAUGGAGGUCAGUUCCAAUCUUAUAGUGGAGUAGAGUUGGAAUUAAAUGAUUAGGCUUAUUUAAUUACAGACUUAAUUGUUGUAGCCACUAUUGUAUAUUCCCAAACGAUCCCCGGGUUAGCUUAUUUAAUUGACUGGAUCGCUACUGGAUUAGUAAGUAAGAUAACUAGCUAUUUAGGUUAAAAGCCUAAAUAUAUUAUUUAGUGGGAGGCUCCAUUAAUAUGCUUGAGUGUAAGGGGCCUUGUGUUAUUUUACAAGGUGGACUCCUAUAACACAAGAACAAGUAACGUGACUUUUGUUUUAAUUAUUUUUUAAUUUAAAUCACAUGGGAUUUAAUAGAAUUAAUAAAUAAAUAAAUAUGGAGCCUAGGGUUUCCACUAAAUAGAGAUAUAAAAAAACUUAUUUUCUUUAAAGAAAAUAGACAGAGGCCACAUUAUACAAAUCAGAGAAAAAGAUUUUCUCUCUAAUUUUGAGAGAAAAAUGUUCUCGUGCUAGUUGCUUUAGUGGUGAUAAAGGCGCUCACACAUCAAGUGUAGAUCAAACUUGAGUCAUAGUCUGGAAGAUUAUUUGGUGGCGGAUCGUGAUCUAACAUGAGUAGUGGUGACAGAUCGUGGUCUGGGAGCCUAAAUCACUUUAGUGAAAAAAAAAAAAGAUUGUUCAUCUUCUCAAAUUUUCAAGGUACGAUUUCUAGAUUACAAAUUUUUAUAUAUUGUAUGAGAUCGAUCCUAAAAGUUUUUUUUAAAAAAAAAAAACUGAUUUUUUCCACAACAAUAAUUAGCCACCGGUGUCUCGUCUGUCCAUGUGAGUUUUUACUUGUUUAAUUUGCUUGUGGGAAGUUUAUGUAAUCAAAGAACAAGUUGUGAUUGUGUUUUGUUGCGUUGCUAGUGGUUCAGUAAUUGGGACUACUUUGAUUAUGUUUUGGCAAUAGAUUUUGCUAGUUUACUAGUGCUUCAGUAGGAUUUUUCUUUUUUUUAAUUAUUAACUUAUGCAUCUAUUGAAAUCUGAACUCAAAACUUAAGCCCCAAAGAAAUUGCUUGUUACCGUUGGAAUUAGACUUGACUUUCGUAGUUUAUUAAUCAACUUGCUUGCUAGGUAGGCUUGCAUAUGAUAUGGUUUGCUAUCUUAUGGGUGGUGAUGUUUCCCUUGCAAUACCCCUCGCAUCUGUGUAAGGACAUCCAUCUAAUUUUGUUGAUAUUUUUGGAAGUUAAACUUUCAUCCUUAAUUUGAAUGAUUAAAAGAUAAUAUAUAAUUUUAGCCGCGGUUGAUUCAAAAAGGGUAGAUUUAAAAGAGAGAUUGAUUCAAAAAGAUUAAAUUAAACGUUCAAAAAAAUUUAUAAAAAAUGCAAGAUAUCCGCAAACUGUCUAAAAUACUAUCCUUUAAUCAAUAAUAUUUUAAAUAAGGAGAUUAUGGGUGGACCAAAAAUCCAUGUACCAAGCCCAAGCAAACGCGCAGAUUUAACAACCAGUUUGGACGUUACCAAAUUAUUUAUAGGUUUGGGUUCGGUUACAAAAACUCAACCACAAAAAUAAAUUUAUGUUCACUUAAAUUUCUACAAAAAUCUUCUAAAACCCCUUUAUAAUUGUCUCCUUCUUUAAAAUUACCGUCUAGGACAAAAUUAUAUCUCAUUAAACCCACCGUAAACAAUUCUUUCACGGACAAUUUUUCUCCUGUACGUAUGUACUUCUGUUAUCUUAGAGUUUAUACGAAAAUUAUUGAAACCUCAAAAUACAACUACAGAAAAAUCUCAAAAGCCGGUAACAACCCUGUUAAAAAUCAAAAUAAUGAUCAUGUUAGAAGACCAUUCCCUGUCAAAUUCCAUUGAAAAUUGAGUGCAUAUAUGACCUAGGCAAAAUAGAGAAAAAAAAAAAAUCAGUUUCAGCUUUAAAAUUGUUGUAAACUGGGUAGUCAGAGGAGUGCCAAUAGUCCAACUCAGUUCAAAUUCAUUUAGAUCUGAGAUGAAGAAAUAAACACCACAAAAUAAACUUAAAUGUUGAAAACUAAUUCUAACCCAACCUGAAUAGAUUUUUAUUGGAAGUUUUUGGUUUAAGUUACUCAAUAGUUUUAGAGUGGAGCUUCUAACAUCCCAUUAAAACUCAUAAGAAACACUACUUAUUCAUUUUUAUAUCUCUUUUUUUAUGAAAUUACAAAAAAAGUCCAUAAAAUUACAAUAGAGUUUUAAUUAAACUUCACUAUCAUUUUAGACAUACUUUUUCAUAAUAAAAUAUUAUUAUUAAGUAAUUUAUUUCCUCAUUAUCUCAAAAUUAUUUUUGACUUUAUCAAACAAAUAAGGUUAAAAAAAUAGUUAGGGGUUUAUGAUUUAUAAAGACAUUUUAGUUUAAUUAAAUUCGUAAUUUUUUUCUUUCGGUAAUUUCGAAGAAUAUUAAAGGGGUGUGAAAAACAGUACUCAUAAUUGAAUUAGAUCAAAACUUUCUCAACCCAAAUACGUUUGGAUUUGAUUGGGUUAAUCCCAACAUUCACUCACCCCUAAAAUGGCUUUAUAUAUAGCCAUUAUUAUGAAAAAUAUAAUCAUAGCGUCAACUCUUAAGUAAACUUUUCGGUUGAGAGAGGCGUAGAUCACUCAACAUGUAUUAGUAGUCAAAAUUAGAAGAGGAACUUUAUCUAGAUUACUACAUUUACCAAAUAAUUGUUAUAAGUGAAUAUGAAAUAGUUCACUCAAAGCAAGGAUAAAUGGAUGAAAGUACUACACAUUUUAUUCACAAUGAGGUUGCCUUUUAUAGGCGUUACAUGAACAAACUUAACGAAAUAAUAGCAGCCAUUAUUCAGCAAAUACUGCAGCUACUUUCCAGUAACUAUAGCCUAAAGACUAGGUAAACACAAUCUUGCAAAUAACAUUACCAACAAACUUCCUAAAGACUAGGACCAUAAAAGCAACUUAUUGACACAAGGAAAUUCCAACAAUCCCUCCCUUAAACUAAAUGUUAUUAACAUUCAGUUUAAACAUUCUGCAGAAUCUUCCUCAAAUUGCAAUUUGCAAACUCCAAGUGACUUUCCCAGCUUCAAAAAACUAGCCAAUUUGAGGGGUUUAGUAAAGAUGUCAGCAACUUGGUCUUCACUCCUGCAAUAAACAAGAUCAAUGACUUCAUUUUUUGUCAAGUCUCGCAAGAAAUGGUAUCUCACAUCUAUGUGCUUUCAUCUUCCAUGUAGAACCGGAUUCUUUGAAAGUUUAAUUGUUGAACUAUUAUCACAGAAGAUUUGUGUUGACUCUGGUUGCUUAAACUGAAGUUCAUGAAGAAUAUUUCUCAGCCAAAGUGCUUGACAUGCACAAGAAGCUGCUGCAACAAACUCAGCCUCAGUUGUUGACAAAGUAACUAUCGGUUGCUUCUUAGAUGACCAUGAAAUAGCUGCUGAACCAAACAUAAAUCAUAUCCAGAUGUGCUUCUUCUGUCAUCCAAAUCUCCAGCAUAAUCACUGUCUGUAAAGCCAUACCAAUCUGAUUUUUUACCCUUUUUGUAGAACAACCCAAAUUCAGCAGUACCACGCAAGUAUUGAAGAAUUCUCUUUGCAGCUAAAAGAUGAUCCUCUCUUGGACACUCCAUAUAUCUGCUGAUGGAACUAACUGCAUGCAUUAUAUCAGGUCGAGUUGUUGUUAAGUACAUCAAGCUUCCAACAAUCUGUUUUUAAAGGGUUGAUCACUUGACUCCUAUUGUCCUUUGCCCCAUUGGAAGUUCAGUCAACUCCCAAGUAUUAUUUUUUUCAAUGGAUGCAAUUUCUUCGUCCAUGGCUUUUAGCCAUUUUUGUUCUUUGACAGCUUCUUUAAAAGUUGUAGGAUCACAUUCUGAAAACAAGGCAAAGUGUAUGAGUGGAUUCUCAAGAGUGUUAAAUCAUGUUACCUCAUAAUCUGACAUCCAUGCAGACCUUAUUCUAUCAUGUUGAGAACGUGAAUCUGUAGCUUCAACUUGUUCAUCAAGUUCAUUUGUUGCUGGUGGAGUUUCUGCUGAGACUCUAUUUUGCGGCAGGUUAGGAGCAGAGACUGUUGAAGGCUGAAGUUGCUGUGAAUUUUCUUCAAUUUCACCAUUGAAAUCUGCUGGAAUUUGCUGCCCAACAGAAUUGCAUCUCCACAUCCAUGUCUUCUCUUCAUAAAAAAUGACAUCACGACUAAUGACAAUUUUCUUGAUGAUGGGAUCAUAUAAUUUGUAGGCCUUUGAAUGAUCACUAACACCAAGAAAAAUGCACUUUACACCUUUGUCAUCUAAUUUUCUUCUGUUCUCAUCUAGUACGUGGACAUAUGCUAUAAAUCCAAAUACCCGAAAAUGAUCUACUGCCGGCUUACAUCCACUCCAUGCUUCUUCAGGAGUUAUAUUUUGAACAACUAUUGUGGGGCUUCUGUUCAAAAUAUAAACACUCCAAACAACUGCUUCAGGCCAAAAACUUUUGGGAAGACCACUCCUCUGCAGAAGGCUUCGUACCAUAUUAAGAAUUGUACGAUUUUCCUCUCGCAUACACCAUUUUGCUGAGGUGUGUAGGCUGCUAUCAAUUGUCUUCUAAUUCCAUGAUUUUCACAGAAGCUUCCAAAUUCUUGAGAGUUGAACUCUCCACCACGAUCAGUACGCAAUAUUUUAAUUUGGCUGUCAGCUUCUCUUUCAACUAGUGCUUUAAACAUUUGAAAGGCUGUGAAAGCUUCCGAUUUUUCUUGCAAGAAAUAAAUCUAGGUUUUUUGACUAAAAUCAUCAAUAAAUGAGAUAAAAUAUCAUUUACCUCCAUUUGAUGUUGGCUUGAUUGGCCCACAUAAGUCAGAAUGCACUAGCUCCAACACUUGCUUUGCCCUCCGGAGUUUUCCUUUUGGAAAAUUAUCUCGAUGUUGCUUACUGACAAUACACUCUUCGCAAAGCUGUGAAGGUUGCUCAAAUUGUGGAAGGCCUACCACCAUAUUUUUCUACUGCAAGGUCUUCAAUCCACCAAAGCUAAGAUGCCCGUAACGAAAGUGCCAUAACCAUGCUGUAUCUUUGAAAUUUGCAGCAAAACAUGAGUGUGCAGUAUGGUGAAGAUACAAUGGAAACAUUCUGUUUGUCGUCAUUUCACUUGAGCAAUUAAGCCCAAUUUUUCAUCGUGGAUUCGGCAAACUCCUUCCUUGAUAGAGAUCUCAUACCCUUUUUUCUUGUAACUGGUUGUAAAGAUGAAAGAGUUGUUUGGUUGCAGAGAAAACAAACGAGAAAACAGAGAGAGAAUUUGUAUUUAUCUUAAGCUCAAAUAAGCUGAAUUACAAGCAUAUAUACAUAAUGCUGAAUGGAAUCUUAUAUACUCUGCAUGUGAGUAAUGUGUUUAUUUGAGCUAACAACCAUAACAGAUUUAACUGACUGGACUGCCGCAUCAGCACUAAUAACAGAUUCACUUAACUAACUAAACAGAAAGCUAAAUGUAAUUAACAAUUCAAAUAUCUUAACACUGGCCAACACUGAGAAGGUUAGUUUUCAGUUCAGGAACGAAUAAAACAUUUGAGAUAGAAUGAGAACUUUCCUUGGUUUGGAUUGCAGCCCUUCCUUUCCCCAUGACAGAAAUUGUAGAGUCAUCACCAAAUUUUACAGUAUUUCGAAAAGUCUCAUCCAAGUCAGAAAAAGUAGAUUUAUCCCCACAAAUAUGAUUGCUACAACCGGUAUCUAAGUACCAUAGAUUUUGGUGACUUUCCUCCUUUGUAUGACAUGCCAUAAGAAGGGAAAUUUCUUCUUCCUCCUUUUCUACAAAGUUAGAUUUCUCGCCACGAUUCUUAUUUAAAUUAGUACAGCACUCAUUGUGGUAAUGACCGUACUUCUGACAACGGAAGCAUUUAACAUUCGAUUUGUCUUUAGACUUUGGUUUAUGUCCUGUCGAAUUCUGACCAUCACAAUCCUUUCCUUUUCCUUAAGAAUCAUCAACAUUUUCUUCUUAUUUAUCCUACCCAUUCUUGCCUUUCCAGCCUCCUUUACCCCCUCCAGUUGGUUUGAGAUUUGCUGCUGCCUGUAAUGCAUGUUCUUCCUUAUCCUGUCGGAUUACUUUCUACUCAUGGACUAGCAAAGUGCUUUCCAAUUCAUCAAUCGAAAUUUUGUCAAUAUCCAUUGAUUCCUCAAUCGCACAAACAAUAUAGUUAAAUUUUACCGUUAAAGAUCGAAGAAUCUUCUCAAUUAUGAUAACAUCCUCGAGCUGCUCGCCAUGAAUUCGUCUCUUAUUUGCGAUUGCCAUUGUCCUUGCAAAGUAUGCUAAGACCGACUCUCCCAUCUUCAUUCGUAGAGAUUCAAAUUCAUAUCGAAGUGUCUGGAGGUGUACCCGAGAUAAAAAAGGAGGCUAGUAGUUUUCACAAGCAAAAGUUAAGAAUCGAUUUUAUUUUUUUCAGGCUGUGGAUUCAUUGCUUUACAAUUCUUUAUAUAGAACUAGGUUCUCAUGUUUUAGUUACAUCAAGACCUAGCAUCUACGGCUAUCAAUUUCAUCACAAGACAUUACAAAAGUUGUUAUAACAACCUGACACUGCAGUUUGUCUUCUUGUCUUCAGUUGCUCAGUCUUGUCUUUAGCAAGCUGUGAUAUCUUGCUCCUUCAGCUUGAUUACCAUCCAAUCCUGACCUUUGAUGCUUCUAGCCAUCCAACGACUAAUAUUCAAACAUCAGAUGGCUUGCUUAAUUCAAGAGAUUCAUGAGUUCCCGCCAAUGCCUUCAUUGAGGUAUAUUAUCAAACAAUUGUGCAGCAACCUCAGACACAUUUAUUUUAACUCCCCCUCUCAAGCUCAAUCGUCUGCUAAGACAUUGAGCUUGCUUCUUAGGUAUUCGAAACUUCGAUUAAGUAGUGCCUUGGUCAUUAUAUCUGCAACUUGGUUCUUGCUUUCCACAUACUUCAAAUCAAACUCUCGGUUGCUGAUUUUAUUCCUCACGAAGUGAACAUCUAUUUCAAUGUGUUUGGUUCUUCCAUGAAAGACUGGAUUUUCAGCAAGAGCUAUUGCACUCUUGUUGUCACACCAUAGUAUUGGCCUCUUCUCCAACUUGAUGUUCAUCUCUGCAAGUAAGGAUUGUAACCAAGUCAAUUUAGCUGCUCCAUUUGACAGUGAUCUAUAUUCUGCUUCUGUGCUGGAGGUUGAUACUACAUUCUGCUUCUUUGAACUCCACGAGACUAGAUUUCCUACCAAAAACAUGCAAUAACCACCUGUAGACUUUCUGUCAUCUCUAUCAGCUCCCCAAUCGGCAUCUGUGAAGGCUGAGAUUUCCAUUUUGUUUCCAGAUGUGAAGUACAGACCAUAAUUUAGGGUGCCUUGAAGGUAUCUCAAGAUCCUUUUGCAGCCUUGCCAGUGUAUCACUUUCCGUUCUUGCAUGAAUUGACUUAGUUUAUUUACGCUGUAAGCAAUGUCUGGUCGGGUGAUGGUUGCAUACUGCAAAGCUCCAAUGACACUUCUGUAGAGAGUUUUGUCUUCAAAAAACUGUCCUCCCUCUUCUUCUUCAGUCUCCAAGGUGUACUUCACACUUGAACUUAAUGGGGUUAUGCUUUCUCUGCACCCUUUCAUGUUUGUCUUCUCUAGAAGUUCUUGCACAUAUUUGCUUUGGCAAAUAUACAUCCCUGCACGAUCCCUUUUUACUUCAAUUCCAAGAAAAUAACUUAAUGAGCCUAGCUCCUUCAACGCGAAACUCUCAUUAAGCUUUUUAAUCAGGUCAUUGACAAGAUCUUGGCUACUACCAGUUAUGAGUAUGUCAUCUACAUACACAAGUACGUAUAUAACUUUUCUAUUAUCCCUCCAAUGAAACAGUGAGGUAUCCGAGACUGAGUUCUUGUAUCCCCAGCUAAGUAGGGCAGCUUUGAGCUUUUCAUACCAAGCCCUUGGAGCUUGUUUCAGUCCAUAUAAUGCUUUCUUUAGUCUAUAUACAUAGUUUUCCUUUCCUUUCACUUUGAAUCCUUCUGGUUGCUCCAUGAACACGGUUUCAUUUAGUUCUCCAUUUAAAAAGGCAUUGUUGACAUCUACUUGUUUGAUGUCCCAACCAUAGAUGACAGCCAAACUCAAGAGUACCUUGAUUGUGGAUGACUUGGCCACUGGACUGAAGGUUUCUGUGUAAUCAACCCCCGCUGUUUGGUUAUAGCCUUUUGCCACUAAUCUCGCCUUGUGUCUCGCUACUGUCCCAUAUGGAUUGUGCUUUACUUUGUAGACCCAUUUUUUUCCGAUGACCUUUGUACCCUCUUGAACUUUCACCAAUUCCCAAGUGUUGUUUUCCAGUAGAGCUUUGUAUUCAUCCAACAUAGCAUUUCUCCAUUUCACAUUCUUGAUAGCACUUGCUAUAUUUGUUGGUAACUCAUACGAACUCCUUUGUGCAAGGUAUAUUUUAGGCUUGUAGAUUCCAUGUUUGGAUCUGGUUACCAUAAGGUGUGUGUUUAAUGGUUCUAAUGGUCGCUCAGGUUCUAUAUUGACUCUCUCUUGUUGAUGGUUUGGCUCAGGUCGGCUCUCAUCCAAUUGUGUUUCUGUGUUUGGUUGAUGUGUUUGGAUCUGGUCUUCGUUUGGUGUUCUGAUUUGAUUUUCGAAUGAUGCUUGCAUUGUAUCUUGUGUGGAGUUAUGUCCACCCUCUUUGGAUUUUUUGUAUGGAUUGCUGUUUAAUUGUGGAGUUGAGAAAGUGCCACAAGGAAGUAAUAGAAGCUGCUGAUAGUUAGGUUGACUACUUGUCCUGCUUUCACUUUUGUUAGUCUCAAAGUUCUUAUCUAUAACAAAAGGAAACUCAUUCUCAUUGAAAAUCACAUGUCUAGCUACAUAAACUAUGCCUGUGUUAUCUAGACAUUUGUAUCCUUUGUGCUGUAAGCUAUACCCUAUAAACACACAUUUAGUGGUGUGGUACUGAAGUUUAUGUUGAUUAUAGGGUCUUAAAUAUGGAAAACAGGCACACCCAAAAGUUUUUAGGAAGGCAUAAUCAGGCUCAUUGUUGUAAAGUUUUUUGUAUGGACUGAUAUGACCUAGGGCCUGCGUAGGCAUUCUAUUGAUAAGAUAUGCAGCAGUUUCAAAGGCGUUCCACCACAGUUUUAAGGGCAUGUUUGCUUGUGCUAGCAUGGUGAGUGCUGUUUCUACAAUGUGCCUAUGCUUCCUUUCAACUUGACCAUUUUGUAUUGACGUAUAUGGACAGGAAUGUCGGAACAUGAUUCCAUUGUUCCUAAGAAACUUGGUUAAUGGUCUAAAUUCUCCCCCCAUAUCAGUCUGUAGACACUUGAUUUGUUUAUUUAAUGUUUUCUCUAUUUGAUUCUUGAAGUCAAUGAAGGUUUGUGCUGUUUCUGCUUUGCUGGUUAAGGGGUAAAUCCAUGUGUAUCUUGUGUGAUUAUCAACAAUACUUAAGUAGUACCUGUAACAUUUUCCUGAAAUUAUAGGUGCUGGACCCCAAAGAUCUGCAUGGAUCAGUUCAGGGGGCUGCUUUGUCUGUGUUUGUGAGCUUUUAAGAGUCAAUUUGUGAUUUUUACCAUAUUGGCAUGCAGUGCAGAAACUCAAAGAUUUUUCUUUAUUGAAAUCAGAUAAAUUUUUACAACUUGAAAUGAUUUUCAUAAGGGUCUGUUCACAAGGGUGACCAAACCUUCUGUGUAACAGGUGAAGUUGAUUAAUUGACUCACUACUAUGCUUAGGACUUAAAGACUCAUCAACACUUUCUGAGACAGAAGCCUCACUUAUUGAAGCAAACAAAGACUCUGAUUUGUAGACUCUAUCAGCAGCACAUCCCUUCCUUGGACUUACAUAUUCUUGACUUCCAACAAUCUGAAACAGCCCUCCUAUAUCAAUUCCUUGAAGAAGAACAUUCUCCAAUUUGUCCUUAACAACACAAGUUUCAUCAGAAAAUACAAUUGUUAGUUUGUUAUCUAUUGUAAGGCUAGAGAUACUUAGCAGGUUUUUGGUUAUUUGUGGAACUACAAGUACCCUUUUAAGCACAAGAUGUUCAUAUUUGUUACCAGCAUAUAUAGGCAAAAGUAUCGUUCCUGUGUGUGUGAUUUUAAGCUUGUGUCCAUUUCUCAUUAAGAGAAAGGAGUUACCUUUGUACUCAGACCUUACACUGAGGUUGUUGAGGUCAUUUGUGACAUGAUUAGUUGCUCCACUGUCUAAGUACCAGCCUGGUUCACUGCUUCCAUCAUUUGUUGCCAGAAAGGCUCCUCUUGGUUGACAAUUCUGAGGCUUUGGUUCAAAGUCAUCUUCUUUUCUGUACCAACACUCAUCAGCUGUAUGGCCCUCUUUGUGGCAGAUUUGACAAAAAACUCCAGGCUUGAAUACCGUCUUCUUUUCUCCAUGUGGUCUCCCUCUUCCUUUUCCUUUAUUUGGUCUUCCAGCACCAUUGUUGAGAGGUCCAAAGUAUUGAUUUUGUGGACUAAGGUACUGGUUUGGUGGUUGGUUCCUUGGUCUCUCAUUCCUCUUUUGGGUCCAGUUGUUCCUUCCUUGCCUUGAGGCCACAUUUGCUUCGAAAUUGUUGUCAUGAGUUGCAUUCUGCUCCAGUCUGGCUUCAUGGUUCAACAACACAGAAUACAUUUCAUCAAAGGUCAGUUCAUGAAGUCUUGAAGUGAGGUUAACAACAACGGACUCAAAAGAUUGGCCAAGACCAGUAAGCACAUGAGAACAAAGAUCUUCUUCUGAAACUGGCUUUCCUGCCAUUUGCAACUCAUUUGCCAAGUUUCUUACUUUUGUGCAAAACUCAGUGAUAGUUUGUGUGUCUUUUCUUGCACCAUGCAAUUGCAUUUUGAGAACUAUGGAUCUGGCUAUUGAUUGGGAGGCAUAAAGCCUUUCCAGCACAGACCACAGUUCUUGUGAAGUUGUGCAAUGUGUCACAGCAGUGAUAAUAUUCUCUGAUAUUGUAGAAAGAAGCCAACUUAAGAGAAGUUGGUCUUGUCUACGCCAGAGUGCAUAUGCAGGGUUUGCAGAUGCUAUGAAGUUGUUUUCUGCAUCAGCAUCCACUAGGAACUUUUCUGGACAUACAGAUGUUCCAUCAAUGAAGUUUUCCAGGCCAUUGCCACGGAUAGCAGGCAAGACCUGGGCUUUCCAUAUAAUGUAAUUUCCUCUGUCAAGUUUCAAAGGGGCUGUGAAGGAAAAACUUAUGGGUACAUGCAUAUUUGUGUGUGAGGAUGAUGAUUCAGUUUGUGUUUGGGUGGGUAAAGGACUUUGUGUUUGAGCUGGUGGUGUGUUGUUGAUCACAGCUUCUAGGGUUGGCUCAUUUGUUGCUUGAUUAUCCAUUUCUGGAUUUUUAAAGCUCUGAUACCAAGAUAAAAAAGGAGGCUAGUAGUUUUCACAAGCAAAAGUUAAGAAUCGAUUUUAUUUUUUUCAGCCUGUGGAUUCAUUGCUUUACAAUUCUUUAUAUAGAACUAGGUUCUCAUGUUUUAGUUACAUCAAGACCUAGCAUCAACGGCUAUCAAUUUCAUCACAAGACAUUACAAAAGUUGUUAUAACAACCUGACACUGCAGUUUGUCUUCUUGUCUUCAGUUGCUCAGUCUUGUCUUUAGCAAGUUGUGAUAUCUUGCUCCUUCAGCUUGAUUACCAUCCAAUCUUGACCUUUGAUGCUUCUAGCCAUCCAACGACUAAUAUUCAAACAUCAGAUGGCUUGCUUAAUUCAAGAGAUUCAUGAGUUCCCGCCAAUGCCUUCAUUGAGGUAUAUUAUCAAACAAUUGUGCAGCAACCUCAGACACAUUUAUUUUAACUACCCGCUUCGCCCUUGCUGUCCCUUGGUACUUCUUUUUCAAGGAAUCCCAAAUUUGUUUGGAGGAGUCUUUGUUAAGAAUUGUUUCCAAGAUUGAGCGAUCAAUAGCUUGGAAUAAGUAAUUCUUUGCCUUGAGAUCCUUUAAUCAUUGCCCUUCAAGCUCUAUUUUCUGAGCAUCCGUCAAAACAACACCGGCUGGUGGUUCAGUUAUUCCAAUUGAAACAACUUGCCAAUACUCCUUGGACCUUAAGAAAUUCUCCAUCAACAUGCUCCAAUGGUCAUAGUGACCAUCAAAGCGGGGAAUUGCAGGUUGAACAAAAUUCUCAGAAGCCAUGAAUUUCUACUGCUGCAACACGAGUGCAAAAAGAGCCAAGUAAGCUACUAUUACUAACUCUGUCAAUCCACUUUUCUAAUUCAAGCUCUGAUACCACUGUUAUAAGUGAAUAUGAAAUAGUUCACUCAAAGCAAGGAUAAAUGGAUGAAAGUACUACACAUUUUAUUCACAAUGAGGUUGCCUUUUAUAGGCGUUACAUGAACAAACUUAACAAAAUAAUAGCAGCCAUUAUUCAGCAAAUACUGCAGCUACUUUCCAGUAACUAUAGCCUAAAGACUAGGUAAACACAAUCUUGCAAAUAACAUUACCAACAAACUUCCUAAAGACUAAGACCAUAAAAGCAACUUAUUCACACAAGGAAAUUCCAACAAUAAUAUUAUAAAAUGUAAAAGUUUUAAUGGGGUGUAUUAAACGGGGUGUACCCCAUCACUAUCUUAAGAAUGGUGAUUUUGAUGAUUUGAUCCCUUAUUAUAUCUCACAAGCCCCCCAUUUUUUAGUUAAUUCCAUUAAAAAUUUUAAACAAAUUUUUAUCUCUCAAUAUACCUUACCUAAUCUCUAAUUUACCUUUAUUUUAAUUUUUUUUCAUACACCCAUUGUAUAAAUUUUAUAAAAUCAUUUCUUAAAAAAAAAUCUCAUAAUGAUUGUAAUUUCUCAACUUUUUUUUAAGGUUUUAUCCACCACUUAAGAUUUGAUAGUUCCACCAAGAAUUGGAGCAAAGAACCAUGCCGAGUCGACCCUGAAUAACCUUAGUAUCGUGCUAAGCCUAUCAAGCCAAAGUUGAGUGAAGGAAUACAAGAAUUUGGCCAAGGUGUUUGACGUGAUAAAGAUACAGAUUUUUUAUUAUUAUAAUUGAUUUGGAGCUAAAAAGGGGAUUCUCGAUUUCCUUUUGUAUGCAUCCCAAUCUUGUAUUCAAGUUUAUUUGUUCAUGGACCAGAAUGCAUUGCAUUUGGAAAGUGUUUGCAAUUGUACAGUGAUAUUACUUGGACAGUAAUUUGGCGUUGCAAUGCAUUUACAAAACGAAUGAAAAUUUGGAAUCGCGAUGGAAAAUACUGUCAGGUAUCUAUCUGAGAAUGAAAGCACUCGCUGUCAGUCUCUAUGGGAUUGCAGUAUAAAAUUUUACAUUGUUCUUCAAUAUUUUGAAUAGAAUGUCUUACUUUGAAUGGAAUGGCGCAGUUUAAAAAAUUAGAAGAAAUUAGAGUUUAAGAAAUUAGAUUCGCUUAAUUAGUUAUUAAUAGAAAUUUUUAUGUCGGUGCACUUAAAAAUUAUUUAUUAUUUUAAGUUAUUUCACAUGAGAAUAAAAUAGGUAUUAACAUAAAAGUUAUUAGUGUGGGUUGAUAAGAUAUAAUAAGAGAUUUAAACAUCACCACUCUACUUAUAGAGCAGCUCCAAAAACGAUCUCAUUGGUCGAAAAAGGCUUGACCCAUUGAACGAGGACCCUUAAAAUUUGAUCCUAGCUUGACCCAUACGACAGGCUGAACAGGUCGGUCCUUUACACAAUCAAAACAAACUUGUGAGUAGGGGUGGGCAAAUAACCCAAUCUGAUUCGACCAAAAAACUUGAGUUCAGAUCGGAUGUAGAUGAAUUUCUCAAUCCAAUUAGGUAGGAAUCUAUCCAAAUCGAUCCGAAAUUACACACAAUUAAAGAAUAUUAUUUGAAAUUUUUUAUCCAUUCCAAAUAUAAUUCGGAUUCAAUUAUAAGUCUGGAUUGAGCUUGGAUUACUUUUUUCCUAACUCGAUUAACCGGAACUCGAACCCGAUCCGAAACCGAAUUUGCCGACCCCUACUUAUUAUCGUUUACACAUUACAUUUGUGACUAUCAUUUUUAAACUAAAAUUUUCUCUUGAUGCGAAUAAGAAAAAAAAAUACAUAGAGUAAAUUUCGUUUAAAAAAUGAGGCACCAUAGAUGGACCGUACAUAUGGUACAGCUAGCUGAAAUGGAAGUAGCCUUGUGAGUUGUGAGAGCUGCCUAUUUUGGAUUCAGGACGAAAUAUUUAAGAAGCAAGCAAGUAAAUAAAUCAAGAAAAUAAUAUUCCGCCACCCUCAUUCCAGAGGGAAGCCAAAAACGACAUGCUUUUGUGCCGUUUUGAAGUUUUAGAUUUGAAAAUUAAAAAUAAAUUUUACCAUUAAAAAAUAAUAAAAGCUAAUCAAAAGAAAUUAAAAAAUCUAAAUUCUUAUCCCUCCCCUCGCUCACCCCCUCUCUCUUUGACUCACCCCGCUCUGUCCCUCUCACUCUCACCCACGAAGCUCGUUCCCCUCUCACUCACCCACAAGCUCACUGUCAAUAUUUUUCUCAGAUCUCAGCUAACGCAUCAUCAAAACCGCAACCAUGACGCUAGGCUGAGGAGGAUCCAGUGUCGUGGGUCAGUUUCUUCUCUGAUCUUGCCAUUUUUUGUUCAAUCUAUUUAUGCCCUGGAUUGAUUUAUUCUCUUUGUUUUGUUGUGUUUCUUGUUCUGGCAAAAUCUAUUUGUCUAAUUCACAUACGGGUCGUAGCCGUUGCUUUUAUUAUUUUAUAAUUUUUUUUGGGUAGUUUUGUGUAGUCUUAUGAACAUUCUUUUUGGCAUAAAUGCAUCUGGGUUGCUACGUGCCUACGUUUGAUUGUUAAUUAGACCUGAUCCGUAAUUCUAUGCGUUUUUUGAAUUUUUGAUUGCGAAAUUAAGUUAAUUUAGUUUAAUAUGAUUACAUUAUUGUCACCUAAAAUUAGUAUAUUUAAUCAGUUAAAGAAAUUCUUUUGACAUGGACUUUAAUGAAACCUUGUAUGUGAUACUUUGCUUAGCAAAGUACUUGGAUUUUGGAUUUUUUUUCUAUUUAUAUUUUAAAAUUACUAGAAAUAAGUUAUUUGAAGUGUGAUACUUUGUGAAAUGUUAAAGCUUACGGUUUGGUUGUAAUUCUGUUUUUGCUUAUAUAUGUUUACGUCUGUUGGCAUUCUUUUUUUUUUUUUUUUUGGUAUUUGAAGUUUGCAUAUAUGGUGUGUAUUAAGAUUUUCAAGUGGUUCUUCAAACAUAUUCUGGGUAGUUUGAUAUAUCCAUGUUUCUGUGAAUUCUUUAGUUGAGGCAAUUGUUUUUGGUCUUAGCUGCAUUGUUAAGUUCUUUACCACAUAGAAUUCCCUAAUUUUCUUCUGCUAAUCCAGUAAUUGCAGCUUCAUUCUAAGGUUCUUCAUUUUCUAUAAAGCAUAUAUUGCUUCAUUAACCCUCCUCUAAAUAUGUUGCAAAUAUGUAUUUGAUUCAUUCCAAUCUUACAGAUCAUUGUUGGAUGCCGAAUCAGCAUACAAUGCUUACAAUUAUGAGAGAAAAAUGAACAACCAAUUGCCCAGUUCAGUUACGCUUUAAGCUAGGAAGAUUGACGUAGAAACAUUUGUUUAAGUGUAAUUACCUAGGUAGGUGAAAAAGGUCCAAAAUCGUCAAGCACACUGUCAACUAAGGCUGGUCGGCGACGUGAACGGCGUGAUAGCGAUGUCGGUGAUGGGCUGGUCGGCGAUGGGCGUGGCGUGACAACAAGUUUCGUGGGUGAGUGACAGCCUGAGAGAAAUAGCUCGCAAGUGGGUGAGUGAGAGAGACAGAUCGGGUGAGUGAGAGGGAAGGUGAAUGAGAGAGAGACAGAGCAAGCGAGUGAGAUGGAUGGGUAAGAAUUUUGGAUUUUUCAUAUUCUUUAGAUUUAAUUUUAAUAUUUUUCAAUGGUAAAAUCUAUUUUUAAUUUUCAAAUUUAAAACUUCGAAACGGCAGAGGAAGCAUGCGUUUCUGGCUUCGUUAUGGUCUCGUGGUGGCCGAAUAUCAUUGCCCAAUAAAUCAUGAUUCUUCGAGAGACCCAGCAACCGCUUGUGAAAACACAAUGGUUAUUCCUAAAGCCAAGCAACUCUCAGCACGAAAAAGUGUUAAGUGGCCAACAACUCCUAACAACCCUUAGACUAAGUCCAGCACUUACCAUACUAUGUCCUAUAUAAUUGAAACGUAAAUAGAUUAUUGACAGCAAAACAAAAUAAUAACUUAAUAUAAUGACGUGUAACAAUGUACAUUUUUGUCAAUUAUGCGUUAGUGUUUGAUGCCCUUCUUUCAAAAAUAAAUAAAAAUUGAUGCAUAUGUACCGCAAUGUCAGUUCUGAGGGAGCUGUGACGAGUAAUGAUUAAAAUAUACAAGUGAUGAAAUUUUGAAUUAUGAUAUAAAUGCAUAAAUGGCAUAAUAUUAAUUAUUAAAUAUAGCAAGUAAAUUUUGAUGCCAUCAUUUUAAAAAAUUAACAAAAAAAUAAACAAAUUGAUAUUCAUGUGCAUGUCUAAUGUUUUAUUUAUAUAAGAUUAAAAUUCUCUUUUCAUCUGGGUUUUUAUUUGAGCAAAUACAAUUAUUGGUAGUUAGCAUAUAGAAGCACAAUUAAAAAGUAUAUCUCGACCGUGCUCAUGUACAUGUCGAAAGAAUUAAAGAAAAGGAGCUCUCUAGAUUCUGUUUGUUUGAUAAGAAAAUGAAUGGAAAAUUUUAUUGAUUCAAAGAGAAAAUUUGUUCGCUGGAUUCUUAUUUGUAAGUCUUACUAAUGAAUUGAGAGUACAUUGAUAAAUAUAGCUGUGUGUGGAAACUUCUACUGCAACAAACUCGUGUCCACAUUUCCAGCGCGCUAACUAUAACAACCUACUGACUAAGUUUGGAAGGAAAUAACAACUUGUUUAACUGUUUUACAACUUGGCUGCUGACUCAUCAUUACACUGAAAACCCCAGCUGACUUCAACUGCUGACUUAGCAUUUAUUCUUAACAGAAAGAUAAUGAUAAAAAAGUUGCUUCAGAAUUCGUGGGCACGCACGGACCCUACUUGUAGAACUCCAUAACCCAUAAGUUGUAAAAAAAGCAUACAAAUCUGAUGCCACUAAAUCCAGCUUCAGUAGCCAAGGUCGUGAAUUCAUGCUUUGUUCGCUCCUUUCCUCCCGGAUAUUGAGUCAUCACCAGCACAUCAGCUAGGGAAUUUAUUUUUGAAUGAGUGCUAGUCUCAGGCAGUUCUGGAAGUACUGACUCCACAACAAUUACCUUCCCUCCUUCGGGAAUACUUUUGUAGCAAUUCUUCAAUAACUUCAAGCAAUGUUCAUCGCUCCAAUCGUGCAGUAUCCACUACAAAAUUUGAAAUAUUAUGAAAUUUGUUCAGGGAUCGAACGCCUAAUACCUGCAAAUUAAAUUCAAAUGAAACUUACCUUGAUCAAAAUGGCGUCGCCAUUUGGAACACUUUGAAACAUGUCACCCCCUACAUGCUUAACACCUGUACUACAUACAAUUUAGUUUCCGCUCUUAGGAUCUAGCGGUAUGGGCAGAGAAUUCAUAAGAGCACUGAUAUUCGCGAAAAGAAUUUAGAUAAAAUUCUGACAAAAACAACAAUAAAUCAACCCUGAUUUUUUCACUAAAUUGCAAAUAUGGUAAAUCGAGUCUGUUUUGAUGUUUUUUGUCAGUUUUUUCUUGUUGCAACAUUUUGUGCUUUUACCCUUUUUUUCCAAAUGAUAAUGUAUAUUUCUUCAUAACAAUGACAUUAAAAAAAAAAAAAAAAGAGAUUGGAAUCAAUUUUCUAAUUAACUUCCUACUUUCUCCAGGAUUUAUAUUGGGAUGAUUAAUUAAAGAAAGCUACUUAAAAGCCACUUGACCAAGUCCCUAACAUUAUUAUAAAGAUAAUUGAAAGUUCAUACCAGGAUACUCAGGGGAAUGCUGUAUAACGUGAGGCAAGUCGAAAUUGAUGCCCUUAAUGUGGGGAUACUUGGAAGUAAUUGCUUUAAGGGUAUUGCCAAGGGAACCGCCAACAUCAACCAAUUGCUUUAUGUGCUCGAAACCCUUGUAAGCCUCAAGGAUUUUUUGAAGGACCAAAGUGGUAUGGUUGAACAUCGCUGUGCUGAAAACUUCAUUGAACCUGGGGUCCAAUCCUAGGUACUCGAAAGCGUUCGUUCCGUGGACUCGGUCAAAUGGAACUCCUCCUUCAAUAAUAGUUUCUUUCAGUUGGGACCUACAUGACCAGUUAAUCAAUCAUCAUUUUGCGUUUGGCCGAACUUUUUUAGAUACAAUGAUUAGUGGUUGAUAAAAACAAAAAUAAUAAAGGGAUAUAUCUAUAUUAUAUAUAUGACGAUGUAAACGUUUCAUAAAAUCCCUUAACAGAUAAGAUGAGUAGAGGAUUCAUUGCCAUUAAAAAUUUUAUGUUAUAUCUUAACUCAUAACUGUCACAUACAUCUUUAUGAAAACGAGCAAAAAAAUGGGAAUCAGGGUAAUAUUAUCAUACGGGUGGGUUGCUAAAUUUUAGCAACGGCACAAAUUAGGAGAUAUGUAGUUUGUAGUACUUUUACAUAUAGCUAGCUCCUGCUGUUAUUUUGUUUUCCCUAAAAGAUUUUAUUUCUAAUUCUCUCCAGGCAAGUGAUCAUACCACCCCAAGUGAAUCUUUUAAUUCAGAGAAAUUCUACGGAAGAAGUUAAGAAAUUUUUGUUCUUCCAGGAUUUCUGUCAGAACGGAAGAAACUACUCAAUUAAUGCUUUCAAUAGAACAAAAUACAUUGUCUUUUUCAUAUAUGUUACACUCAUGUCCUCUAUAAUUAAAAGACAAAAAUACCUCCGAAAGAAAACAUAUUUCCUCAUAUCCUCUGUAGCUGCAAGUAAUUAAAACACCACCAACAAUAGUUUACCCGUUCUUGAAUUGAUAUGACUAGAAGUAUAUUAAUAAUGAUUUAUAAGUUUGAGAGUGAGCCUUCUACAUUUUAUCGCUCACUUAUAUGAACACGUUUGUUUUUCUUUUUCGAUGACCUGAAUUUAGAAAUAAGUUGAGUAUGAAGUCGAUUAUGAUUUAAGACUUGGGAGAAAUGCAUGAUUGGAUCUGAAGGCGUAGAAAGAGAAUUGUAUUAUAAACCCAUGUAUUUUUACCCUAACUUAAAAAAAGAAAAAUUCAGGGGAUUAAAAUGAUAGAGUGGACAAACCAGCUGUCGAGAAAGGCCUCGUCCUGAAUUAAGGCCAAUACAGGGCCUAAUGAGACACCAUCUUGAUUAGGCACAAAGUAUUUGGAAACAUCAUUCAAACCGUAUAGCCUGUGAGAACCAUCUACAUCAUCAAGUGAGCAUUCAACAAUACCAUAGCUAGCCAGAAGCCCGAGUAUCCGGUCCAGCAUCGUGGGUGCGUCUUUGUUCUUGGUGGCGGGCAACUGAGCGGCAAUCUCUGAAGCUGAGAGCUUUGCUCCAGGACCAGCUUUGGCUAUGAUCUCCAAAAGUCCCAGCUUAAUUACUGCUUUCAUGGUCAUGUGGAGCACUGAACCCGUCAUCACUUCACAGGCAUAUGCAAAGUUUUCGUCUCUCGCUUCAUUAGCCAUAUUUUCUUGAAUUUCCUUAUCUGUUUUCCUCAGAAACAAUGCAUUUAUAGUGGAGUGAAGAGUUACUGUGUGUCCAAGAUUUUAGGUUGUAAAAUCUGACCCGGAAGUUUUCGAUAGUUCAAGUUAGACUAAAUGACAGAAAUUAAAUUAUGAUUAUAACUUUUUCAAAGAUAAAAGUAUGGAAGCUUGGCAACUCUAAAAAAAUUAUAUUAUUAGGGAUAAAAACUUUAUUUAAUUUGCAUAAAUUGAAAUGACAUAUUGCAUGAUUCUACAUGUCUCGUAUUAUUUCUUUUAUUUUGUCGACUUUAAAAAAUCUGAAUGGCCAACCUCUUCGAAAAUGUAUUUAAUAGUUUUUUAUAGCGAUGUAUUGUUCAAUAGUUUUUUAUAGCGAUGUAUUGGAAGUAAUUUAAAAGAUCAAACAUUUCAAAUGAGAUCCUAUUAUCAAACAAGAGGAAUUCUAAAAUAUAUCGGAGGUAUUAUGUCAGUUACACAAUAAGUCAAUAAUAUUAUAGAAUGUGUGCAUUUAUUUGAAAAAUUACCAUGUAAGUGGUACUUAUAUUAAAUCCAAUUACACACGUCACAUAUACAUUGAUUAGUUGUAUUACCCCUGAUUUAUUCUAAAAUUUAUCGUCAAACAGAGAGCUUUUAGUUGAAAUGAGGAACUAUAAUUAUUUACUGACAUAAGUUUUUCCUUUGAUUAUAAUAUAUUAACAUUUCAUGUGAGGAAAUAUUAGUUUUACAUUUUUUUUCCUAUUAUAACAUGUUUUAAAAAAGGAUUAUAAUUCUUACUUAGUUUUUUUUUUCGCAUCUAGUCUUUUUUAGUGUUCCGAAUUUAGUGAAAAAAGGCAGCUUAAUUAUAAAUAAAGUGAAACAUUCUGGCUUAAUUGUUAACAUUAAAAUUUAAAAUUCAAUAUUAACCACUUAUUUCAUUAAAAGAGACUAAAAGAGAGAGAGAGAGAAGAUUCUUGUCCAAAAGAAAAAUAAAAUAAAGAAAAGCAAACGAAUACUUCACUUUCAUCGAAAUUUUCAAAUAUCAAUUUUUAUGACUUUAGGCCAAAUUUGCCAUGCAAAAUUGGAUUGGAUUAAUUAUUAGAAUAAGACUGAAUUAGAUUACUUGGAUAAAGUCGAAUUAUAUUAUACUGUCUUAUGUUUGGUGUAGUACGAGAUUGAACUAUGUUAAAUUAUAUUUCAAUGAUAUCAAAUAGCAUUUAAGUUGAUAUUUGAAUAUGAACAUCAGUUAUUCAUGAAAUUUUAUAACAAUAAGGAAACAAAUUUAAAAAGCAAUUAAUUAGAAAAUUAAGUAUAUUGUAAAUAAGUUAUUAGGUAGUCAUAAUAUAAUAAACAAAUGAAAAAGAAAUAAAAAUUUAAAAAUUUAAUUAAUUUUUAUCAAAUAUUUAAAAAAAAUUAUAUAAAAUCAAUUAAUUCUGGUAUUUUUAAUUUUCAUGAUUAUUUUUUAAUAUUAUAUUAGUGAUUAUUAAAUUUUAUACAAUCACUAAUGCAAUAAGUUAUUAAAUGGUUAAUUUAUAAAUUAUUAAAUAUACAAGUAAUGAAAAUUUAAUCUCAAGAGUUAUUAGAAGUAAAAUUGUCAAUUUAAUUAGAUCAUAUAUAAUAAAUAAAAAUCUUAAGUAAAUCAUAAAUAAAAAUUAAUUGAUUAAUUAAUAUUAACAGAUAAUUUUUCUUUAAUUUUAUCCAACUAAACAAAUAUGUAAAUUAGGAUUACUAAUCCGAUGAUUUUAGGAUUAAAUUCAAAUUUAGUCUCCUUUAAUUCAAUUCAAAUAAAUUUAUCAAAUAUAAAAUAAAUAUUUAAUUUUAGAAUUAGUGCAAUUGGAUACUUAAUCCUACAUCCAAACAUGGUCUCAGUUGUCAUAAGGGCAACUUAGAAAGAGUCGUAACCGAAAACAUUUAUAAAGCCAUUUUUUCUUUUAAUUUUCAGGUUCAUAUAUAUAUAUAUAUGUGUGUGUGUGUGUAUAAUCUUUCUGCCAAUGAAGCGCCUACCAAUCAGAGAAGUUAAUUUUUUAAUAUAUUUUUCGACGCCGGCCCCACCCCUGAUCUUAUAGCUUUGACUCCAGAUGAAUGAGGCUUUUCAUUCACGUUAUUCUUUGAAAGAUCGUGAUUCCAAAGGCUGCUGACAAAAGAAGAUUCUGGAGGCUGCCAAUCAUGGCCAUCGCUGCAUAAAUAUAUAUAUAUUAAAUCAAACAGGAGUGCGGUUACUUUAUACGUACAACUUGGGUUCUUGCCUUGCUGCCGUCAUGGAGAAUUAAUGCCACUGGUCAACGGUGAAUCAAUGGCCAUCGGGCACCAAAUUCAUGACCAAUCAAUGGCCAACAAGCACCAAAUUAAUGCCAAGCACACCAACAACCACGGAUUAAAUGGCAAGUUUAGUGUUUUAAAGUUUAGAAUAUGGAGAAGCACUUGCUACUGUAUCCAGGUAUUAAAUCAUCAAAAACCAAUUUGGUUUGGACUCUUCAAUUUCAAUUUGACUUCUACACCAACACCACACAACAACUCAACAACCGAAUCACUCGUCCUAAUAGCAUAGCAAUCCAGUCGUCGGUUGCCCGCACGUGAGAGACAAUUUUCUUAUUCGUGCUCGGAAUUGUUGAAUUAAUUUUACAAUUCUCUUGUACCAAUUUUCAUCAUAUAUGCUCCCUCAAGAAGUGAAGAUCGAUGUCGGAAUCACUUUAAUUUAGUUUCAAUUACAUGAUGUUUGGGAUCUUCUUAUACCAAUUUCGGUCUACAAUUGCCUCAAGUAUCCAUGUCCGUCAAAUCUUAUUUGUAUUAAAGCAACCGCUUAAACCGUUAACCUGUUUGAUUUAAAAAACAAAUAUUUGGAGCUGUUAGAUUGAACUCGUGUAAAUUAGGAUUACUAAUCCGAUAAUUUUAAAAUUAAAUUCAAAUUUAGUUUCCUUUAAUUCAAUUCAAGUAAAUUUAUUAAAUAUGAAAUAAAUAUUUAAUCUUAAAAUUAAUCCAAUUGGAUACUUAAUCCUGACAUCCAGACAAGGCCUUAUUUGCCUUAAAGGCAACUUAAAAAGAGGUGUGACCGAAAAUGUUUAUAAAGCCUUUUUUUUUUUCGGGUUCAUAUAUAUAUAUAUAUAUAAUCUUUAUGCCAAUGAAGCACCUGUCAAUUAGCGAAGUUAAUUUUUUUAAAAUUUUUUUUCGACUGUGAUUCUGGAGGCUGCUGUCAAGACAAGAUUCCAGAGGAUGCUGAUAAGACAAAUUCAAAUUGACCUUUUUAAUAAUUAUUAUCUUUUCUAAGGUUUAAAAUUUUAUGUGUAACGUACAGCUAAUGUGAUGUAAGUUUUACCUGAUGUAUGAGUUGAUGAACCAUCAUGGUGAAAUCAAAAUACAAAAAUAAUAGAGGUCAAUAACAGCAUUCAAAAGAAAAGAAAAAUUAAAACACAAAGAAAAUAAGGCCGUUGGAUUCGUUUUUUCAAUUUUUUUUCUGAAUAUUAAUACGUUACAAUGAAAGAACUUGCUAAUAUUUUCCAUAUUGAUCAGGAUAAAAAGAUUGUUGAUACAAUCAUACGUCAAUUUUGUAAUAUUAUAGUACAAUUCAAAAGUUUUAUUUUAUUUUAAAAUAUAUUUAUCCUACAUAUUUAUAAAAGAUAUUGUAAAAGAAUUAAAUUAAUUAAGAUAAAAUCUUCCUGCAAUCAUACUUGUUCAAGCUUCAAGUGUUCUCUACAUUCACUAAAUUUUAUAAAAGUAUCUUCUUACUUUUUCUACUCUAUAGCCUUUCUCUUGUGAUGGAAAAUAAAUUCUUAACAAGCAUAGACUUGGAUAGGCUAGAAACCCUUUUUAUAACAAUAUUUCAUAACUUAGAAGACUUUACACUUCCUCCAUCAAAGAAGUGAAUUUAAUAACCUUUAUCACUUCGAUUAUGAAAAUGAUUAGUAAACUAUAAUGCUAUCCCUUGAAAUAAAUAAGUAGGUUAUUAAUAUAAGUUUAUCUAUUUAUUUAAAAAAAAAUCACUUAUCAUGUGGACUAUAUAAUGAAACUUUGUGGAGAUAUAUCUACCCACAUUUAACUAUAUAAUGAGAUAUGAAAUUAGAGGUCCAAGGAGUAGUACUCAAAUCUACAACCUCAAAAGUUGAGGUCGUGGCAGGCAAAAGAAAAAGGAGAACCACGUGUUGCUAGGAAAGGAACUUACAUGAGUAACUGCAAAUUAAGCAAACACUAAAUUUUUCACUCUUUAUAUGAUAAAAUCGGAAUGUGUAUAAAAAAUAAACAAUCAAAAAAUAAACCAACACAAUUGAAAACAAUAAAUCAACCAUAAGAGAUACAAAUUAUUUUAUGUGGAAAACUCAAAUCGAGAAAAAACCACAGGACCAUAGUCCAAUAUAACCUUCCAUUAUAUUAAUAAUGGGAUUACUGCACAAAUUCUUCUCUAAAUAAUACUAGAGGCAAACAAUAUCAAGAAUCUCAACAAUCUUGCUCAUAGUAAUAGUCUAAUAUUUUUCAUUCUAACAAGUGGGUAUCUCAGAUAACAGCCAAUGAGAGAAUGAAAUAAAAAUCAAGACCAGUAAGAAUGUAGAGGGCGAUGCCAAAAAUUUACCUUCCAAAUUUGGGAGAUUAAGUUUGCCUUUCGAUCGUCCAUUCAAAGAUUAAAAUCCUUACCCUCAAAUUGAGUUGGCCACUGUCUUCUUUUUCUCUCUCAUCUUUUCUAUGUUUUUAAGGCUGCUACUUCACUUGUCUACUUUUUCUUUUAUAGCCAGGUGAUUUUCAAAGCCCAAUUUGAUGACAAUUUUCAAUUAGCCAUAACAUCUUUCCUUUAAUUUCUUAAACACCCAAACUAAUGGAAACUUUGGUUUGGGCCACCCAAAUGAGAUGGAUUCAACAAAUCUUCCCAUCAGAUCAUAUGGGGGGCACUACCAAGCCCGUUCUCUGCUGACAGUCUUUCAGCUUCUCCUUGGGCAACGACUUUGUCAUCAUAUCUAACAUAUUCUUCAUGAAUAUAGUCAGGCUGCAACUAUUUCUUUUCAAGCACGUCUUGUAUUCAUUGAUACCUCACAUUAAUAUGCUUGAAUUUCGAAUGGUAUGUUAAAUUCAUUGCCAAGUGAGAGCACUUUGAUUAUCACAGUACACGACAUAGCUAUUUUGUUUCACAUCCAGCUCUUGAAAGAAAUUCUUCACCACAAAGGGUUUUAGUGAUUGCAAUAUACUCUGCUUCUGUGGUGGAGAAAACAACACGAAGUUUGAAAUCCUCUUAGACUACCCUUUGCAAAGGUAAGUAAAUAUCCUGAUAGGAAUUUUCCAGGAUCAACAUCUCUUGCCAUAUAUGUUGUACACUUAUAACACAGCUUGUCACCAUUAAAACAUAAACAUGCCUUGGAAGUGACUCUGAGAUAUCUGAGGAUCCAUUUAACUGUUGUUCAGUGUUCUUUGCCUGUACUAUAAAGAAACUGACUGAGUACACCAACUGCAUGGGCAAUAUUUGGUACAAGCCAUGGCGUACAUCAGUCUGCGAAGUGUUGAAGCAUAAAAUAGUCCUUUCAUCUGCUGCUUCUCUUUCUCGCUUGUAGGAAAAUGCUUGGAACUAAGCCUAAAAUGGCCUGCAAGUGGAGAACAAACAUAUUUUGCCUUGCUCAUGUUAAUUCUUUCAAGAGCACUUUCAAUAAAUGCUUCUUGAGAUAACCAUAACUUGUCAAUUUUUCUGUCAUAGGAAAUCGUCAUGCCAAGAAUGUAUUUUUCGAUCCUUGAUCUUUUAUUAUAAAUGACUUGCUAAGCUUUUUCUUUAGAUUAUCAAUCUUACUAGCAUCAUGGUCAACAAUUAACAUAUCAUCCACAUAAAGAAAAAGAAUGAUAAAAUUAUUAUCACCAAGCUUCUUUACAAAAAGAGAAUGGUCAGACAUAAUAUUGCUAACCAUGAUUCUCUGUAAAAAAAUCAAAUUUUUUGUAAUAUAGUCUUGGUGCCUAUUUCAGUCAAUACAAACUUUUCUUCAACUUGCAUACACUUUCUUUGUUGCCUUUAACAUUGAAUCAUUUAGGUUGCCCCAUGAAUAUCUCCUCCUUUAAGUCACCAUGCAAGAAACUCCUUCUCAUAUCCUAGAGACUUUCUAUCCAUCAACAUCCAAGAUUUAUCCAUAUUUAGACUAUUAACUUUCCUACAAAUGCAUCACAUUUCAUUUGUUCAGUUUUAUUAAUAUUGGAGUUUGAUAUUGUUUCCAACCAUAAGAACAACUAUUAAAGUUACAAAAUCAACAAGAAAACAGCAGUUAAAAUACAAUAAAAAAUAACACUUAACAGCAAGAGAAAACCUAUAUCUUCAUCAUGACUAAUUAUAACAGUAAUAUUAUAAGCCAUAUACCAUAAAUCAUGGAAAGAGCAAAUAAUAUAAUUUUCAAAAAAUAGAGAAAUAGAAAAAAAUAGAAGUACCUUUUGCUAUUCGUUCCAAGAAUCGCGGAGCUAGUAACAACUUAAGAGACUGAAUCACGACUAAAAAUAGAGAAGAAUAGAAGCAAGACUUGUUUUUAGAUUUCUACUGAAAAAGACAAAAUUAUUGAAAUAAAACUUGUCCACAACAAUAAACUGGCUAGCUAUUAAAAUGAUUUAAACAAUCCAUAAAUAAAGUAUUAAAUUAAGUAUGCAAAUGUCACAUGUAGCAAAACAACAUAUACAAUACGAUGAAAUUUCAACAGCAAAAUUGGGUGUUAAAACCGUUAAAUAAAAUCCAUUUUUCCAUUAGAGAAAUCUAAAUUUUGAGAAUUUUGGUUUAGCUUGCUUUGGUCAAACUCAGUCGGUCUGCACAGUGACAAAGAAAAAGAAGCAGUUGAAACAAAAUGAGAGUGACAUUGCAUAGACUUGAUAGUGAAAUGUCAUUUUCUUGAUGCUAAUUUAUUCCGUUUCUAUUUGGAAUGAUUGAUACAAGCGGAAAGGUUUUAAAGAAUUGCUUAAAAUACUUUAUAGGUGCAAAGAGCAAUUGCAGCAGUUUAGCCAUGUAAAUAAGUAAGCACUUGACCAGUAUGUAAAGUUCACAAAGUAGCUAGAAGAACUCCAGAGAAGGCAUUAGUAGAAUGUAGCCACUAUAAAAAUUUCCACAAACAAAUUAAUUUAUAAAAAAGCACUGGAUAAGGAGUUAAGCAUACAUUAAUUUGUUUUUGGAACAUACAGCGAAAUUUCCAUAUUGGCUACUAUUCUACUAAUGGUUUCUUUCCACAAUUCCCAAUAUUAAGAUCUAUUGAAAACUAAGCAUACAUUAAAUUGCUUGUGGAAAUUUACAUAAGUCAAUAUAACAGCAGUUGAACUGGAUGCAGUUUGGGUGGAGAAAAAUGGUUUAUGUUCCUAAUUCCCAUUAUUAUGUUCUAUUGAAAAUUAAACAUACAGUAAUUUAUUUCUGGAAAUUUACAUAAGUCAAUAUAAUAGUAGCUGAACUGGAUGCAGUUUGGGUGGAGAAGUAGUGAGCGCUGGUUUUGGUGGAGGUGUUGUCAUUAAAGAGGUACUAAAUAACUACAACUUUAAAUCAAAAGAAAGAGUUUGUGCUAAUAUUUGCCAUGCAUAACUUCAACUUUAAAUCAAACUAAUGCUUACAAAUGGCAUGCAUCCAUAUCCACCACGUCGCAUACUACAUCACUCUUAUAAAUCUUUCUAAUGGAGAAAGGAACACGACAUUAUUCGCAUUUUUGUCCCUUUCUUAAUCUACUAUAUUUUGUAAGGUGCUGGAUAUUUUUCUGUUGAAAGUCCUAUCACAUCAAUUAGCGCCUUUAAAAUUAUGUUCUCGCUAUUGUUGAUAUCAAUUAUCACAUUGCACACGUUAUCUUUGAUGGUGCCACGUGUUCUGAAAUCUUACUGCACUAAUUAUCCUCUUCAAAUCUUGGUGCUAAUAAAAUCUUCUACAUAGUGUAAUUCAACAUCUCUCCUUCAUGUACCUCUUAACUCUAAAGCUUCUUCAUCAUCUUCAUCCUCAACAUUAUUCAUCUCUACUUAGCCAUAGCGUUUAUUUUCUCUCUUUCAAAUAUCAAAUAAUGGUUAAUAUUUUCUUCAGGAUUAUCUUUUCUUUCUUGCUUGUGAUGCUGCUGCUGCUGCUGCUCAUGAAUGAUAAAGUGGCACUAGGGCAAGAUGGGGAUCCCGUGGGAUCAACACAAGGAGGAGGAGGAAGAGAAAUGGUGCCUGCCUUGUUCAUUUUUGGAGAUUCACUUAUCGAUAAUGGCAACAAUAACAAUCUUCCUUCUUUUGCCAAAGCAAAUUAUUACCCCUAUGAUAUCGAUUUCAAUGGUGCCCCAACUGGCCGCUUUUCUAACGGCUACACCAUGGUCGAUGAAAUUGGUAACUCUCUUUAUCUAUGCAUUUGAUUUAUAUUUUUAUAAUUUCUUUUCCUUUUCAAAAUCCUGAAGGUACAUGAAAAUUUAUAUACACCAUGAUUGCAUGCAAUGCAGGGUAUUUUAAUUGCUCAUCUGACGAAUUAUUAUGAUUACUUCUUCGCUAGCUAAAAGAAAAAGCAUAAAACAGAUGUCAUUUUUAGAUUUUUCUUCUUUGUAAAUUUGUGUCACACUCUUGAGCAUAGUUAGAAAUAUCUGUGAAGUGAGUUUCAUAGUCAUGGCUUCAAUGACACAAAUCCAAAUUCAUUACAAUUAAUUAAUUGGUUUCCUACUUCUAUCCCUUUUAAAAAAAAUAACAAAAUAAAAGCACUUGUUUAGUUAUCUAUUUGUGGGGGGGGGGGGGGAGGACUAUUGCCAUUUAUUGCUCUGCCCCUACCUCUAUAUGUCUCUUUGGGAGGGCUCACACUGUCCCAUAAUAUUUAUUUCUAAACAAUCACAGUCAUUAUCUUAAAUCAAUAAAAAUAACAGAAUUUUUUCUUUUAUUUUUUACAUUUAUUAUAUCUACACCCACUUAUACCUAACUUGUAUUAAUCUGCAAGUACGAUCUGUUUGGGGAUAAAUUCACCAUAUCUGGUAGGCAUGUCUUAUUAAUGGCUAAAAGCUUCCAUAUGCAUAACCUCUUUAAAUUGUGUCCCCUUUCAAAGAAAAUUUUCUUUAUUGUCCAUUAGCUUUUAUUUACUCUUCACAAAUAUUUUUAAUGUCAUAUUAACCAAAUCUUGUAAAUUCAUCCAUUCGGCUGAACUACUGGGACUUCCUCUGAUUCCUGCAUACUCUGAAGCUUCAUCCCAACAGAAGCUGUGAACAUUAUGUUUGGAAGAAAAGCUUUCUAUGGUGACCAGAGCGUUGUUUAUCCCAUGAAGUUCCAGCAGCUUGCCAGUCUUUAAACUUAGAAAUUAAAGGGACAUAUGUUAUUGUAAUGUUUCUUGCUUGCUUAAUUGCUUUGCAUAAUUGUUGGGAUUAUAUGCUCUUUUAAAGCAUAUUAAUUUAUUUUCUGAUUAAUAAAAUAUUUGAGAUAUUUUCAAUUGCAUAAAUAUUUUGAAUAAGGUCCGUUUAAUCAUAUUAUAUGUAUUUAUGUGAUCAUCAUAUGGAUUCACAGAAGAUAUAAAUACAAGUUAUCUUAUGAUUAAAUAAAUUAAGUUCGCAGUUGAUAAAUAGAGUUGGGCGCUCUAUUUAUGUUUAGACUGUAGUUAAUUAAUUGAAUGAUUUGUCUUAAUCAUAUAUCAAUUUACUGAUGUAGUUUGACUACAUUGAGUUGGAUGACAUAUGAGAUUUAAUUAACCUUGAAAUGACUGUUAGACUUAUUAAAUCUCAUAAGUAUUGAUUUUACUGUAAUCUUAAUCUUGAGUUAGUUAUGAUUUCAUGAUUGUAAUUGUUAAUCCAUUUGAGUUACCAAUGGGCACGACAUACAAUUGUGGUCAAGAUUACCCGGUAUCUUGGUGGGAGCAAUUAUGAGUAUUGGAGUUAUAGAUUAACAAUAUAGAAUUUGUACGACGCAUCUCUUGAUGGGUUUUCGGCACUUGAUCAUAGAAUUCUCUGAUCAGAGUGUGUCAACAUAUUUAGUAUGUUGAAAAUGAUCAUUAGAGAAAACCAGUAAGUAUCAAAGAACAAGAUGUAAUUAAAUUGAUUGGACAAUUGAGAUAUCGAUUUAAUUAACGAUGUGGUACAAAUGAUUGAGCAGUAAAGAAAUCAGUGUGGCUUGGGACGAAUUAUUAUUCGAACAUACAAUUAUGGAGGUCAGUUCCAAUCUUAUAGUGGAGUAGAGUUCGAAUUAAAUGAUUAGGCUUAUUUAAUUACAGGAUUAAUUGUUGUAGCCACUAUUGUAUAUUCCCAAAUGAUCCCUGGGUUAGCUCAUUUAAUUGACUGCAUCGCUACUGGAUUAAUAAGUAAGAUAACUAGCUAUUUAGGUUAAAAGCCUAAAUAUAUUAUUUAGUGGGAGGCUCCAUUAAUAUGCUUGAGUGUAAGGGGCCUUGUGUUAUUUUACAAGGUGGACCCCUAUAACACAAGAACAAGUAACGUGACUUUUGUUUUAAUUAUUUUUAAUUUAAAUCAAAUGGGAUUUAAUAGAAUUAAUAAAUAAAUAAAUAUGGAGCCUAGGGUUUCCACUAAAUAGAGAUAUAAAAAAGCUUAUUUUCUCUAAAGAAAAUAGAUAGAGGCCACAUUAUACAAAUCAGAGAAAAAGAUUUUCUCUCUAAUUUUGAGAGAAAUUUUCUUGUGCUAGUUGCUUUAGUGGUGAUAAAGGCACCCACACAUCAAGUGUAGAUCAAACCUGAGUCAUAGUCUAGAAGAUUAUUUGGUGGCGGAUCAUGAUCUAACAGGAGUAGUGAUGACGGAUCGUGGUAUGGGAGCCUAAAUCACUUUAGUGAAAAAAACAAAGAUUGUUCAUCUUCUCAAAUUUUCAAGGUACGAUUUCUAUAGUACAAAUUCUUAUAUAUUGUAUGAGAUCAAUCCUAAAUUUUUUAAAAAAAAAAAAACUGAUUUUUUCCACAACAAUUAUUAGCCACCGGUGUCUCGUCUGUCCAUGUGAGUUUUUACUUGUUUAAUUUGCUUGUGGGAAGUUUAUGUAAUCAAAGAACAAGUUGUGAUUGUGUUUUGUUGCGUUGAUAGUGGUUCAGUAAUUGGGACUACUUUGAUUAUGUUUUGGUAAUAGAUUUUGCUAGUUUACUAGUGCUUCAGUAGGAUUUUUCUUUUUUUAAAUUAUUAACUUAUGCAUCUAUUGAAAUCUGAACUCAAAACUUAAGCCCCAAAGAAAUUGCUUGUUACCAUUGGAAUUAGACUUGACUUUCGUAGUUUAUUAAUCAACUUGCUUGCUAGGUAGCCUUGCCAUAUGAUAUGGUUUGCUAUCUUAUGGGUGGUGAUGUUUCCCUUGCAAUACCCCUCGCAUCUGUGUAAGGACAUCCAUCUAAUUUUGUUGAUAAUUUUGGAAGUUAAACUUUCUUCCUUAAUUUGAAUGAUUGAAAGAUAAUAUAUAAUUUUAGCCUCGUUGAUUCAAAAAGGGUAGAUUUAAAAGAGAGAUUGAUUCAAAAAGAUUAAAUUAAACGUUCAAAAAAAUUUAUAAAAAACGCAAGAUAUCCGCAAACUGUCUAAAAUACUAUCCUUUAAUCAAUAAUAUUUUAAAUAAGGAGAUUAUGGGUGGACCAAAAAUCCAUGUACCAAAGCCCAAGCAAACGCGCAGAUUUAACAACCAGUUUGGAACAGCUGCGUUACCAAAUUAUUUAUAGGUUUGGGUUCGGUUACAAAAACUCAACCACAAAAAUAAAUUUAUGUUCACUUAAAUUUCUACAAAAAUCUUCUAAAACCCCUUUAUAAUUGUUAACUUUUUGGUUGAGAGAGGCGUAGAUCACUCAACAUGUAUUAGUAGUCAAAAUUAGAAGAGAAACUUUAUCUAGAUUACUACAUUUACCAAAUAAUUGUAAUAAGUGAAUAUGAAAUAGUUCACUCAAAGCAAGGAUAAAUGGAUGAAAGUACUACACAUUUUAUUCACAAUGAGGUUUCCUUUUAUAGGCGUUACAUGAACAAACUUAACGAAAUAAUAGCAGCCAUUAUUCAGCAAAUACUGCAGCUACUUUCCAGUAACUAUAGCCUAAAGACUAGGUAAACACAAUCUUGCAAAUAACAUUACCAACAAACUUCCUAAAGACUAGGACCAUAAAAGCAACUUAUUGACACAAGGAAAUUCCAACAAUCCCUCCCUUAAACUAAAUGUUGUUAACAUUCAGUUUAAACAUUCUGCAGAAUCUUCUUCAAAUUGCAAUUUGCAAACUCCAAGUGACUUUCUCAGCUUCAAAAAACUAGCCAAUUUGAGGGGUUUAGUAAAGAUGUCAGCAACUUGGUCUUCACUCCUGCAAUAAACAAGAUCAAUGACUUCAUUUUUUGUCAAGUCUCGCAAGAAAUGGUAUCUCACAUCUAUGUGCUUGCAUCUUCCAUGUAGAACCGGAUUCUUUGAAAGUUUAAUUGUUGAACUAUUAUCACAGAAGAUAUGUGUUGACUCUAGUUGCUUAAAUUGAAGUUCAUGAAGAAUAUUUCUCAGCCAAAGUGCUUGACAUGCACAAGAAGCUGCUGCAACAAACUCAGCCUCAGUUGUUGACAAAGUAACUAUCGGUUGCUUCUUAGAUGACCAUGAAAUAGCUGCUGAACCAAACAUAAAUACAUAUCCAGAUGUGCUUCUUCUGUCAUCCAAAUCUCCAGCAUAAUCACUGUCUGUAAAGCCAUACAAAUAUGAUUUUUUACCCUUUUUGUAGAACAACCCAAAUUCACACUACUAGAAAAAUGGGCUUUAUUGACACCAAUUUAGUGUCAGUAAUUACUUUUGUUGACACUUGUUAAUUGUGUCAGUAAUGCUCAAGCCAGAACACACUGACACUAAUUUUUGGUGUCAGUGAUUUUUGCGUCAGUAUUUUGAGUCACUAUAGUAUCACCACAAUAGUGAUACUAUGAUGUUAGAAUCAGUUGAUACUAUUUCUAUGUCAGUAUUUUGUGUCACUAGAGAGUCACAAGGAUAGUGACUCAAUCGUGUUAGCAUUUAAUGAUACUAUUUACAUGUCACUGAUUUAUGUGACUACAAUAUCAGGAAUCCACUGACUCAGUAACAUCAAAAAUUCUUAUCGUCAUUUAAAUAAUUAGUGUCAGUAUUAACGAUGCUUUACCGGUUGUGUUUUAUUUUUUUUAAUCACAUUAUUCAUGUUUAUUUUACAAUUAAAAUAAACCCAAAAUAUAUUAAACAUACCAAAUCUUGUAAUGCAAUUCACAUAAUACACCUUGCAAAUACAUCAGUUAAAUUAAAAUAGUUCAAAUACAUCAUUGUUUGGGGGUAAAAAACAAGUUCAAGUACUAAAUUAAGCUUUGAACAAGUAGUAUACAUGAUAAAGUACUAAAUUAAUUUCGGAAAAUUUAGCCAAGAAGAAAAAAUAGAUAACAAUGUCACUGAUUUUGGAGUCCGCAUAUGCCUUCAUUUUUUUUCCACCUACAAGUAUAUAAAAUCAAUUAGCACAACACAAAAAAUGAGUCAUAGAUUUGUUUUAAAGAAAACUAAUCAUAAAUUACUUGUAUGUUACCUCGGGAUUGUAGGCUGUAAUUAACUUGGCAACGUAUGUAGCCCACUGAUCACGAAGUCGCGAGAGGUCCUUGACAGUGUAUUCCUCAACUCCCUUGAACUUUAAUUUUAAAACAACAAGUUAUUCACCGAAAAUCCUUGACUAAACUACUUAAUUAUCAUUCAUUUAAAUAUAUUUGUGUGUUAACAAUUAAAGCCAACAAAUAAACUCCAACAAUGUUACUGUUUUAUCCAAAAUUAUAUAGGUAAAUACUGAACAUCCUGAUCAUGGUAAUUUAAAAAAAAAAAAACAACUUGUGAAUCCCAACAGCAACAAUAUUUGAUAGUCGAAGCAACUUGUGAACCCCAACAGUACGCGAUUUAAUACAAAUAUGGAUGUAGAUACAAAACCUUAAUUAGGAUGACAACUUAUCCUCAUCAAAGUAAAGUACAAGCAACGACACCAUAGCACAUCCCCACUAACAACUACUUUGCAACCCAAACAAUUGUUUUGUGUUGGGAUAUGCAGUACAUUGUGUAUAUCCCAAAUCCUAAUUCAUGUCUAUAUGGAUAUUCAUAUAAUCUAUUCAACAGUAUGCAACAUAGUCACCAUUAUAAGUACCUCACAGUUUAUAAAAUGCAUACAAUACGCAAUAAAAAGAUAACUGUAAAGAAGCACACAAGUGUUUGAGCUGAUUCAUUUAACAAUAAAUUAAAACAAUAUGAUGCAGUAUUGUAAAAAUCAUUUUCAAUACUUACAUUAUUUUUCAGAACGUUCACAUUUGUGAUGAUAUCUUGCAUGUAUUUCAUCACAUAGUAACCACAUUCAAAGCUGCUCGGCUGCCUCAGACACUACAAGAUCAAAAUUACAUUAAUUUUUUACUGUACAUUAACAAUAAUUAGUUAGGUUUGUCUGAUUUUUACCUUGACAGGUAUCCAUUGAACAUUGGCCUUUGUAUCAGAAUUUAAACUCUGAUGUAUUCGAAUCCCCCUACAAUUAAGAGACAUAGCUAACGUUAGCAAAUAAUUAGCAUAAGACAUAAAAAUAAAAUAGCAUGAUCAAAGAUACAAAUAACAAACUUAACUGAUUGACAAUCUGCAUUAGCUCAUCAUCAGGACUACUUACCAAAGGAUCAAGGUAAUAGGUUGUACGUCUCACCAUAUCAAUUGCCAAUAACACCCAGUGGGCACUAAACAAAGUAAAUAUUGUUCUCACACAUGAAUUACAAGUAAAAGUUUUUAACUUCGUGAUUAAUCUACAAAUUAAAGAAUAUAACUAGCAAAUGAAAAAGGUUAUACCCAGGGUUAUACGGGAAUACAAUAACUUGUCCCAAUUCUGCCAAGCCUAACAGUUUUGAAAUGUAUUGAGUCCUGUCUUUAAAGCUGACCCUUGGAUAUAGCUUCUCAAAAAGCCCAAACUGAACUGGUUUAGUACUUCCAUUGCUCUCCAUCUCCUCAUACAGGUGUCUAAGAGGAAACAAAUAUAUAUAACGAAGUAAGUUUGAAUAUAGGAAACAAAAUAAUAGGGCCAAGUUUACUAAAACAUAAGUUAUGAUUUACUGUACUUGAUCCAUAUGUUAAUGAUGCAGUUUGAGACCUCUUUAAACUUGAUGAUUUCAGCAUAAAUCAUUUUGUCCAAGUGUGUUUCCCAAAUUUCACCAAAGGUUGCUGUGUCAUGCCGAAUUCUGAUCAACUGAGGUAAAGAAUUCUCGAUGAACAUGGUAAACAUGUUCAUAUAUUCACUCCUGUCAUUCUUUCUUGAUCGUGCUGCUGCCCGUGUAUUCUUCACGCGUACAUUGAGGUCUUUUACUGCUAGUCUGAUGACUCGGGGUUCUUUUUUGGCUACUUCUGCUGGUCUGAUGACCAGUGGUUCUUUUUUGGGUACUUUUGCUGGUCUGAUGACUGGUGGUUCUUUGUUGGGUACUUUGUCAUGACAGGAGAACUGCCUAUCUAGUACUUUAGGAGUUAGUCUAGGAGAUCUUCUCGGUGUGGGCUUUGAAGUAAUUUCACACUCUACUUUUUUGAGGGUUUGUUGAGGAGUUGCUUGGGAAAUUGUGGUGGGAUUGUCCUUGAUUUUACUCUUCACAGAUUUUGGAGUCGACUUACCCGAUGGGAAAUCAGCCUAUGCAAUAAUCAAAAUACAUACCAUUAGUAGCAAUACAUGCAUAUACAAAUGGAAAUAAAAUAAUGACAUGUAACAGGCCAUAUACCUUUCUUUUUCCAAGAGUUUCGGGGGAUUGUUGAUCAUUGUCAAUCUGAACACCAGUGGAAGUUUUGGGCUUAGGAAAGUUAGAACUUCCAACUUCAGUAUUGCUGUACGCAUUUAACCUUGCAUUCAUGCGUUCUAAUUGAGCAGACAUGAAUUGGAAACUCUCUUGAUACAUCUUUCUUUCUCUUGCUAACUCAGUGGCAUCAGGGACAUGAAAGUACAUAGAUGGGGUGACGAAUUGCCCCACUCCUUGCACCCUGCUUCCAUUUGGCUGCUUCUGAAGAGCUUCACCUAGAAUGUCAUGUGACCCUUGUGAUUGGAAUGUUCCUUGUUCAACCUUACUUUUCAGCUCAUUCUACAAAAAAAAAAAAUUGUAAAUCCGCAAUUACGAGUACAAGACAUUAGCUAAACUAAACUAAUAUCCUUCUUGAAUCUUUAACAAAGAGCAAACCCAUAUACAGUUCAAAUUGAAACUACAGAAAAUAUUACAAGACAACACCUCACACAAGUUUUAACUUUUUUAUAUGCGAAGAAAUAAGUUCUAAUGAAAUCUUACCGAGUUUCUGUCAAUUGUAAAUGUUGCCAUACAAUUAUUACAAAAAGCAGUAUAUAUGUACGUAAAUAUCUACCCCCACACACACAUAUUAUAAAGAAAAUUCAUAAGAAUUAAGUAUACAAGUGACUUACUAUUUUCUCAGCAAUUGGCAUCACAUCAGAAGCAUAUUUGCCAUCUCGGUUUGCUCGUGCCAUUAACCAAGCUUCACUGCGAUCAAUCUCCCGCUCAGAAACUCCACUCUCAUUUUUCUGUUACAAGGUGACAUAAAACAUAAAUAAUUGAUUCUAUUAUAUUAUACGUACUAGAUUACUUAUGUUACUGUAAUUACUCCAUAUUACCACACUUACUUUUCUAUACAACAUGCCACCAUAUCCUGUGCUAACCAAGCGAUAGUUUUAGACAUUCUUUGCUCUUUUGUCUUUUGCCUUCUUACUUUUUUCCUGCACAAAUAGUUUAUAUGAAGAACAAAAAGUUACCACUGAUUAUUAGUAACUACCAACAAUUAAAUCAGGUAAUAUUAACAAACAACACACCUGAAAUUGUUCAGACAAAACUUUGUCAACAAAAAGUUUCCAAUCUUCUUUUUUAAUGCUUGGAUAUUCAAUAGGACGCAACCUUAGUGACUUUCGAUCGUCCUUGUUAGGUAGAACGAAUUCCCCUGAUCUUCAAAGACUCAAGAUCUUUUCUAGCAUUAAUCCCAUCUUUUGUUUUGCCUGGUUGAUGAAGUAAUGUGCCAUAUAUGUUCUCGCACACAUUGUUUUCAAUGUGCAUCACAUCUAAUUGAUGGCGAACUAAUAAAUGCUUCCAAUAAUCUAACUAAAAAAAGAUUGACUUUUUUUUGUACAAUUUUUCAGUUAUGUUCUCAUCACCAUCACCGCCACCACCGCCAUCAUGUUUUCGCUUUUUGGCCUUCUUUUUCCCGAACUUAAUAUCUAUAUCUUCCACCAUAUUAAAGAUUUCCUCACCAAACAAAGUUUUAGGAGGCUCAUUCCACUCUUGCUUCCCAUUAAAAACCUUUUUCAGUUUCCGAAAUAGGUGACCGAGUGGUAGAAAGUGGCGAUGGCCCAUUUAUGACAUUUUCCUACUAUGUGGCAGCCAACAUGCACAAGUGUCUAUCCCACAAAUUGGGCAAGCAUAAUAGCCCUUAACAGUACAACCAGAGAGGUUUUCGUAUGCUGGAAAGUCACUGAUUGUCCACAUCAAGACAACCCAUAAAUUAAAGGUUUCUUUUCUAUAAGAAUCAUAAACAUCAAUACCUACAUCCCAUAGAGUUUUUAAGUCCUCAAUCAAAGGUGCUAGGUAUACAUCUGAUCAUUUCCAGGUUGUUUAGGGCCAGAUAUCAAAAGUGACAACAUCAAAAACUUCCUCUUCAUACACAACCAUGGAGGAAGAUUAUAUGUUAUUAAUAUAACAGGCCAACAACUAUAAGUAGUGCUAAGUGUACUAUGUGGGUUAGCCCUAUCAGUUGAGAGAGCUAAACGGAGAUUUCUAGGUUCUUGUGCAAAUUUUGGCCACUUAUUGUCAAUUAGUUGCCAGGCUGGUGAGUCUGCUGGGUGGCGAAGUUUGCCAUCUCUCAUUCUUUUAUUAGCAUGCCAUGUUAAAUUUUGAGCUGUUUGUGGUGAUUGAAACAAUCAUUUCAACCUAGGAAUAGGUGGAAAAUACCAUAAUACCUUUUUAGGAACCCCUUUCCUAAAUUUUGUUGAGCUAUCUUUUUUUAUUUGAUACCUAGAUGCUCCACAAUUUGGGCAUUCAGCAAGAUCAGCAAAUUCAUUCUUAUACAAAAUGCAGUCAUUUAGACAUGCAUGUAUUUUUUCAUACUCUAAGCCUAGCACUUUCAUUGUUUUCUUAACCUCGUACAUUGACAUAUGUAGAGUAUUAUUUUUUGGCAAAAUAUCAGCAAAGACUUCUAACAAAGCAGAAAACCUUUUAUCGGACCACCCAUAGUUCCCUUUGACAUUGUAAAGUCUCAUUAAACUAGAUAACUUUGAAUGUUUUGCACCCGGGUACAAAGGCUUUUCAGCAUCUUCAAGCAUUUCCUUAAAAGAACUAGGAUCUCUAUCACAAUGCUCAUAAGCAUCUUCGACCAUGUCAAUUAUAUUACUGUAAUCAUGACAUCUAAAUCUUUGACUAUGUGAAUGGUCUUCACAGUUUGUAAAUGUAGAUUUAGAGUCAGUCUCACCAUGCCAAGUCCAAACAAUAUAUCUUGGGAGAAAACCUUUUUCAAAUAAAUGAUCCUUCACCUGUUGAGGAGUAUGAAACUCCAUAUUACAACAAAAGGUGCAAGGACAUCUAAUUGACAUUCGAUUUUCAGCAUUCAAAAUGGCAAAAUCUAAGAAAUCAGCAACUCCAGAACGAUACUCUACAGACAAUCUAUCACAAGUUAUCCAACUUCUCUCCAUUUCAAAUAUUUUACUUGUUCACAUAUGUAAUGUCAGUUUAAGUUUAAUUAAAUUGCAUGAUUAAUUUAAAGUUCAAUGUUAUUAUGAUUAUAGUUGUAAUAAUAAACUUAUAAUUCUGGAAAAUCAUUAAUAGCCUCUAUAAAUCAUUAAUUAUAAUAAUAAUUUAGACAAAAUCCUGAAAUUGAAACAAAAGAAGUUUUGAAACUUAAAUAGGAGAUUAAUAGGUAAGAUGGGUGCUAAUGGCUUUUUAAGUAGUCGAACUAAUUCAUAAGUCAAGUAACUAACAAAAGUUAAGAGUUCAAAUAAAUAAUGUCUUCAUACCACUUUGCAAGCCAUUUUUUAAGAUUCUAUAAAUCAUUUUUUAACUUCAAAUACAACAUGCAGAACUACUUUAAAACAAACAUUUCUUUAUUGAAUCAAACACAAAUCAUCAACUUUAUAUAAUCUCAAAAUACUCACAACCACGAACUUAAUUAAUUCAUAUCAUAGUCAUUGUCUCUAUUACAAAUCGUCCAACCAAAACAGAAUAAAUAAACAAGUAGGAUUAUAUAACAAAAUUUACCUCUCUUUACAUGAAACAGAGAUGUAAAUAGUUUGUAACCACUAAAUACACAGUCAUUCAGCCAAUAUAACACCCAAACAAUCAUCUCCUAAUCACAAAGGCAAAAGCUAAAAUGAAAUUUCAUAUUUUAGUACAUUCAAAAUCAACUAACUUAUUGCUCAAAGUUAAGAAACGGAGCUAAUAGUUUAUUUCAGAAACUAAAAAAAAUGCACAUUCUUAGUUUUAAAUAACAAUGACAGUAAAUCACAUGCACAAAAGUUUGAAACUGACCUCAAAUGUGGCAGAAAAAACAGAGUCGCAGUAGCAAGUGUUUUGAGUUUAAGUAAUGCACCACUUAAAAUGCCUGUAUUUUUGGACUGCAUGUGAGUGAAGAUAUAGAAAAAUAAGAACAAAAAUUUCAAGUUACAAAUAAAUAAAAGAAAAAAAAAGAUUUGGAAAACAAAACCCACCAGGGUUGCACUACUGGUCAAUUUCUGAAUAUUUGAAACAACCCCAAAAUAAAAAUUCAAAAAUAUUAUUCAUAAGCCAAAUUAAAACAAACCCAAUAAUUAAAUUGCCUAAAAAAAUAAAAUAUUCUGCCAUUACCAGCUGAUAACCUCCUCUACAGUUCUUUCUCUGGACUUAACUUGUCAGGGAGAAUGAGAUUACCUGAAUACCGAACCGAUGGUGCCACUUCACCCCUUAUCGAUGGCUUUUACUUGCUUGCCUAGUAUAGGCACUGAAUGAUUUAGUUGGAGAAAAACCCCUUCAAUAACAAGUGAUUAGGGUUUUGGUUUGUGUUUCAAUUUGGGGGAAAUGGAAAAACGAAAUAGAGUUUUAGCUUUUCAUUAUCUAUCUAAAUUAAUUGAAUUUAAUUUGUAAAUGGAUAGUGCAAAACAGAAGAGAUCGAGAAGAGAAAAAUGAAAGCGAAAGUGAACGAUGAAAGCAAGAUAGAGACAGUCGAUAUAGUCUAGAUGGGGAAAAGUCAAGUGUGUUUUAUGUUGUUGUUAUUUAUAUUUUCAUUUUUUAAUAAUUUAAAUAUUAUUAUGACUUUGACUCAUCGAGAUUUGAUGGUCUGUGCUCCAAACAUUAAAGCUUUAAAUCUUAGAGCUCUUAGGUUCGAGUUGGAGCUAAAACAAAAAUUUUAUGAAUUUUUUUUAUCAUUGAUACUUUAGUGUUAGUGAUUUUUGAUAUUUAGUUUACUGACACCCUAGCAUCCUUAAUCUCUGAUUCCUAUUUGUCAAAAGCGGAAAAUGGUGCAUAUGUACAUAAGUACUGACACUUUUUGCAAAGUGUCAGUAAAGCCCAUUUUUCUAGUAGUGUCAGCAAUACCACGCAAGUAUCGAAGAAUUCUCUUUGCAGCUAAAAGAUGAUCCUCUCUUGGACACUCCAUAUAUCUGCUAAUGGAACUAACUGCGUGCAUUAUAUCAGGUCGAGUUGUCGUUAAGUACAUCAAGCUUCCAACAAUCUGUUUGUAAAGGGUUGAUCACUUGACUCCUAUUGUCCUCUGCCCCAUUGGAAGUUCAGUCAACUCCCAAGUAUUAUUUUUUUCAAUGGAUGCAAUUUCUUCGUCCAUGGCUUUUAGCCAUUUUUGUUCUUUGACAGCUUCUUUAAAAGUUGUAGGUGUUGGAGAAUUAACAAAUAAAACACAGUAUUUUAUUUCUUCAACAACACUCCUCACCAAUUACAACUCUUAUUUUUCACUCUCUACACCUUAGAGAUUUUACUACUUCACUUUACGUUUAAACCAAAAGGGAGAGAGGGUAUUUAUACAUGAAACAAACUAAUCACAACCAUUCAUUUAUUCAACUAAUAAACAAAUCCUCACCAUCCAUUAAAACCUAUCACUCACCUACUUCACCAACCAUAGCUAACACACCUAACACAAAUAAUUCAAACCUCACCAACCAUACCUACUCAUGGAACCUUCCAUGAGUUGGGCUUGAUUUAUUCAUCUUGGAUCAAGUUUAUGAUCCAACACCUCCCCUUAAACUUGAUCCUGUGACACCAAGCAAACUUCUGAAUCUUACAAAGUCUUCUUGCUUGAGUGGCUUAGUGAAGAUAUCAGCUGCUUGAUCUUGUGAUUUUACAUACUUGAUUUGCACUUCUUUUCUUGCAAUACACUCUCUUGUGAAAUGAUAGCAAGUGUCUGUGUGUUUACUUCGAUCAUGAAAGACUGGAUUCUUGGAUAGGGCAAUUGCUGAUUUGUUAUCAACACAAAUCUCGGUUGGCUCUUCUUGUGCCAAACUCAACUCCUUCAGCAAAUUUCUGAGCCAAAUUGCAUGACAAACACUUGAUGUGGCAGCUACAUAUUCAGUUUUACAGGUGGAUAGCGUGACAAUUGGUUGCUUCUUUGACAUCUAUGUGAAAGCAUUAUCUCUUAUGAAGAACACAAAUCCAGUUGUGCUCUUUCGAUCAUCUACAUCUCCACCCCAAUCGCUAUCGCUAUAUCCAAUAAGCUUGUAGUCAUUAGAAAAUGAGUAUAACAAGACGAAAUUAAUUGUACCUUUGAUGUAGCGAAGGAUUCUUUUUGCAGCUUUAAAAUGGGUGGUCUUUAGAUUCUCCAUGUAUCGGCUCACAAGUCCAACAGCAUAAAGGAUAUCUAGUCUUGUGCAUGUCAAAUAACGUAGGCUUCCAACCAAACUUUUAAAGAAUGUUGGAUCUAUAUCUUCGCCUUCAUCAUAUUUGGAUAACUUGACACCGCAUUCCACUGGCGUGCUUAUAGGCUUGCAAUCAUUCAUCUUGAACCUUUUGAGAAUCUCCUUUGCAUAGCUUUCUUGGGAGAUAAAUAUGCCUUCUUCCUUUUGCUUGACUCUGAUGUCAGUCAUCUUGAACUCUUUGAUCAUCACUCUCUUGAACUCUUUAAUCAUCACUCUCUUGAACUCUUCAAUCAUCACUCUCUUGAACUCUUCAAACAAGCUUGAAUUACUUCUAGUAAAGAUGAGAUCAUCCACAUACAGGCACACAAUCAAAAUAUCUCUAUAUUUUUCUUUGACGUAGAGUUUCUCUUGAAAAUACUUGUCAAUUAUGCUAUUCCAUGCCCUUGGUGCUUGUUUAAUCCGUAAAGUGCUUUCUUCAAUCUCAAAACUUUAUCUUCAUGUCCUUUCACCACAUAGUCUAAUGGUUGUUCGAUGUAAACUUCUUCUUCAAUGAAUCCAUUCAAGAAAGCAGACUUCACAUCCAUUUGAAAAAUCUUCCAUUUAUUCUGAGUAGCCAAAGAAAUAAUAAGUCUAAUAGUUUCAAGUCGAGGUACAGGAGCAAAUACCUCGUCAUAGUCUAUGCUAGCCUUUUGCAACUAGCCUCGCAUUGUGCCUUUCAAUUUCUCCUUUUGCAUUUCUUUUUGUUUUAUACACCCAUUUGACACCGAUCGCCUUGUGACCUUUUGGAAGAAUAGUAAGCUCCCAAGUAUCAUUCUUCACAAUGGCUUUGAUUUCUUCAUCCAUUACAAUUCUCCACUUCUCAUCUAGUGCAGCUUCUUGGAAGUUGACUGGCUCACAAUCAGCAAAGAGGCAAAAGAGAGUGAGAUUAUCAUGUCUCUCAGUUACCUUAUAGAGAUCUUGAAGACUCAUUGUACGUUCUUCGGUUCUUUCAUUUAAGAAAGACGGCGGUGAAUCUCCACAUGUGAUUGAUACUGGUGAGAUAGGUGAAGUAGCAGGCUCUUGUUGUUCGUCUACUUGUUUUAUCUGUGUAUGAUCAUCUUCUUCAAUGGGAAAGAAGUUGAAGUCAUCCACACCAGAGCCAAAAUCCUAUUCUCCUUCUUCAUCAAAAACUACAUCUCGACUGAUCACGAUCUUCCCGUUGUUUGGAUUGUAAAGCUUGUAUCCUUUGGAGUUGUUGUCGUAGCCGAUGAAGAUGAACUUCUCACUUUUGUCAUCCACCUUGGCUCUACUUUCGUCUGGUACAUGUACAUGGGUAAUGCUUCCGAAAACUCUUAGAUGGGUGAUGCCGGGUUUUCUUCCACUCCAAGCUUCUUGUGGCGUCUUGCCCCACACGCUUUUUGUUGGAGAUCGAUUGGAUAAGUAGACUGCACAUGCAACAACUUCAGCCCAAAAUUCUUUAGGUAGUCUCUUACUCUUAAGCAUGCUUCUUGCCAUGUCGAGGAUGGUUAUGUUCUUCCUUUCUGCAACACUAUUUUGUUGGGGGGAUCUUGGAACUGUCAAAGGGCGUCGAAUUCCAUUUGCUUCACAAAACUCUAAAAAAUCUUUGGAAAUGAACUCUCCACCUCGAUCAGAUCUCAUGGCUUUAAUCUGGUAUCCACUUUCUUUUUCAAUUGCAGCUUUAAACUUCUUGAAAGCUUCAAAGACUUCUGAUUUUUGCUUUAAAAAAUGCACCCAAGUUUUUUCUUGAAAAAUCAUCUAUGAAGAGAAGGAAGUAGUUACUUUUACCAAAGGAGUUUUGCUUGAAUAGACCGCACACAUCAGUAUGAAUGAGCUCGAGUGGCUUCUGAGCUCUUGAGUUUGACUAUUUUGGAAAGCUCUUUCUAAAUUGCUUGCCAAGUAAACAUCCUUCACAAAGUUGAUCAAGGUGAUUGAUGUAUGGUAAGCCUUUCACCAUGUUCUUCUUAGAUAGUAGCUCCAGUCCUCCAAAGUUGAGAUGCCCAUAUCGAAGAUGCCAAGUCCAGGAUUGAUCUUUGUGACAGGCUUUGAGACAUUUUGCAACAUCAUUUUGAAUAUUUAAAGGAAACAUUCUAUUCUUUGACAUUCUCACCUUUGUAAUUAGAUUUCCUUUGUCAUCUCUUAGAAAAGACUAUAAUCUUUUAAGUGAAUAUCAUAGCCUUUUUCUAAAAGUUGACCUAAACUAAGAGUGUUGCUUUGUAUAUUGGGCACAUAGUAAACAUUCGAAAUUAUUUGGUGGCUACCAUCUUUUGCACGAAAAAGAAUGUUACCUCUACCAUUCAUUGGUACUUUUGAAUCAUCUCCAAAAGCGACACUGCCAUUCACAGAUUCACUUAGUUGUAUGAACAUGCUUCUGUUUCCACUCAUAUGAUUGCUAUCACCUAUGUUAAGAUACCAUGUAUUUUCUUGACCUCCACUUGUGUCAUUGCGUGCUAGUAAAAGUGUGCCAUCUUCACCAUUUUUCUCUUCAGCAUAGUUCACUCUCUCAUCAAUUCUGGUGCUUGGAGCUCUGCAUUCUGAAGCAUAAUGCCCAAACUUUUGACAAUUAUAGCACUGUACCUGGGAUUUGUCAUACCUCGAUCUUGGAUUGCCUCUGCCUCGUCCUCUGGUUGAGCUUUCUCCUUUGGCAUAAUUGGAGUUGUUGUUAAAAUUCCAACCUCAUCCAUGACCACGACCUCUACCUCGUCCUCGACCUCUACCUUGGACAUAGUGCCUUCUCUCAUUGUCGGAGCUUUCUUCUCUUUUCUUUGGAUUGACUUCCAUCUUGAGAAGUUGUUCUUCGAUUCCUUACUUCUUUUUUUAUUUUUCUUCAUAGGCUUGCAACCUUCCUUGAAGUUGCUCGAUCGUCAUAUCCUCUAGAUCUCUUGUUUCUUCAAUUGUCACAACAAUAUGGUUAAACUUCGAGUCUACUGAUCGAAGUAUCUUUUCAAUGAUCCUUACCUCUUUUAACUCCUCGCCAUUUCUUUUUAAUUCAUUGGAAAUGGUCACAACUCGAGUAAAGUAGUCAGAAAUUGACUCUGAUGCUUUCAUGUGUAAGGACUCAAAUUCUCCUCGUAAUGUCUGGAGACGAACCUUCUUAACUUGCUCCGCUCCUUUGUAAGAGGUCUCUAGUUUCUCCCAUGCUUCUUUUGAGGAGGUUGUACCAACAAUCUUUUCAAAAGCAUUUUCAUCUAAUGAUUGAAAGAUGAGAUACUUUGCUUUAUUCUCUUUCUUCUUCAAGUCUUUUAAAUUCUCCUUCUACGCCGCAGUUAAAGUGACUUUAUUUUCUGGCACAAUAAAGCCUUUCUCCACGACAUCCCAUCCGUCAUGUACGCUCAAUAGAGCCUUCAUUUUAAUACUCCAAUUGUUAAACUUCCCUUUAAUUGUGGAACUUGAAAUGACAUCAUACCACUGUUUGCCAUAACUCACAAAUUGAGUGAGAAUUUAGAGAUUCUGAAAGCACAGAUGGAUCCGGCAUGUUGAAAAACCUUGGGAAGGACUCGAGUCAAUUUUCGGUCAACGGUCAAAGCUGGUCAACGUCGGUCAACGGUCAACACUGGCUUGAUAGUCUUGGUUCGGUUCGGAUUGGUUCAGUUCGAGUUGGCUCGGUUCGACUUGAUUCAGUUCAGCUCGGCUCGGCUUGGUUCAGUUCGGCUCAGCUUGGUUCAACUCGGUGAGUCGACUCAACUUCAGGACAGAAAACUUCCGGCGGCAAGUGUGGGCGCGUCCGGUCUCGGAUCGGGAUGAUUUUUGCGGCGUCACGUUCCUCUUGUCGAGAUCUUCGAUUUGAUAUGCUAUAUGACCAUAUAUAGCAUCCAGUACUAGCUCUGAUACCACUUUGUUGGAGAAUUAACAAAUAAAACACACAAAAAACACAAUAUUUUAUUUCUUCAACAACACUACUCACCAAUUACAACUCUUAUUUUUCACUCUCUACACCUUAGAGAUUUUGCUACUUCACUUUACGUUUAAACCAAAGGGGAGAGAGGGUAUUUAUACAUGAAACAAACUAAUCACAACCAUUCAUUUAUUCAACUAAUAAACAAAUCCUCACCAUACAUUAAAACCUACCACUGACUUACUUCACCAACCACACCUAACACAAAUAAUUCAAACCUCACCAACCAUACCUACUCAUGGAACCUUCCAUGAGUUGGGCUUGAUUUAUUCAUCUUGGAUCAAGUUUUUGAUCCAACAGUAGGAUCACAUUCUGAAAACAAGGCAAAGUGUAUGAGUGGAUUCUCAAGAGUGUUAAAUCAUGUUACCUCAUAAUCUGACAUCCAUGCAGACCUUCUUCUAUCACGUUGAGAACGUAAAUCUGUAGCUUCAACUUGUUCAUCAAGUUCAUUUGUUGUUGGUGGAGUUUCUGCUGAGACUCUAUUUUGCGGCAGGUCAGGAGCAGAGACUGUUGAAGGCUGAAGUUGCUGAUUUUCUUCAAUUUCACCAUCGAAAUCUGCUGGAAUUUGCUACCCAACAGAACUGCAUCUCCACAUCCAUGUCUUCUCUUCAUAAAAAAUGACAUCACGACUAAUGACAAUUUUCUUGAUGAUGGGAUCAUAUAAUUUGUAGGCCUUUGAAUGAUCACUAACACCAAGAAAAAUGCACUUUACACCUUUGUCAUCUAAUUUUCUUCUUUUCUCAUCUGGUACGUGGACAUAUGCUAUACAUCCAAAUACCCGAAAAUGAUCUACUGCCGGCUUACAUCCACUCCAUGCUUCUUCAGGAGUUAUAUUUUGAACAACUAUUGUAGGGCUUCUGUUCAAAAUAUAAACACUCCAAACAACUGCUUCAGGCCAAAAACUUUUGGGAAGACCACUCCUCUGCAGAAGGCUUCGUACCAUAUUAAGAAUUGUACGAUUUUCCUUUCGCAUACACCAUUUUGCUGAGGUGUGUAGGCUGUUCUCAAUUGUCUUCUAAUUCCAUGAUUUUCACAAAAGCUUCUAAAUUCUUGAGAGUUGAACUCUCCACCACGAUCAGUAUGCAAUAUUUUAAUUUAGCUGUCAGCUUCUCUUUCAACUAGUACUUUAAACAUUUGAAAGGCUGUGAAAGCUUCUGAUUUUUCUUGCAAGAAAUAAACCCAAGUUUUUCGACUAAAAUCAUCAAUAAAUGAGAUAAAAUAUCGUUUACCUCCAUUUGAUGUUGGCUUGAUUGGCCCACAUAAGUCAGAAUGCACUAGCUCCAGCACUUUCUUUGCCCUUCGGGAUUUUCUUUUUGGAAAAUUAUCUCGAUGUUGCUUACUGACAAUACACUCUUCGCAAAGCUACGAAGGUUGCUCAAAUUGUAGAAGGCCUACCACCAUAUUUUUUGCUGCAGCGGAAGUUUAAUGUUCAAAAUAUUCCAUUGAUUCUAGAGAAUACCGGAAUAAAAGAACAACUAAAUUCACGUUGAUUCAAAAGAAUACCGCGAACUUAGGGGUUAAGACUCGUUGAUCCCACAGAAUACCGAGAAUUAGUUGUUCAAAUACUCACAAAGAGAUUUGAAAAUUGAAAUAUUAUUGAACUCAAAAUUCUCUGCUUGUAAAAGCUACAAAAGACACUUAUUUAUACUAAGUAAGACUUAUCCUAAUAUGAUUAGAAAACCUAUUUUAAUAAGACUUAUGCGUAAAUUAAGAAUAUUACCCAAAUAAGCAAUACCUAAACAAUAAGACUCUAAAUAGGAAACCAAAUUAAACUAGAAUACAAAUUAAUUAAAAUAUUCCUAAAUAUUAUACAUUUAAAUAUAAUUAGGAUUUCUUCAAUUUCUUGCUCUGCAUCAUUUUUCUACUGCAAGGUCUUCAAUCUACCACAACUAAGAUGCCCAUAACGAAAGUGCCAUAACCAUGCUGUAUCUUUGAAAUUUGCAGCAAAACAUGAGUGUGCAGUAUGGUGAAGAUACAAAGGAAACAUUCUGUUUGCCGUCAUUUUCACUUGAGCAAUUAAGCCCAAUUUUUCAUCGUGGAUUCGGCAAACUCCUUCCUUGAUAGAGAUCUCAUACCCCUUUUCUUGUAACUGGCCAACACUGAGAAUGUUAGUUUUCAGUUCAGGAACGAAUAAAACAUUUGAGAUAGAAUGAGAACUUUCCUUGGUUUGGAUUGCAACCCUUCCUUUCCCCAUGACAGAAACUGUGGAGUCAUCACCAAAUUUUACAGUAUUUCGAAAAGUAUCAUCCAAGUCAAAAAAAGCAAAUUUAUCCCCACACAUAUGAUUGCUGCAACCGGUGUCUAAGUACCAUAGAUUUUGGUGACUUUCCUCCUUUCUAUGACAUGCCAUAAGAAGGGAAAUUUCUUCUUCCUCCUUUUCUGCAAAGUUAGAUUUCUCGCCACGAUUCUUAUUUAAAUUAGUACAGCACUCAGAGCGGUAAUGACCGUACUUCUGACAACGGAAGCAUUUAACAUUCGAUUUGGCUUUAGACUUUGGUUUAUGUCCUGUCGAAUUCUGACCAUCAUAAUCCUUUCCUUUUCCUUGAGAAUCAUCAACAUUUUCUUCUGAUUUGUUCUGCCCAUUCUUGCCUUUCCAGCCUCUUUUACCCCCUUCAGUUGGUUUGAGAUUUGUUGCUGCCUGUAAUGCAUGUUCUUCCUUAUCCUGUCGGAUUACUUUCUGCUCAUGGACUAGCAAAGUGCUUUCCAAUUCAUCAAUCGAAAGUGUGUCAAUAUCCCUUGAUUCCUCAAUCGCACAAACAAUAUAGUUAAAUUUUGCCAUUAAAGAUCGAAGAAUCUUCUCAAUUAUGAUAACAUCCUCGAGCUGUUCGCCAUGAAUUCAUCUCUUAUUUGCGAUUGCCAUUGUCCUUGCAAAGUAUGCUGAGACCGACUCUCCCAUCUUCAUUCGUAAAGAUUCAAAUUCAGCUCGAAGUGUCUGGAGGUGUACCCGCUUCGCCCUUGCUGUCCCUUGGUACUUCUUUUUCAAGGAAUCCCAAAUUUGUUUAGAGGAGUCUUUGUUAAGAAUUGUUUCCAAGAUUGAUCGAUCAAUAGCUUGGAAUAAGUAAUUCUUUGCCUUGAGAUCCUUUAAUCGUUGCCCUUCAAGCUCUAUUUACUAAGCAUCCGUCAAAACAACACCGGCUGGUGGUUCAGUUAUUCUAAUUGAAACAACCUGCCAAUAUUCCUUGGACCUUAAGAAAUUCCCCAUCAACAUGCUCCAAUGGUCAUAGUGACCAUCAAAGUGGGGAAUUACAGGUUGAACAAAAUUCUCAGAAGCCAUGAAUUUCUGCUGCUGCAACACGAGUGCAAAAAGAGCCAAGUAAGCUGCUGUUACUAACUCUGUCAAUCCACUUUUCUAAUUCAAGCUCUGAUACCACUGUUACAAGUGAAUAUGAAAUAGUUCACUCAAAGCAAGGAUAAAUGGAUGAAAGUACUACACAUUUUAUUCACAAUGAGGUUGCCUUUUAUAGGCGUUACAUGAACAAACUUAACGAAAUAAUAGCAGCCAUUAUUCAGCAAAUACUGCAGCUACUUUCCAGUAACUAUAGCCUAAAGACUAGGUAAACACAAUCUUGCAAAUAACAUUACCAACAAACUUCCUAAAGACUAGGACCAUAAAAGCAACUUAUUGCCACAAGGAAAUUCCAACAAUAAUAUUAUAAAAUGUAAAAGUUUUAAUGGGGUGUACCCCAUCACUAUCUCAGGAAUGGUGAUUUUGAUCCCUUACUAUAUCUCACAAGCGCCCCAUUUUUCAGUUAAUUCCAUUAAAAAUUUUAAACAAAUCUUUGUCUCUCAAUAUACCUUACCUAAUCUCUAAUUUACCUUUAUUUUAAUUUUUUUUCAUACACCCAUUGUAUAAAUUUUAUAAAAUCAUUUCUUUAAAAAAAAAAUCUCAUAAUGAUUGUAAUUUCUCAACUUUGUUUUAAGGUUUUAUCCACCACUUAAGAUUUGAUAGUUCCACCAAGAAUUGGAGGAAAGAACCAUGCCGAGUCGGCCCUGAAUAACCUUAGUAUCGUGCUAAGCCUAUCAAGCCAAAGUUGAGUGAAGGAAUACAAGAAUUUGGCCAAGGGGUUUGACGUGAUAAAGAUACAGAUUUUUUAUUAUUAUAAUUGAUUUGGAGCUAAAAAGGGGAUUCUUGAUUUCCUUUUCUAUGCAUCCCAAUCUUGUAUUCAAGUUUAUCUGUUCAUGGACCAGAAUGCAUUGCAUUUGGAAAGUGUUUGCAAUUGUACAGUGAUAUUACUUGGACAGUAAUUUGGCGUUGCAAUGCAUUUACAGAACGAAUGAAAAUUUGGAAUCGCGAUGGAAAAUGCUGUCAGGUAUCUAUCUGAGAAUGAAAGCACUCGCUUUCAGUCUCUAUGGGAUUGCAGUAUAAAAUUUUACAUUGUUCUUCAAUAUUUUGAAUAGAAUACCUUACUUUGAAUGGAAUGGCUCAGUUUAAAAAGUUAGAAGAAAUUAGAGUUUAAGAAAUUAGAUUCACUUAAUUAGUUAUUAAUAGAAAUUUUUAUGUCGGUGCACUUAAAAAUUAUUUAUUAUUUUAAGUUAUUUCACAUGAGGAUAAAAUAGGUAUUAACAUAAAAGUUAUUAGUAUGGGUAGAUAACAUAUAAUGAGAGAUUUAAACAUCACCACUCUACUCAUAGAGCAGCUUCAAAAACGAUCUCAUUGGUCCAAAAAGGCCUGACCCAUUGAACGAUGACCCUUAAAAUUUUAUCCUAGCUUGAUCCAUACGACAGGCUGAACAGGUCGGUCCUUUACACAAUCAAAACAAACUUGUGAGUAGGGGUGGGCAAAUAACCCAAUCUGAUUCGACCAAAAAACUUGAGUUCAGAUUGGAUGUAGAUGAAUUUCUCAAUCCAAUCAGGUAGGAAUCUAUCCAAAUCGAUCCAAAUUACACACAAUUAAAGAAUAUUAUUUGAAUUUUUUUAUCCAUUCCAAAUAUAAUUCGGAUUCAAUUAUAAGUCUGGAUUGAGUUUGGAUUACUUUUUUCCUAACUCGAUUAACCGGAACUUGAACCCAAUCCGAAACGGAAUUUGCCGACCCCUACUUCUUAUCAUUUAUACAUUACAUUUGUGACUAUCAUUUUUAAACUAAAAUUUUCUCUUGAUGCGAAUAAGAAAAAAAAACAUAGAGUAAAUUUCGUUAAAAAAAAUGAGGCACCAUAGAUGGACCGUACAUAUGGUACAACUAGCUGAAAUGUAAGUAGCCUUGUGAGAGCUGCCUACUUUGGAUUCAGGACGAAAUAUUUAAGAAGCAAGCAAGUAAAUAGAUCAGGAAAAUAAUAUUCGGCCACCCUCAUUCCAGAGGGAAGCCAAAAACGACAUGCUUCUGUGCCGUUUUGAGGUUUUAGAUUUGAAAAUUAAAAAUAAAUUUUACCAUUAAAAAAUAAUAAAAGCUAAUCAAAAGAAAUUAAAAAAUCUAAAUUCUUAUCCCUCCCCUUGCUCACCCCCUCUCUCUUUGACUCACCCGCUCUGUCCCUCUCACUCUCACCCACGAAGCUCGUUCCCCUCUCACUCACCCACAAGCUCGCUGUCAAUAUUUUUUUCGGAUCUCAACUAACGCAUCAUCAAAACCGCAACCAUGACGCUAGGCUGAGGAGGAUCCAGUGUCGUGGGUCAGUUUCUUCUCUAAUCUUGCCCUUUUUUGUUCAAUCUAUUUAUGCCCUGGAUUGAUUUAUUCUCUUUGUUUUAUUGUGUUUCUUGUUCUAGCAAAAUCUAUUUGUCUAAUUCACAUACGGGUCGCAGUCGUUGCUUUUAUUAUUUUAUAAUUUUUUUUAGGUGGUUUUGUGUAGUCUUAUGAACAUUCUUUUUGGCAAAAAUGCAUCUGGGUUGCUACGCGCCUACGUUUGAUUGUUAAUUAGACCUGAUUCGUAAUUCUAUGCGUUUUUUGAAUUUUUGAUCGCGAAAUUAAGUUAAUUUAGUUUAAUAUUAUUAGAUUAUUGUCACCUAAAAUUAGUAUAUUUAAUCAGUUAAAGAAAUUCUUUUGACACGGACUUUAUGAAACCUUGUAUGUGAUACUUUGCUUAGCAAAGUAUUUGGAUUUUGGAUUUUUUUUUCUAUUUAUAUUUUAAAAUUACUAGAAAUAAGUUAUUUGAAGUGUGAUACUUUGUGAAAUGUUGAAGCUUACGGUUUGGUUGUAAUUCUGUUUUUGCUUAUAUAUGUUUACGUCUGUUGGCAUUCUUUUUUUUUUUUUUUUUGGUAUUUGAAGUUUGCAUAUAUGGUGUGUAUUAAGAUUUUCAAGUUGUUCUUGAAACAUAUUCUGGGUAGUUUGAUAUAUCACAUGUUUCUAUGAAUUCUUUAGUUGAGGCAAUUGUUUUUGGUCUUAUCUGCAUUAUUAAGUUCUUUACCACAUAGAAUUCCCUAAUUUUCUUCUGCUAAUCCAGUAAUUGCAGCUUCAUUCUAAGGUUCUUCAUUUUCUAUAAAGCAUAUAUUGCUUCAUUGACACCCCUCUAAAUAACUCUUAAAAUCUCUUUAAUUAUUUUAUAAUUUUAAUUUUUAUUAAAAUUAUAUAAUAGGAUAAUUUUUAAUUAAACUUCCACUCAAAAGUUAAAUAAUUUUUUUAUUUUAGAAAUUAAAAAUGUUGUUUUUUCUCUAAUUUUUGGGUGAAGAAGUUACCACCAAUGCCUACAAUAGAGAGAAUGAAAACUCAUUGUUUCUUUCUUUUAAAUAGAAGAGACUCAAUUGUUGAAAUGAGAUUUAAUAAUAAAAAGUAUAGAAUUGAAUUUACACAAUAACUUUUAUGUAAGGGUAUUUUUAUCAUUGAUGAAGGUGUUAAAAGAAUUUUAUAAUUUUUUAAAAUAUUUUAAUAAGAUUAAUUAUGAAAAAGAGUGUUAAGAAAUAUUUAGAGGGGUACCAAUAGUCCCACUCUAUUUAUUGACCAAUUUAAUAAUUAUUAUCUUUUCAAGGAUUUAAAAAUCUAUAGGUGUAACGGACAGCUAAUGUAAUGUAAGCGUUAUAUAUAUGAGUUGAUGAAAGGGUCACGGGUGAAAUCAAAAUAAAAAAAAUAACAGAAGUCAAUAAUGGCAUUCAAAAUUAAAAAAUAAUAGAAGUCAAUAAUGAAGAAUUUGGGUUAAAUCAUAUAUAUAUGUUAAAUCAAACAGCCACUGGUGUGCGGUUACUUUAUACAAUUUGGGUUCUUGCCUUUCUGCCGUCAUGGGGAAUUAAUGCCACUGGUCAACGGUGAAUCAAUGGCCAUCGGGCACCAAAUUCAUGACCAAUCAAUGGCCAACAAGCACCAAAUUAAUGCCAAGCACACCAACAACCACCGAUUAAAUGGCAAGUUUAGUGUUUUAAAGUUUAGAAUAUGGAGACGCACUUGCUACUGUAUCGAGGUAUUAAAUCAUCAAAAACCAAUUUGGUUUGGAGUCUUCAAUUCCAAUUUGACUCCUACACCAACGCUAGCCAACAACAACUCAACAACCGAAUCACUCGUCCUAAUAGCAUAAUAAUCCAGUCGUCGCUUGCCUGCACGUGAGAGACCAUUUUCUUGUUCGUGCUCGGAAUUGUUGAAUUAAUUUUACAAUGCUCUUGUACCAAUUUUCAUCAUAUAUGCUGCCUCAAGAAGUGAAGAUCGAUGUCGGAAUCACUUUUAGUUUCAAUUACAUGAUGUUUGGGAUCGUCUUAUAAUAUACCAAUUUCAGUCUACAGUUGCCUCAAGUAUCCAUGUCUGUCAAAUCUCAUUUGUAUUAAAGCAACCGCCUAAACCGUUAACCUGUUUGAUUUAAUAUAUAUAUAUAUAUUUGCAGCUGUUAGAUUGAACAAUAAACCAUCCAACGGCUCUGCUAAAUAGAGACAAAAAAGUGCAGUAUGGUGCAACUGUUGUAACAUAGGUGGAGCCUAUUUUUAAUAUUAUAUUAAUGAUUAUUAAAUUUUAUACAAUCAAUAAUGCAAUAAGUUAUUAAAUGAUUAAUUUAUACGUUAUUAAAUGAUUAAUUAUAAAU